RNAcentral lists this long non-coding RNA (119969 nucleotides) under Coffea arabica (coffee). RNAcentral describes it as "long non-coding RNA (CARA_LNC007267)". The stretch from base 112226 to 112332 matches the Rfam family "Plant small nucleolar RNA R71". The record is from RNAcentral. Lineage: Eukaryota; Viridiplantae; Streptophyta; Magnoliopsida; Gentianales; Rubiaceae.
CUCCACCUCCUCCCCCAGUUUACCUGUCUCCACCUCCACCCUAUCAUCACUACUACGGUUCUCCUUCUCCUCACCACUACUAAGCAAGUGCAUAAGUUUUGAGGUAAUAAUACCUAUCCAAAACUUUAUCAACACAAACUGCCAUGUAUAUCAUGCUAAGGACGUACACUUGAUCCAUGAAAAUGACUAGUAGAAGAUUUUUUUUAAGAACCAAAGAAAUACAUUAUUUUUUCGGUCUGUUUUCAAGAAUUUGAGCAGUAUACAGAUUAAAGAGUGUUUUUUUUUUUGUAAACUUGCUUGUCAACUUAAAAAUGCACAUAGCUGAAAGCCAACUGAAUAUUUGCAGGCAAAGGAGAAGGCAAUCGGUGUUUGAGACCUUCAAGAAGAUGUAGAAGAAUAAGAAUAAAAGCCCAAUGCGAGGAUGAUUCCAAGUUUCUACGUUACCAUUUCUACAUCUAAAUUGACUUUAGCUCCUGAGUUCCAUGUUUAUGGGGUUUGUACCGUUUUACGUACCAUGCAGUACAUGCUUGCAAGGUUUUCUGUCCUGUUGGCAAACUGCAGGUCCAUAUAAUAAAUGAAUACUAUUUACAUUACGACACUUUUCUCUUUUUCUCUUAUAUUUUGUCUUUAAUAUUGUUGAUCAUUUUUUUUUUAUCAAAAGCAUCAAAUGCUUAGGUAAUUUGGUCUAAUGCUAAUUGUUUUACUUUUAUUUUUCACCUACACCCCUUUUCAACUCAAAGGAUGCUAUAGUUUGUGAUAAUUGUUUAAGACCGAAGCAUGAUACUAAUAAAUAUCUCAUUGAAAGUCAAGGAAACUAACAUUAGGAAAAGUUUAAAUCUUGAUUUGAUGAAACUAUUUAUUCGUGGAAUUUAGAGAUACAAAACUCAAAUUGUGACGGUGUUGUUGCUAAAUUAUUAAGGACAUUAUCACCAUUAUUUUUCCCUGAUCACUAGUUUCAACUGCAAUGAUCUCAAUCUUUUUGUGACUAAUUCUUUCCUUAAUAAUUUAUAAAGACAAAACUCACAAAGAAUAUGUGACUAAUUCUUUCCUUUCGUCUUCUAAAGAAAAUGCCAACUGUUAGUUUAUCAAGGGGAAAAAGGAUCGACAUCAGUUAUUAUUGAAACUAGUAAGGAAUAAAUAAUGGUGAUAAUGUCCUUAAUAAUUUAACAACAGCACCAUCAGAAUUUGACUUUGAGCUUCGGUCUUAAACAAUGAUCACAAACUACAGCAUCCUUUGAGUUGAAAAAGGAAGUAGGUGAAAAGAAAAGUAAAAAAUACAAUUAGCAUUCCCUCAAAUUGUAGAAAGUUAGGUAGCAUUAUAGACAAGUUGAUAGCGGCAAUUUUACAUUUCAAACUUCACCUAUUCAAUAACUAAUUCGAUGGCUUGCUACAUGGUCAAUCUUUGGACCCCUUCCUGCCUCCAGAUAUCCCUUUCCUCAAUCAGGGGCUUCUACAAUUACCAGUUUCAAUUGUAUGGUAUAGUGUAAAUAUCAACAAAUUAGAUGUAGAUGCUAACAUAAUAAAUGUGAAUGCUAAGACAGCAACAUACAAUCGAACCUGCAAUUGUAUGAACCCCAAUCUCGCUUCCUAGUCCACCAUCUUUCUCUAGGUAAUAAUCUCCCUUCUAAUUUAUUCACAAAAUGCACCUUUCAUCACCUCCAAUAGCGUCGACAUGAUCUUUACCCUAGAAGACUAUUCACCGACUCUCAAUUGACGUCAGAAAAUCUAAGAGUAAUUCUACUUUACCCUAAGAUUGAUAUCAACAAGACAAGGACAAUUUAGAAUUAUUACACGCCUCUUCUUAAUAGGAAAAAGAAAUAGAGAAGAAAGUCAGGCCAGGUCUAAUUUCUUUUCAAAGGCAAUACAACAUUACGAAAUCAAGCAUUCAUUCAUACAAAUAUUUCAUAGUCACCGGUUUGCUGAGUAGAAAAAUUUAGACAAAAACUUAAUAUUAUAUUGUUUAAGAGUUAACAAUUUAGAGCUUAAUCUCCUUGUACUUUGGAGUUAACAAUUUAGAGCUUAAUCUCCUUGUACUUUGGACUAAACUUGAACGUGAAAGGAAAUCCCAAAACCAUAUUGGGCAUGAAUUCACACUUAAUAUACCCAAUAAAAGAUGGCGACUGGUGAAAGGCAGUGGAGACUGGUGGAGAGAUUUGAGGAAUAGAAGCAGACGGAAAAGCAACAAAUUUUUGCCGAAAAACGGUCACUUUCAUGGUUAAUUUUGCUACUCUCCAAUUGUACUUGACCAAUUACAACAAUUUCAUGGAGUUUGAUACGUGAAAAGAAUUUUUUAUAAAUUUUAUUUUGAUCCAUAAUGUUAUCUUUACAUAUAUAAAACAUUUUACAAUUUUGAUUUUGGCGCAGCUAACUUUUGGUUAACAAAAAUGCUCAUGUUUAAAAAACCAGAAAUAAAACAAAACAAGAAACAAAAGAAAUAAGAGGGUAGCAUAGACAUUUUGGAUUUUUCCGUUAAUUUGGAUGAUUUCCACCCACGUUCUAAUUUAAUCCAAAACACAAAGGAAUUACGUAGAGGUUUUAAAUAAUCAGGGAGCUUCAUGAUCGAACCCCAAACCACGUGAUAGCAUACAAGAGUUCUAUUUCACUAUCGGUAGACAAAGACUUUCUAUGGUUGAUGUACCGUAGGAAAAAAUCUGCCUAUACAACGUGAUAGCAUUUUUUCAAAAACACAAGAUGGAAAAUUGCCCCCUUAAACGUGGAAAUUCAUGAUCUUUCCUCGAACAAAGAAUACUCACGCCUAUUCAAGAUGGAAAAUUGCCCCCUUAAACGUCUAUUUGUCAAUUCUUGAAAAAAGAAUACUCACGCCUAAAACACGGCCUCUUCAUCUGCAGAAUUCUAAAAAGUUACGUAAACUCUAUAAACAAGUUGAUAGGUACAAUCGUACCCAAGAUCAAGUACAGAUAGUUGUACAUUCACUGCUGCAAUAACUAAUCUGAUGACUUACAAACAUAUCAUGGUCAAUCGUUGAAUGGUAAUGAGUCUUUUGUUAUGCAUUAGUAUUAGUGUGUACACUCUAAUAGAUUGAUACUUAUACUCUUUAAAUUAUCAUAAUAAUACCCUUAAUUAACUUUAACUCUUAAAAAGAAUACGUGUUAAUACACGAGAGUGUGUAACCUGAAUUGUUACUUAUACAUUAGUGUGUAAUAGAUAGGGAUGGCAGUGAGGGCGAGUGCCCGCGGGGGGCUCUCGGGGCGGGGGCGGGGGAGAAUUUUUUCCCCCCGUUUAGAAACGGGGCAGGGGACGGGGGAGUAUACCCCCGCCCCAUCCCCCGCCCCGCCACCCGCAAAAAAAAUUAUAUAUAUAUAAUUAUAUAUAAUAUGUAAUUUAAUUAGUUAUAAACUUAUGAUAAUGAUAUUAUUAGUUAGAUGUAUUAUAUAAUGUAUAUUAGUGUAUGUAAUAUAAUUAAUAUUAUCAAUUAUACGAAUAAUUAGACAUGUCCACUAAUAGAGUUUAUUAAUUAGUUAUACUAAAUUUACUAAUACAUUUGUACUAAAUUUCUAAUUACACUUAAUAGAAUAACACUUUUUUCUAAAAAAAAAAGCACAAACACAAUAAUGAAUUAGUGAUUGUAUUUGUACCAAAAGUGAAAACUUAACUAUUUUAGUUGUAUUUAUUUCAUCAUGUUGGAUUGUAUUCAAAUAAUUUUUGUUUGAUUGUUUUUAUGAGUUUCAAUUGUAAAAUUAAAAUGAAUAAUAACUUGAUGAUGUGUUGAUAUUUUAGUACUUGAUUAUUUAUUGAUUUAACUAUAAUAAAAUUUUAUUUUAUUAAAAUUUAACUAUAAUAAAAUUUUAUUAACCAAACGAGUUAUUAAUCCCGCGGGGGCACCCACGGGGGAAGCGGGGCGGGGCGGGGGAGUGGGAGGCGGGGGACGGGGCGGGGGUGGGGGGAGUUGUAGGUAGCGGGGCGGGGGAUGGGGGAGGGGUCCCCCGCCCCAACCCCGCCAUCCCCCGCCCCGUUGCCAUCCCUAGUAAUAGACUGGCAAGCAUUGUGGUGGUCAUUGAGAACUUACUGGAGAAAUAGUCCUAUAAGCUGUUCAAUGAGCAAUCACAACUUGCUAAUUGGAUGACUAAUAUAGCUCUAGCUGUAAUGUUUUAAUUAAAUUACAUCACUAACGUUGGGAUGACUUUUUAACCAAAAAAAAAUGCCUUAGUUCAAGCUUUUCCCUUUAUUGUGCAUUUUUUAAAGCAUUUGAUAGGCACUGCAAAUCUGUCAUUUUGGACAUUUUAUUAUUGACUAACAAUGAAAGCCGUGACGUCUACCCAUAACCAACACAAGAUUAAAUUAAUAUUAGAAAAAAUAAUUGAGUAAUUGGAAAAAAAAAAAGAGACUCAUUUUCAUUGAAACCCACCGACAAACUAAACGUGUCCAUGGCUUUUGAAUAGUGCAUUCAACGUUUAAUUGUAUAGUCCAGUUCAUUGCAGAUUACAUGGAGUAAAGAUUGUGCUCUUUCCUUUUUCACCCCUUUUGGAAUCGAUACUGUGGAGAAUUGGGUUUUUCCCUUCUUUUUUUCUUUUCUUUCCUUCUGUGCUUUGCAAAACAUAGGUAAAAAUAUGAAAUCCGAAGCAUUCUUUAAUUGGGAUUAAGUAUUGUUGUUGAAAUUAAAAAGAAAAAAGAAAGAACAACAAAAUUCCCAAUCUGGGUUGAUUGUUGAGCUCUAGAUUGGUUGCAUCGUGCUUCCAUAGAAGCUCUCUUAGUGUGAUACACUGCUUUCAAUCAGUUUAACACGGGAAAAAAAAAAAAAGAGAUGAAAAGCAAAUUUGGUGGGGAUAAUUUCAGAAACCUCCCCUGAAGAUUUUGACUAUUCUACUGGUCUCCCUUCAGAUUUUAAAAAUUACACUAAUCUUCCUUGAAGUUAAUUAUCUUGUAACAUUUAAAUUCAAUCAAUAAUUUAAAAAAUGAUAUUAUGAGAGAGAAAAUAAUGAUUUUAUCAUUGCCCCCCAUCUUACUACAUUAUUUAAUUAAUUUAAUAGCAACCCACACAUUAAAGAAAAAUAUUAAAAUUUGUUGUUUAUCAUUAAAGAUCAAAUCGCUUAUAACAUCAAAUAAUAGUAUAUUAUUUAUAUUUUUCACUCAAUAUAAUAUCCAAAUUACUCUUUUCAAUUACAUACCCAUUGUUAGACAAUCAACAACAAAUAACCAAAAAAUUUGCAACCAAAAUAUUACAAAAAAAUAAACUUUAACAUAUAAAUAUUCUUAUCAACAUAUUAAAGUUAGUUACUGAAAUUUUUAUGCUGUUAAACUUCACUCUUUUUGGUUACAGAUUUUUUUGAUUAUUUGUUAUUAAUUAUGUUUGAUGAUGGAUUUAUAAUUGAAAAGAACAAUUUGAAACUUACAUUAAGUAAAAUAUAUAGAGUGAUAUACUAUUUUUUAUAACAUAUGUGAUUCAAUCCUUCUUGAUAGGAUUGGUAAUAGAGGUAGAGGGGGGAGCCGGCUGCAUCCGGUCUACUUUUCAUAGAUAGUACAAUAUUGCGAAAUCGAUCGCAUUCACGCAAUAUUAUUUCCAAGUCAUUGCAUGGCUAAGCUGCAAAAAAAGUACGAACACAUGUUAUUAUAUAGCUUACGAUUCAAAACUUUAGAGCAUAACCCUCCACCUAACACAAUUGAAUAAUGAACAUUCACGUUUGUCAAAUCUGUCAAAGCACAGUUUGAGGACAACCCAUUCCAACCUGCAAAAGAUUUUUUACUUUUCUAAAGUUGUUGAGAGCUGUAAAAAGACUUACCAUGCUUGCAUCCUCCGAGCCUUGGGAGUUAAAAAUGAAGGCACUGAGUGCUAUAAAAAGGGGAAUAGAGGCUGCCUAGAAGCAUAUCAGCCUAAAACAAGAAUUUGUAGUUAAGAUGGGAAGCAAAGCAAAAGCAAUGGGGUCUGGGCUGACUCCUCUUCUUGCCACUGUUUUAGUGGUGUUUGUUGCUCUUGGCUUGCCCUCACAAACUGCAGCUGAUGAUCACUACAAGUAUUCAUCUCCUCCUCCUCCUUACCACUAUCCCUCACCACCACCACCAGUGCAUAUACCUCCACCUCAUCCUGUUUACAAGUACAAAUCUCCACCACACCCCCAGUACAAGUAUAAGUCACCACCACCACCUCCUCAUCCGGUAUACAGUCUCCUCCGCCACCACACACCCAGUUUACAAGUACAAGUCACCACCACCACCUCCUCAUCCGGUACCACACCCAGUUUACAAGUAUAAGUCUCCUCCGCCACCAGUUUACAAAUACAAGUCUCCUCCACCACCACCUCCAGUGUACAAAUACAAGUCUCCACCACCACCAGUUUACCACUACAAGUCUCCACCACAGUUUACAAAUACAAGUCUCCACCACCACCCCCAGUUUACAAAUACAAGUCUCCACCACCACCAGUUUACCACUACAAGUCACCACCACCUCCUCCCCCAGUUUACAAAUACAAGUCUCCACCACCUCCUCACCACUACUAAGCAAUUGCUUCUGAGGUAAUAACACUUGUUCAAUAUACCCACUUCUGCAUGAUAAAGCAUAUCUCUAUCAACACAAACUGUCAUGUCUAUCAUGCUAAGUGCCUUCACUUCAUCCACCAAAAUGACUGCUAGAAAAUUUUUUUUAUGUUACCAAAGAAAGGCAUCAUUUUUUCCCUCUGUUAUCAAGAACUUGUACAGUAUAUAGAUUAAAGAGUAUUUUUUUAACUAGCUUAUCAACUGAGAAAUGCAUAUAGCUGAUAGCCAGCUGAAUAUUUGCAGGCAAAGGAGAAGGAAACCAGUGUUUGAGACCUUCUUGAAGAUGUAGAAGCAUAAGAAUUAAAGCCCAAUGUGAAGAUGAUGAUUUCAAGUUUUUCUACGUUACCAUUUCUUUAUCUAAAUUGGUUGUAGCGCCUUAGUUCCUUUGUUUAUGGGAUUUGUAUCGUUUUACGUACCAUGCAGUACAUGUCAUGUUUGUAAGGUUUUCUAUCCUGCCGGCAAACCGCAGGUUCCAUGUAAUAAAUCAAUACUAUUUAUAUUACGACACUUUUCUCUGUUUCUCUUAUAUUUUGUCGUCUUUAAUAUUCUUAAUCAUAUUUUUAACAAAAAUAUUCAAACACUUAGGCAAUCUGGUCUAAUGCUAAUUGUAUGUUUUACUUUUCUUUUUCACCUGCUCCCCUUUUCAACUCAAAAGGAUGCAAUAGUUUGUGAUCACUGUUUAAGACGGAAGCAUGAUACUAAUGAAUAUCUCAUUGAAACUCAAGGAAACUAACAUUGCGAAAAGUGUAAAUCUUGAUUUGAUGCAACUAUUUAUUCGUGGAAUCUAUAGUUACAAAACUCAAAUUCUGACUGCGCCAUUGAUAAAUUAUUAAUGACGCUAUCAUCAUUAUUUAUCCCUAACUAGUUUCGACUACAACUGAACCCAAUAUUUUCCCCAUGAUAAAAGUUUUUGACUAUUUUACUGGCCUCUCUUCAAAUUUUAAAAAUUACACUAAUCUUCAUUGAGAUUAAUUAUCUUGUAACAUUUAAGUCCAAUUAAUAAUUAAAAAAUGAUAUUAUGAGAGAGAAAAUAAUAUAAUUUUAUCAUUGCCCCCCAUCUUGCUAUAUUAUUUAAUUAAUUUAAUAGCAACCCACACAUUAAAGAAAAAUACUAAAAUUUGCUGCUUUUCAUUAAAGAUCAAAUUGCAUAUGCCAUAAAACAUAGUAUAUCAUUCUAUAUGUUUCACUUAAUGUAAGAUCCCAAUUGUUCUUUUCAAUUACAAACCCAUUGUCAAUAACAAAUAACCAAAAAAUUUGCAACCAAAAUAUUACAAAAAAAAACUUCAACAUCAUAAAUAUUCUUACCACCUCUAGUGCAUUCACCCUCAUAAAAUAAUUCAAGACCCUACUGUCAUAAAAUGACUGAUCAACUCCCGUAAACCUAAUUUGACAACAUUUAAAUGGAGAACUUUAGCUAAAAGAAUUAUGGUCAAGCUAAAGAAAAAACCAGUUAUUUUCCAACAUAUGCAAUCAUUGAUCAGGGAAAAAAAAAAGAGCAAAAAGACAUCUUCAAUCAUUUAAUAGCUUACAGGGCAAAUUAACCCCUAAGCGAAAACUGGUUGCUCUAGAAUCAAAAUUUUACUUUAGUUACCCAGGCAACUUUUUUGUUGCUUUUUUUUUUUUUUUCCUUUAGUUUUGCCCCCUCUGUCAAGCUUAUAAAAUUAUUAAGAUAAUAAAAGUGCCUUGAAUAGUAUUAAUAUAUCCAUUGACUUGAGCUGUCGUCAGUUUGCGAUUCCAUGAGGCCUUUUCAAAGUACUCAGAAAAUGGGGAGUCAUGAAAUCCAUUUGUUCUAUUCAUUGCUAAGAUGCUUUUCUCUAUAAAGAGACUUCCUAACGAAAAUACUUUGUAGAUUUCUUUACUCCAAGUGGUGCAUGGAAAAUUAAUAUUUUCAAUUAUCAAAUAAAAUUCCCUUUUUUCGGCGUAGAUUUCAUCCAUCCAGCUGUUAACACAUUCUAUAAAUCCGAAUUGACUAAUCUUUUCGUUUCCAUUUUCCAACUUGCGAAUACGGCAUAUAGUGUCUGCUAAACACUAUAUAUUCUCUGCCAAAUAUGAAUACAUAUCACUUUUCUGAGCAAGUGCAGAGUCAUUAUCAUUUUUAUUCCCACCUAACAAAUUAGGGAUAAAAAAGUUAAUAAUCUUUACAUGCUAUCAGGUCACAAGUUAAUAAUCUUUUAAAGAACAUGUUAAAUUAAUUUAUUGGUAUGAAUAGUAGUCAAAGAAGUAUGUUAAAGUUAGUAAUCUUUAAAAUAAUAUGUUAAAAUCAUUCGUACAAAUUAGUCAGAGAAGUAGCAUAAACACCGCGAUGCAAUUAAUACUUUCAAUCUCAAGGUCUCUAUUAUGGAAAUUUGCAUCGGUCAAUAUACACUUGGCAUAAUAUAAUCUCCCAACUCAUUUCUUUACAAAUGCACCUUUAAUCACCACCAAAAGGUGUGGACAUGAUCUUUACCCUAGAAAACUAUUCACCGACAGGCAAAUUGACGUCAGAAAUACUGAGGAAUUCUAGUUUCCUUCGGGUUCAUGCCAUGUUGUAUCCUUCAACUGUAACUCGAUUUCUAAGCUGUAAUUUGUGACAUAAUAGUCCUUAAACUAUGAAACCCUUCUUACUUAAUUACAAUGGUUAAUACAAUGCCCGUGACUAGACAAGUAUGAAGCAACCAUAACAGAAAAAAAAUCCAAAAUUAGAGAAAAGAAAGAAGUUUCGCGACCACCACCAGUUUACAAGUCACCUCCACCACCUCCUCCAGUUUACAAGUCACCUCCACCACCUUACCAUUAUUCCUCACCACCACCUCCAGUGCAUUCACCCCCACCACCACCAGUUUACAAGUCUCCGCCACCACCUUACCAUUAUUCCUCACCACCACCUCCUGUGCAUGCACCUCCACCACCAAUUUACAAGUCACCUCCUCCAGUUUACAAGUCUCCACCACCACCUUACGAUUAUUCCUCACCACCACCUCCAGUGCAUUCACCCCCACCACCACCAAUUUAUAAGUCUCCCCCACCGCCUCCCCCAGUAUAUAAGUCACCACCACCACCUCCUCCAGUAUACAAAUCACCUCCACCACCUCCUCCAGUUGACAAAUCUCCACCACCACCAAUUUAUAAAUACAAGUCUCCUCCACUACCUCCUCCAGUGUACAAGUCAUCACCACCACCUGCUUACAAGUCUCCACCUCCUCCAGUUUACAGUUCCCCACCACCACCAAUCUACAAGUCUCCACCUCCACCCUACCAUUACUACUACAAUUCUCCUCCUCCUCCUCGUCACUACUAAGCAAUUGUAUCCAAGUUUUUGAGGUAAUAACGCUUAACCAAUAAAUUAACUUUCGCAUGAUAAACCUUAUCUCUAUCAAGACAAACUGCCAUGUGUAUCAUGCCAAAUACGUACACCUAGAUCCAUGAAAAUGAAUGGUGAGGAGGGCCAUUUAGGCUCGGAGCGCCCUAGGCCUAGUUCCCCACCAUUUCCUGAAGUGCCGCCUCGGGUAUUAUCCUGGAAGGCGAUCGCGGCCCAUUUACCACCUCGGCUACAAUGUCAGGUCGUAACACCGAGGUGGACAUUGAAUGACAACUACGAAAAGGGGAGAUGUGAUCUCUGACACCUGAGCAAAGGCUGCUCUGACCCGCCGCCUGAAUCUGACAGAAUGUCCCAUCACGUCUCUUCAUGGAGACCGGUCAAGUCCACCUGAUCCACUGACUAUCUCAGAUCUUUUGGGACCCGUGCAAACAUCUCCUCUCUCCUAUCAGUCCCCUAUAAAUACACGAUACUUCUACUGAAAAAGGAGAUGACCAAUUUCUGGUAAAACACACUCCACUCAUUAUUUACUUCUCUAUAUCCGAACUGACUUAAGCUUCGGAGUUAUACCGGGGGAUCCAGCCCCUUUCUUAUCCAAGCAGGUGACUUCGUCCAAGAGAGUUGCCCAAGGUAAAGAUAUUCUUCCAAUUGAGGUGACUCACUCCUGCGGGUCGAAAAUCACCUCUUCAAUUGGCGCCGUCUGUGGGAACCGCAAAGAUAUUAGAAGAUGAAGCCUGCGCGUUCUAGAAGCAGAAAAGCUCUCACUAUCGAGGCUGGGCAAAGCAAUGCAGCUCAACAAGAAAAUAUUUCUGAAGGGCAGGAGUCCCCAAGGACUCAGCCCGCAAACGAAAAAGCCAUAACCCGUAUGGCCGAGUUUGUGACCGAGAACCCCAACAUCUUUGAAGAGUUGGGAAGAUACCUGAAGAGGCAAGGCAAACAAAAGGCCGAGUCCUCUAAAAGGAUGUCAGAUGGGUCUCUUGAGGACUCAUCUGAGGAGGAGUCGGAUGGAAGGCACUUAAGCCGAAGUGCCUCAAAGCGAGCAUUUUCUAAGGCCACUUCUAAGGUAGCCUCCCUGACCAAGGCGUUUUCCCGAGGGCUCUUGGGCCGACGACCCGAGGAAGAACCUCGGCCCUUGGGAAUACCCGGGGUGGACUGCAUGAGGGCUCCACCGUUCACGGAUGAUAUAAACGAGGAAAGGCUUCCUCCCAAUUUUAAGCUCCCCGCAGUACAAUCUUACGAUGGCCGAGGUGAUCCCGAGAAUCACAUCCAUACCUUCAUCUCGGCCUUCCAAAUAUACUGCAUCCCAGACCCUGUCAUAUGUCGGGCCUUUCCAGUAUUCCUCAGAGGAACUGCUCGAAAAUGGUUCUGAGCUCUAGAACCUAGGAGCAUUUCGACCCUGGGUGAAUUAGUGGAGAAGUUUCUCCACCGAUUUGUCUCCUCCCGACCUACGACUAGGACCUCGGCUUACCUGCUCACCGUGCAGCAGAACCCGGGAGAGUCACUCCGGUCGUACGUCCGGAGGUUCCAUGAGGAAAGCGUUCAGAUACCUGACCCCAAUGAGCAGGUAACCCUCGCUGCCUUUACCCAUGGACUCGUUGCCGGGGAGUUCAAUACGGGGAUCCAUAAAAAAUACCCCCGCACACUGCAUGAAUUGUGGUUGAAGGUUGAAAAGGGCAUACAGGCCGAAGACCUCCAUCGCAUGAAGAAAGAGGUCCAAGCCACCCGUCCAAGGGCUGAGCCCAGAAAGGGAAAAGACGCUGGCCGAACUGAAGUAGGGUCGGGAAGUGGCUUCCGAAGUCCUGGCCGAGACCGCCGCAGCGUGUUCGACAGGAUAUCCAAGGGGAAGUCACCUAUUCCCGAGUCCGAGUUGACUCCUUUAAAUACUACCCGAUCUCACGUGUUGUCCGUGAUGGAACAAAACAACCUCGGCAAGGGCCCGCCGAGGAUGUUUGGAAGCAGAGACAAGAGGAACUCGAACCUCUACUGCUUGUAUCAUCGUGACAUUGGUCACGAAACUGAGGAUUGCAACGAUCUCAAGAAGGAGAUCGAGAACCUCAUUAGACGGGGACACUUGAAACAGUUCAUCCGCAGAGGUGGAGGUCACCAACGUGACGAAAACCGGCAUGACAAAUGAGGUGACCAACGCCGAGAUGAGCGGCGGAGCUCCAGAAGCAGUUGCCGACCUCCUGAGGAUCCCAGGGAGACGAAAAGGCCUCCCCCAGACGGAUCUUCGGGACAUGGGCCAACCAUUGCCCGGGUCAUUAACACCAUUGCCGGAGGUCCGACGGGAGGGGACAGUCAGAACUCCCGGAAGAGAACCUAUAAGCAGGCUAACCCGGAUCAGGCCGAGUCGAGUUCUCGCCUGUCCGAGGUGAUCACCUACGGGCUCAGUGAUCCCAUCCCAGCUGCAUCCAGCAGUCAUGAAACCUUGGUGAUUGAAGUCCUCACCAAUAACUACAUUGUGAAAAGGUCUACAUAGACCCGGGAAGUUCAGUUGACGUCAUGUACCUCCGUACCUUUGAGAGCCUUAAAAUGGCUAAGGGGUGCAUGACCCCGCUGAGAACCCCUCUUGUAGGGUUCGGGGGACACGUGGUGCACCCCGAAGGGAUGGUGACUCUGACAGUGACCAUAGGGCAUCACUCUCGCUGUAGAACCGUCCCUGUCAAUUUUGUGGUGGUUAAGGCUGACUCCCCAUACAACCUACUUUUAGGUCGGCCUACGCUCAAUGCCUUGCGGGCGGUCUACUCCACCUACCACCUGAGCUUCAAGUUUCCUACCCCAGCAGGGGUGGCCGAGGUCAGCAGCGACGUCUGUGCUGUCCGGGAGUGCUACCUCGCCACCCUACAAGCAGCCUCCCCGUCUACCUCCGGUGCGAGGUCCGAGAAGAGGUCAAAUAUCCUCUCAAUAGAUAGCAUCGAUCCUCAGUGAGCUGAGAAGGUCCCGAGGCUGGAGACUGGGGAUGAGGUGGAAGAGAUUCCCCUGGACCCCACGAAACCUGAUCAGACAGUUCGCGUUGGUACCCGAUUGCCCGGUCCUAUCCGAAGAGGUAUGAUGGACCUCCUCAGGGAAUACCGGGACGUCUUUGCUUGGGCCGCCGAAGAGGUCCAAGGAGUCCCGCACCAUCUCAUGAUGCAUGACUGAACGUCGACCCCCAAGUCCGUCCGGUCAAACAGAAGAGAAGGCACAUCGGCCCUGAGCGCAGCCAAGCUGUUGGUGAGGAAGUGGACAAGCUUUUACCCGCUAAAAUAAUCCGAAAAGUCCAAUACCCGAUCUGGUUGUCUAACUCGGUCAUGGUCAAGAAGGAUACGGGGGCUUGGAGAAUGUGCGUCGAUUUUACCGACCUCAACAAAGCCUGCUCCAAGGAUUGCUACCCCUUGCCCAAAGUCGAUACUUUGGUAGACUCAGCAAUGGGCUACGAGAUCCUCUGUUUCUGGGAUGCAUUCAAAGGCUAUCACCAAAUUGGGAUGAGUCAAGAAAACCAGGAGAAAACGGCCUUCUACACCGACCGCGGCACGUACUGUUAUACUACCAUGCCAUUCGGGUUGAAGAAUGCCGGAGCCACUUAUCAACGCUUGGUCAACCAAGCAUUCAAGUCUCAAAUCGGCCGGAAUGUUGAGGCCUAUGUAGAUGACAUCCUCCUCAAAAGCCAGACGAACUCCACCUUCCUGGCCGACUUGAAGGAGGUCCUUGACAUCCUGCGGAAGGUGAAAAUGAUGCUGAACCCCAAGAAAUGUGUUUUUGGGGUCACCUCGGGGAAAUUUCUAGGUUACCUCGUCUCAAGGCGAGGUAUCGAAGCAAAUCCGGAUAAGGUGCGAGCCAUCCAGGAGAUGUCUCCACCCCGGUGCGUCCGCGAUGUCCAAAGGCUGACAGGGCGAUUAGCCGCCCUGAAUCGGUUCUUAUCGCAGUCGGCAGCUAAAGCACUGCCCUUUUUCAAAGUGUUGAAGAAAGCUGACCAUUUCUCCUGGACGGAAGAGUGUCAACAGGCGUUUGAGCAGUUGAAGGAUUACCUUCACUACCUUCCAACGCUCACCUCACCUCGUCCGGGGGACAAAUUAAUCUUAUACCUUUCUGCUGCGGCCGAAGCGGUGAGUGCCGUGCUGAUAAGGAAGGAAGGGGUCCAAAUGCCCGUCUACUACGUUAGCCGAGUCCUCCGAGGUCCAGAGACCAGGUACACACAAGCAGAGAAACUUGUGCUAGCCCUGAUCCACGCCGCCCGCAGACUCAAGCCCUACUUCCUAGCUCACCACGUCUGCUUGAGGACUGAUCAACCACUUCGGCAGAUUUUGACACGACCAGAGGUUUCGGGACGUCUUACCAAAUGGGCCAUUGAGCUGGGGGAGUACGACCUAACUUAUGAGCCUCGCACAGCGAUCAAGGCCCAGGCUCUCGCAGACUUCGUAGCCGAGCUCACCUUUGACGAGGUGCAAGGAUCCGUCCCGGCUGCCACAUCGGCCACAGUUGAUGUGGCCACCACUGGGCUCCAGCGGUGGAUCCUACACGUGGACGGUUCGUCAACAGUGAGGGUAGUGGAGCAGGCUUGCUCCUCGAAGACCCCCAAGGAGAAAUAUGCUAAUAUGCCUUAAGAUUUGACUUCGCUGCUUCAAACAAUGAAGCUGAAUACGAAGCCGUCAUUGCUGGACUGCAGCUAGCUCGCAAGCUCGGGGCCGCACACAUCUUGGUUUAUAGUGAUUCCCAACUCGUCGUGUGCCAGAUAUUAGGUGAGUACGAAGCCAGGGACGAGGUGAUGCAUCGUUACCUCUCCAAGGUCCUCCAGUUGGCGACUCACUUCGAGUCUUUUGAAAUUCAAAGAAUACCGCUAUCGAAAAACAGAAGGGCUGACGCCCUCUCCCGGCUUGCCUCAACCUCUUUCUCUGACCUGAACAAGACGGUUCUCGUUGAAGUUCUAGCCGAACCAGGAUAUGUAGCCGAGGUAGUAUACCCCGUCUACCCUGGGGACACCUGGAUGGGUCCCCUGACUCGAUUUUUCAGCCAGGGUGAGCUCCCCGAAGACCGAGCUGAGUCACGGAAGCUCCAACGAAAAGCAGCACGGUACAUUCUCCGACAAGGCCUUUUAUACAAAAGGUCUUACCUCGGCCCUUAGUUGCGAUGUAUCACGCCCGAGGAAGGCCAGAGAAUCCUCCAAGACAUACAUGAGGGGCUCUGUGGUGCUCACGUCGGCUACAGAAUGCUGGUAAAAAAGGCUUUGUUACUUGGGUAUUUUUGGCCCACUAUGAGGAUAGAUGCCCAGGUCAUGGUCCUUUGCUGCCCCUCCUGCCAGCAUCACGCUCCUGAGCACCACCAGCCGACCAAUUUAAUGAUCCCUAUCACCUCGUCAUGGCCAUUUGAGCAAUGGGGAACGGACAUAAUUGGCCCCUUUCCCAGAGCUCCAGGCAAUUAUACCUACGUGGUGGUAGCAGUGGACUACUUCACCAAAUGGGUCGAAGCUGAACCCCUAAAAAAUAUCACUGGUGCGGCAGUCCAGAAAUUCUUCUGGAAGAAUGUGGUUUGCCGCUUCGGCCUACCCCGGGUGAUCAUCUCGGAUAAUGGCCGACAGUUCGCCGAUAAUCCUUUCAAGGCCUGGUGUGAGAACCUCGGGGUCAAACAGCAUUUCACUUCGGUGGGACACCCCCAAGCCAACGGACAAGCCGAAAACUUCAAUCGCACGCUCCUCCAUGGCCUCAAGACCAGGCUCCACCAGGCUGGAUCGUUUUGGAUGGAAGAGCUCCCCAGUGUGCUGUGGUCCUACCGAACUACGCCGAGAUCAGCAACCCAGGAAACCCCGUUUUCCUUAACCUACGGGUCAGAAGCUGUUGUUCCAGCCGAAUUCAUCACCCCGAGUCCACGAAUGGCCGCAUAUGCUGCCGAAGUCAAUGAAGAAGAACGGCGAGUUGACCUCGACCUCGUCGAAGAGAAGCGUGAUAUGGCCGCGGCCAAAGUUGCUGUUUACAAAAAUAUCGUAGCUGGCUACUACAACGCUCGGGUUAAACAUUUGCGGUUCAGUCCGGGAGACCUGGUGCUCAGGAAGAACUCAGUCAGCCGGGCUGAACCUCAGGGUAAACUAACCCCCAAGUGGGAGGGACCAUACCGUGUUGUUGAGUCCAGCCAAAAUGGAUAUUGUAAAUUGGCAUACCGAGAUGGGUCUCUGAGUGCCCCGAACUUGGCAUGCUGAAAAUCUUAAGUUGUACUACCCUUGAGGGUAUGUGCUUUUAAUCUUGAGUUAUUUCACACUUAUUUUCAUUUCAUUAUAAGUGAAAAAUAAGGGGACAAAGUAGCAGUAAAGAGGAAAACCGAAUUUAAUUAAAAAGAAAGCAAGAAUAUGAACUCAAUUCCAUUGAAUUACAUAAAAGUAGAAAGCCGAGGUCACCUUUAAUUAGGAAGAAAGCAAGAAUAUAAACUCAAUUCCAUUGAAUUACAUAAAAGUAGAAAGCCGAGGUCACCUUUGACCUCGGCCUACAAUGACAAAAAAAAAAACAAGUGCCUCUAGGCACUCCCUACCCUGACAUCCUGGCCCCCCGUGGUCGCGCCACCCGUUUCGGCACCCUGUCCACCCUCAGCUCCUCCACCGGCCUGGUCGUCUUCAGUACCAUCUAGUUCAAACUCCUGGAGCCAUUUGUUGAAUUCGGCUCGGACUUCGGUUAGGUCUUUCUCAGUCCGGAUGCCCUCAGCCAUGCUGUCGCAUAGCUCCUUGGCAUCCUCGUUAUAGUGCGAAGUGCUCUGAAGGGACUCCAGUUGUUCAGAGGGAAGAAAGGAUGCCGCGUCAUUAAUAGCCGACGUGUACCCGAACAUGAAGCUUGGCCGGGUGAGCUCGCCGAGGUCACGGAUGAAGGACUCUGACGUCCGGAAGGCUUCCACAGCAGUGACCCCGGCCUUGUCCAUGGCCUCCCUGUUUGACUGUUCUUCUUGGGCCCUCCUUUUUUUCUCCUCAUCAAGAGCAGUCACCAGGGAAUUGUUCGCGACCUCGGCCCUUUUGUUAGCCGCCUUGGCCUUGUCACGCUCCAACUCGGUUGCCUUCAGUUUUUCUUCCAACUCGGCAAUUCUCUUCUGGAGCUCGGCAGGAGGCUCAUAGUUUUCCAUGAACUUUCCAUACCGUUGAAUCAUCUCGACAAAAAAAGCCGUGGUAGAGGCCCAUGACACCGAGGCGCUCUGCAUCAACUCCCCUGCGGAGAGCUUCCUAGCAUAAGUGCUAUCUCGUGGCAGCACUGAAUGCACCAAGAGCUCCUGAGCGACCAAAGGGUUCUUGCAGCGAUCGUUGAAAUUAAUCUCCCACUCUGGACACCAGUGUGAUCCGGGGUGUCUCUUGUCCUCCUCAGCUGCCUUGAAAGGCACAUGAUGGAGUUUGAACAAAGAUGACCCCGUGACGGGGUUCUCCGGAAAUAUGGUCACACCCUGACCCCGGGGGGGAGUGGCAAUCGUGACCCAGCGAGAAGGGAUUCCCACCGGAAUUGCCGAGGCUCGGGAACCUCCCGGAGUGGCCGAGGUGUGCGAGCCCUCGCCCACGAUCACCACGGCAGGCUCGCGGUCGCCCGACGCCGCGGUGGUUUUCUUAGCCGGCCUGGAAGAGGACCCUGCAGUGUCCUUGCGCUUUUUGGGAGCUCUUUUGACCACCUCGACAUCUCCCGAGGUUAUCAGGUCGAAAAUCUUCGUCACUGCAAAGUAGGAGACGAAGUCAGUUAGAAUUCAAGAGGGAUAAACUAAAAGGGAAGAAAUGGAAAAAUACAAAGUCUGUGAAGCCUAGUCGAGAGUAAGACAGGCUGGUCAGAGCUCGUCAAGGCUCAACUGAUCCCGCCUUCCACGAGCACCACUUCGGGAAAAUCCCAGCAGUUUAUCCUGAGGCCCGACCCCGUUAACUUCUGGAAGUUACGCUCUUCUAACUUCCCUGGAGAUAUCUCCUUGAUCGAGGUGGGAGGCCUCCACCAGAAUCCGCGAGGGAAGUCAUCGGCCGAGACGAAGAAGAAGUUUUGCUUCCACUCCUUUAUUGAGUUCGGAGCAUCAACCACCAACUUCGGAACUUUGUUUCCGAAGUAGAACCAUCCUUUUUCACUUCUGCUGUUCUUGAGUGAGUAACAGCGGCGAAAGAGGUUGACCUAAGGUUGUAUCUCCUGAUGUCGGCAAAGUAGCUGGAAGCCAACGAGAAUGCGAAUAGCGUUAGGGGUGAGUUGAGUGAUUCUCACCCCCCAGUACCUCAGGCAGUCCCGAAGAAACCUCGUCGUGGGCACUCUGAGUCCGGCCUCCAGCUGUUCCUGAUAGAUAGUCACCUUGCCCUUUGGUGGCAGUGCGGCUGACUGAUGCGGUUGGGGUAUGUAAAUACUAUAAUCCCUUCUCCAGGGAUACCUGCGGACCACCUCGGCUAUUGAGGCUUGUCCCAUACCACUACUGAAGAACGGCAUCUGGCCGUAGUCGAGAGUUGCCACGUUUGGAGGAGUGGAAGGUUCUUGUACUCCCUCGUCUCUAGGGAUCUCAAUCCCGAGGUCAUCGUUGUAUAGGACCUCGGGCUGGACCUCGAUCUCCUCGGGCUGCACCUCAACCGCCUCAGCUCGGCGUGAUGCCUCGGCACCUCCACCCUCAGCUUGGUGAGAUGCCUCAGCACCUCCGCCCUCGGACGCGGUCCUUUCCUGGGAGGGGUCAGGCCUCUCUGCCUCAGUGAGGUCAGGUCUCACUGUCUCUUUGUGCGUACGAGCUGUUCUAGCCAUUGUAUCAGAAGGGGAAGAAGUGAACUUACUUAGAAUCUGCGACUGGAAGAAGAUGCCGAAGUAGACGUGGUUUAGAAAGGUUGCCGAAGUGAAAAGAGAAAGAAACAGAGUUCUGGGGUGAUUCUUGAUUUUUGGUGAAGAGUAAAACGGUGAAAAAAGACCACUAUUUAUAGGCCACCAGGGUGAAACCCAAGAGACGGCACCCUCUCUCUUCAUUAAUGGGAGGACUGUUCGUCUGCCAACACAGCUGACAGCCGUCCCUUCAGUUAUCACUCAGUCCCAUCUAUGCGGUCAUGACGUGUCCGUGUUCCGUGUUUUAUACGCUUCUCAGCUUCGGGAAGUAACGACCACGGCGGAUGCCCAUCUCGCCCUUCUCAAAGCUUGGGGGGCUUAGUGAGGAGGGCCAUUUAGGCUCGGAGCGCCCGAGGCCUAGUUCCCCAUCAUUUCCUGAAGUGCCGCCUCGGGUAUUAUCCUGGAAGGCGAUCGCGGCCCAUUUACCACCUCGGCUACAAUGUCAAGUCGUAACACCGAGGUGGACAUUGAAUGACAACUACGAAAAGGGGAGAUGUGAUCUCUGACACCUGAGCAAAGGCUGCUCUGACCCGCCGCCUGAAUCUGACAGAAUGUCCCAUCACGUCUCUUCAUGGAGACCGGUCAAGUCCACCUGAUCCACUGACUAUCUCAGAUCUUUUGGGACCCGUGCAAACAUCUCCUCUCUCCUAUCGGUCCCCUAUAAAUACACAAUAUUUCUACUGAAAAAGGGGAUGACCAAUUUCUGGUAAAACACACUCCACUCAUUACUUACUUCUCUAUAUCCGAACUGACUUAAGUUUCGGAGUUAUACCGGGGGAUCCAGCCCCUUUUCUUAUUCAAGCAGGUGACUUCGUCCAAGAGAGUUGCCCAAGGUAAAGAUAUUCUUCGAAUUGAGGUGACUCACUCCUGCGGGUCGAAAAUCACCUCUUCAAAUGGUAGAAAGUUUUCUUAAGAACCAAGAACAGCAUUAGUAUUCCCUCUGCUUCCAAAAACUUGUGUAUUAAAUAGAUUAAUGAAUUGUUUAACAUGCUCAUCUACUUGAAAAUGCACAAUACCCAUAACCCACUGAAAUUUUUGCAGGAAAAGGGAAAGAGAAUCUGUGUUUGAGAGCUUCAUGAAGAUGUUGAAGAAUAAGAAUAAAAGCCCAAUGCGAGGAUGUUUUCAAGUUUUUCUAUGUCCACUUUAAUUUGUAAAUUGAAUUUUACAACUCAAUUAAUUCCUUGUUUGUGAGGUACGUAUUGUUUUACGUACCAUGCCGUACAUGUUUGUAAGGAUUUCUAUCCUAUUGGCAAAAGUCGGUUCCAUACAAUUAAUCAAUUCAUUUCACUUCUAUUGGCUCUACUAUUUAUGCAUGUUACGACACUCUUUCCCUUAUAUUUUGCCUUUAAUAUUAUGAGUCAAUAGUAAUAAUGGGCCUUUUUCUUAAAAUUAUACUAUUAUACAUAGGUAGUUUGGUCUAACGCUAAAUUCAUGUUUGUCUUUCUUUUAUUCCCUUUACAUCUCAAAGUAUACUAUAGUUUGUAAUCAUUGUGGUGAUGAUAUUACCAGCUGGUACUUAUAGUUUAAGGCAGAGACAUGAUAUUAACAACUAUCUCAUUGAAACAUAAGUCAAAAUCAUGACAAGUGUGAGUCUUGGUUAAUGCACAAUUUGUUAGUGGAAUUUAUAUUUAUAAAACUCAAAAAAAAUUUUUGACAAUGCUAUUACUAAUUAAUUAAGGACUUCAUUGCUAUAAUUUAUCGCUUACUAGUUUAAACUAUAAAUGAUCUCAAUACUUUUCUCCAUGAUGUCGAUUUCUUUAGACUACGAAAGGGAAAAAUUAGUGACAUAUCCCUUACUGAUUACAACAUCAGCAAAAAUUAGUUAUAAACUUUUCCGGUGGUUUUAAAUCCCUCGGGCACUAAGGUUUUUUGCACAUCGAGUGAAUUAAGGAACAUAGGCAAUUCGUUCUGCAUACCAAGUCCUUGUUUAAGAUGCACGUACUAAAAUGCAUCCACUUCAUUAAUUUGGAAAAUUGCCAUAGUUUUUUUUAAGCAUUUUGAUUUUUUACAUGAUUCAAAAUUUUCUUAUUGGAUACAAUCACUUUGUGUCAAGAACACAUUUUCAAUCAUCUUUUUUAUCUUCUCAAUAAGAAAAUAAAAAUUUAUUCAUGCUUUUCUAACAUAUCCAAUCAUUGAUCUGAAAAAUAAAGAAUUAAAAAAAAAAGACAUUUUCAAUCAUUGCUUACAGGGCAACUUCCCCAUGUGAACCUCUUCAAACAAAGCCAAUAAUAUGAAGGAACAUCUAAAUACACUUUUGCCCUAAAGGCUGGUUGCCUUGGGGUCAAAAUUUAACCUUCGGGAGUAUAAUUACCCGCCAAAUUUAUUAUUUUUUAUGGGUAUAUAGUUCCAAUUUUGCCUCCUGUUAAGCUUAUAAAUAUAUUACGACCCAGAAAAUAAAGGAAUCUUGAAUAGUAACAUGUCCAUUGACUUGAGUUGUCAUCAAUUUGGCUACUUCGAUUCCAUGAGGCCAAUCCAAUUCACACUAGCUAGAGAAAAUGGUGAUAAAGGCACUUAGAAAUUUAUAUGUAAUAUUGAUUGGUAGUAACUGAUAAGUAUAUAUUUUACGUGUUUUAAAUAUGUUUUAUUAGUUAGUUUUGGUGUGUUUUAACUACUUUUAUAACUAAUUAACUAGGAAUCUAGUGAAAAUAUGCAUUUUGUGGUUUGAAGUGUGAAAAUUGUAUUUCUAUGGAUUUUAAUGGUGAAAACUUCAUGUUUUUGUAGGUUUAAUGAUUCAAUCAUCAAAUGACAUGAUUUGAGAAGAUAAUUAGAUGAUUGAUGAUGUUUUGAAGUGAUAAAAAGAGAAUACAAAGUGCAAGAGAGGAAAUGCAAUCAAGAAUAAAAGAAGAAAAUUUUUGUAGCUUUGACAUAUUGUGGUAUUUUGGCAAUAUAUUGAGCUACAAUGAUUGGAUUAAGGUGAUUCUUAAACCAUUUGAAGCUAAGAUAUAGAUCUACAUUUGGUAUGAAGGCAUCGAAACCCAUGUCAGUCAUUUUCCUUGUCAAAAUGUUGAAAUACAGAAGUGCAACUCUGUUCUCGAAAGCUAAAACAGAGCUCUGGCUAGUCGAGGGUAUUUUCAUCAUUUCUUAGUCCACAGAGCUCCAAAUGAGAUGAUUCUUAAGGCAUUAGAACCCUAACUCAAAGAGCUACAACUUUCAUAUUUUGUACAAGAGUUAGUUCGGCCUCCAUCAUUCAGAAAAUAGUAGUUGAAGUGGUGCCAAAUGCAUAGAAGUGAAAACGCGAGCUAUCAAUACUCGACCUGAAGUCGCGUAUUCCUGAGGUCAUGCAUUCUCUUCUAUUUUCUGCAACUUGCCCUGCUUUCACAUAAUUUUUUCAUCUCAAUUCCAACUAUCAAUUUCGGCUAUAUCUGAUCAAGAAAAGUGUGGAAAGUUUGAAAGACAACUCAUAGGAGUUUCAAGAGUCAAAAAUUACAAUUAGAAACAACUCAUUUGGCUCUUGAAUCCUCUAUAAAUAGAGGCCUUUGAAGAACAUUUUCACAACUUUGGAAGGUUAGAGAAACUCCACAAAAACAUAGUCUUCACUAGAAUUUCCUUAGUUCAUUAGUUAGGGUAGUAUAGUAUAGUUAGUGUAGCUUUUCCUUCUUGUAUUUAUAGUUAGGUUUGAAUGAAGAUUCAGGAGCAAAGAUAGAGAGGUUGAUCUCAUGUGACAAGGGUGAUAUCUCUUCUACUACUUUCUCUUUUGUAUUUGAUUUCAUAUUUAACUAUACUACAAAUUUGGCUUUGUUUUUUUUUUUUAUCAUGUUUAGUUAAAGUUUAUGCCUAGAGUAUGGAUGACCUUUCUAUAUCUUGUUUGUGAUAUUUAACUGGUUAUUUGAUGAUGUUAUUUUUGAGCAAGUUAUUUAUCACUUUUGCUUUUCUAAUCGUGAUUAACUGGCCAUUAGUUGUGAUUAUCUAAAAGUGUUAAGUUUGUAAUGAGAAUUGGAGUUUAACACUAGUUCAAGGAAGUGAUAAAUUUAGGGAGUUCACUCAUGAGAGUAGAGGAACACCUUUGUGACCUAAGUGACUUGUUUCAUAUAAUUUCAUAGAAAAAAUGAACUUGUAAUUAAUUUCAUAACCACGAGAGUAAGUAUGGUUUAGCUAUAUGUAUAGUUGAUUCACUACGAGAGUAGGUUUCACAUACAUUAGAAAAUUACAUCAUAACUAGUCAAGAUAAUAUCAUUCAUUUAAUCAGUAAUCUCAUUUGCAUGAGUAGUAAGGCAUUCCAUAUCUCUAGGAGGUUUUUAGUAUUAUUUUCAUUACUUUUAUGUUUAUGGUAGUCUAGAUAAUAAUGGAGUUCAAAAACUACUAGUAAUUGAAAAUUUUCCCUGUGGGAUCGACCUUUAAUACCCUAUACUCGCUCUCGACUCGUAUACUUGCGAAAAAUCACGUGUGCGGUAUUUAGAAUUUAUAAAUGUAAAACUUGACUGUAGAUGAACUAAUUGAUAUAUGUAUACCCCGCACUCGUCAGUAACCAGCUUGUAUUGAUCCCAUUAUUGUGGAUAAUUGUGCUCUUAUGAAAAAAAAUUAUAAAAAAAUUAGCAAAAUUUAUGAUAACAAAUUAAAUUUAUUCAUACAAAUCAGUGAAAGAAGUAGAAUUUUAAAGACCAUGAUGAAAUUAAUACUUUCAAGGGCUCUAUUAGGAAGACUUCACUUGUUGGUGAAACUACACUAGCACAGUUAUAUGCACAUUUACUGUUUUGGUAUCUAAUUUCCUUGCCUUAAGUUGGGUGCAGAUGUUUAUAUUACAAAUAGAUGGUAUCAUAAAAUUGUUGUAUUCACGUUUGUUCUUUUUUUUUCUUCCUUAAGUUUUUUUCUUUAUUCUCGUGACUUCAAAAAUACGAACUCAAGAAAUUGGCUGCUUAAUCAAUAUGUCAUACAGGCUUCGCUAGUGAGGUAUAACUUCACAACUAGAGUCAAUAGAAAUUAUCAAAUGAUUUUUUAACAUCCAAAUUAAGCAAUAAAUUUUGUUUUCAUUUUAUGACAUAUAAUAGUACUACUUCAUGAGAGAUUUUAUAGUUUCUUUUAGGUAUCAUACCUACAAGUGAUAUUUGUCAUUGGAUAGUGACAGAAGUGUUAAUGAUUGUAAGAUUAAAUAUUGUUAAAUAUUGAAAUUUAAACUAUUUAUCUUUAUUGAAAGAUACAAGUUAAAGAAUCGUUCAAGGGGGCAAUUUUCCAUCUUGUCUUUUUGAAAAAACGCUAUCACAUUGUAUAGGCAUGAUAGGUUCAAAUUUGUCAUUAAAUUUAUGAUUGAUUUCCCUUUUAUUCAAGCCAAAUAUUGUUUUAAUUAUCAAAUUCUACUUAUAUUUGGUUAAUUGUACUAAUUGUAGGGCGGUAGAGCAAAAGUUGCUAAAAAUAGGUGAUUUUCUGCAAAUUGGUUGUCAAGGCUGAAGGAUUUGGGAUUCGCAUGUUCAAGGCCUGUUUCCAAGUUUGAUUCAAACUCUGGACAGUUUUAGAGGAAGAUUUGGAAGAUUUGAAAUUUCAUUAUUAGUUUUAUGGUUGAAUUAGGAAUCUUGGAAUAAUUUCUUUUGUGAUUUAUUUUUCUAUUUAGGAGACUAGUUGUUAUUUAGUAGUAGACUUCAAUUAGAAAACAAAGAGAAAAAGAAGGCCGGAAUCCCGCUUGAUUAAUACCUUGGCCAGGGAACAAUCUCGGUGGGGAGGACGGCCACUUAGCCUCUCAAUUCAUCUUGCUUUUCGUUAGUUUGAGAGGAAAACCAAUUGCAACUAGAUUCAAUGGAGUCUGGCAGAAUUUCUUCUAGGAUGCGUAGCUAAAUCCUCAAUUUUUAGUCGAAGGUCAAUUUGAAAAUUCGGUUCCAAAUAUCUGUGAAAUCGAAUUAUUUUACUUAUUUCUUUUAUUUAUUGGUAUUCGCACGUUUUCUGAUUUAACUUUUUAUGAUUGUUUUGUUAUUUGAAUGUCAAGGGUCCGAUAUUCGAAUUAACUUAAUAAUCUACUGCCAAAUUAACCGGUUAAAUCCGUAAUUGUUUGAUUGAUUAAUAUCAGUGGCGACUAGCGUGAUUGGUCCCAUGUUAGGAAAACGUCUGAUCUAAUUUAAACAAACCGUCGUAGCGUGUUUGUUGAUUAGGGUUGGACUUUUCUAAUUCUUAAUUCAAUUGAGAAAUUAAAUCUCCCGGUCGUACCUAAGAUUAUUUUUUUGUUAGCGAAAUAGUUAAUGGUCGUACCUUGACUAUCGAAAAAGUAAGGAAGAGUUGAUUGUUUAUCGCGUGUACGACAACUAUAAUCAAUCUAUUAAUGAGUAAUUGAAUUAUCUUUGCAUCAGUAAUCAGUUGAAUGGACCGUGUCUGAAAAGUUGUACCUUUGGCUAGAGUCUUAUCUGUUGUUGAUUCAUUCAUAUCUAUCUUCAUGCGUUGUUUUAAUUUAGUUAAUUAGUUAUUUUUAUAAAAACCCCUCAUCUCUGGACUCUAAAAGAAAUAAAUUAUUUCUAGUUCCUGUGGAUUCGAUCCUACUCACCGCUAUAUACAAAAUUUGUAUUUUUUUGAAUAAAUAAUUAUUAUUACACAGGCUUGACACCUGUCAAGGCAAAAUUUCCUUAACUUCAUCAUCUGUAGACGUAAACUUUCUACGGGUGAUAUAAUAUAAGGAAAUUUUGCCUAUACGAUGUGAUAGCAUUUUUUCAAAAAAGACAAGAUGGAAAAUUGCUCCCUUGAACGGAAAAAAUCAUGAUCUUUCCUCAAACUAGUCUACUAGUCAAUUCUUUACAAAAGAAUACUCGCUCCUAAACAUAGCCUGUUCAUCUACACUGUCCCGCAGAAUUCUAGAAAGUUAGGCAAAACUAGACAAGUUGACAGGUAUAAUCAUACCCAAGAUCAGGAACAAGCAGUUGCACAUUUCAAAAUUCGCUGCUGCAACAGCUAAUUUGAUGACUUACAACACUACACGGUCAAACUUUGAAUGGCAAUGGAUCUUUUGUUGUACGUCAUGAUGUAAUUUUCAUGUUACAUACAUUAAUAGGUUGAUAUCUAUAUUCUUUAAAUUAUCAUGAUAAUACCCUUAAUUAGAUUUAACUGAUAAAAAGAACACGUGUUAAUAUACAAAAGUGUGUAACGUGAAUGUUACAUUACUGUAUUGCAGAAGACCUAUAGUCUCUUCAUAUCUCUUCCUGCACGUAUCAAUUCGUUUCCUCUAGAUAAUAAUCUCCCAACUCGUUUCUUUACAAAUGCACCUUUUAUGUUUUAUUACCUCCAAAAGCCUUUACAGGGUCUUUACCCUAAAAAUCAAUUCACCGACUCGCAUUUGAUGUCAGAAAUUCUUAAGACGAAUUCUACUUUACUCAAAGAUUGACUGUUAAUAAUGAGACAGCGACCAUUUUGUAUUAUUAGACCGUCCUUCUUGAUAGGUAAAAGAAAUAGAGAGGAAAGUGGGUCCGUAUAUGGUCUUUUAUUCAUAGAUAAUACAACAUUACGCCAUCGAGCAUUCACACAAUAUUUCAAAGUCAUAGCAUGCCUAAGGCCCUGUUUGAUAGCUCAAUUUCGUAAUUAAAUUUAAUAGAUUCAAAUUUUAACACAUUUAAAUCAUUUGAUAACAAAAAAUUGAAUAUUUAAAUUAAUUAAGUAACACUGAACUUUCUAAACAAAACUUGCUUUCAAAAUUAAGUGAUAAGUUAUUCACUUAUCUUUGAAUGUGAUAUGCACUCAAAUAUAUUAAAUUUAAUAAUUUAAUGGAUUCAGAUUUCAGAUUUCAGUUUUAUUACACACCCUAAGUUGCAAAAUAAUACCAAAACUUGUUAUUAUAUAGCUUGAGAUUCAAAAAUUUAGAGCAUAAUUCUCAACCUAACACAAUCGAAUAAUGAAUAUUCACGAUUGUUUCAAAGUACAAUUUGAGGACAACCCAUUCCAACGCGUACACGAUUUUUAACUUUUCUAAAGUUGUUGAGAGCUGUUAAAAGAGAUUUACCAUGUUUACAUCUUCCAAGUCUUGGAAGUGAAAAAUGAAGCCACUGAGUGCUAUAAAAAGGGGGCUAGAGGCUGCCUAGAAGCAUAUCAGCCUAAAACAAGAAUUUGUAGUAACAAUGGGGAGCAAAGCAAAAGCAACGGGGUCUAGGCUGACUCCUCUUCUUACCACUGUUUUAGUGGUAUUUGUCGCCCUUGGCUUGCCCUUGGAAACUGCAGCUGAUUAUUACAAGUAUUCAUCUCCUCCUCCUCCUCCUUACCACUAUUCUUCACCACCACCUCCAGUGUAUUCACCUCCACCAACCCCUGCUUAUAAGUUACCCCCACCAUCUCCUCCAGUUUACAAGUCCUCACCACCACCUUACCACUACUCACCACCUCCGGUGUAUUUACCUCCACCAUCUCCAGUUUACAAGUCACCACCACUACCCCCUCCGGUAUACAACUCCCCGCCUCCACCAGUGUACAAAUACAAGUCCCCACCACCACCUCCUCCAGUUUACAAAUCUCCAUCGCCACCAGUUUACAAAUACAAGUCACUCCCACCACCUCCUCCGGUAUACAAGUCUCCUCCGCCACCUGUUUACGAGUACAAGUCUCCUCCACCACCUCCUCCAGUGUACAAGUCCCCACCACCUCCAGUUUACAAGUACAACUCACCUCCACCUCCUCCCCCAGUUUACCUGUCUCCACCUCCACCCUAUCAUCACUACUACGGUUCUCCUUCUCCUCACCACUACUAAGCAAGUGCAUAAGUUUUGAGGUAAUAAUACCUAUCCAAAACUUUAUCAACACAAACUGCCAUGUAUAUUAUCAUGCUAAGGACGUACACUUGAUCCAUGAAAAUGACUAGUAGAAGAUUUUUUUUAAGAACCAAAGAAAUACAUUAUUUUUUCGGUCUGUUUUCAAGAAUUUGAGCAGUAUACAGAUUAAAGAGUGUUUUUUUUUUUGUAAACUUGCUUGUCAACUUAAAAAUGCACAUAGCUGAAAGCCAACUGAAUAUUUGCAGGCAAAGGAGAAGGCAAUCGGUGUUUGAGACCUUCAAGAAGAUGUAGAAGAAUAAGAAUAAAAGCCCAAUGCGAGGAUGAUUCCAAGUUUCUACGUUACCAUUUCUACAUCUAAAUUGACUUUAGCUCCUGAGUUCCAUGUUUAUGGGGUUUGUACCGUUUUACGUACCAUGCAGUACAUGCUUGCAAGGUUUUCUGUCCUGUUGGCAAACUGCAGGUCCAUAUAAUAAAUGAAUACUAUUUACAUUACGACACUUUUCUCUUUUUCUCUUAUAUUUUGUCUUUAAUAUUGUUGAUCAUUUUUUUUUUAUCAAAAGCAUCAAAUGCUUAGGUAAUUUGGUCUAAUGCUAAUUGUUUUACUUUUAUUUUUCACCUACACCCCUUUUCAACUCAAAGGAUGCUAUAGUUUGUGAUAAUUGUUUAAGACCGAAGCAUGAUACUAAUAAAUAUCUCAUUGAAAGUCAAGGAAACUAACAUUAGGAAAAGUUUAAAUCUUGAUUUGAUGAAACUAUUUAUUCGUGGAAUUUAGAGAUACAAAACUCAAAUUGUGACGGUGUUGUUGCUAAAUUAUUAAGGACAUUAUCACCAUUAUUUUUCCCUGAUCACUAGUUUCAACUGCAAUGAUCUCAAUCUUUUUGUGACUAAUUCUUUCCUUAAUAAUUUAUAAAGACAAAACUCACAAAGAAUAUGUGACUAAUUCUUUCCUUUCGUCUUCUAAAGAAAAUGCCAACUGUUAGUUUAUCAAGGGGAAAAAGGAUCGACAUCAGUUAUUAUUGAAACUAGUAAGGAAUAAAUAAUGGUGAUAAUGUCCUUAAUAAUUUAACAACAGCACCAUCAGAAUUUGACUUUGAGCUUCGGUCUUAAACAAUGAUCACAAACUACAGCAUCCUUUGAGUUGAAAAAGGAAGUAGGUGAAAAGAAAAGUAAAAAAUACAAUUAGCAUUCCCUCAAAUUGUAGAAAGUUAGGUAGCAUUAUAGACAAGUUGAUAGCGGCAAUUUUACAUUUCAAACUUCACCUAUUCAAUAACUAAUUCGAUGGCUUGCUACAUGGUCAAUCUUUGGACCCCUUCCUGCCUCCAGAUAUCCCUUUCCUCAAUCAGGGGCUUCUACAAUUACCAGUUUCAAUUGUAUGGUAUAGUGUAAAUAUCAACAAAUUAGAUGUAGAUGCUAACAUAAUAAAUGUGAAUGCUAAGACAGCAACAUACAAUCGAACCUGCAAUUGUAUGAACCCCAAUCUCGCUUCCUAGUCCACCAUCUUUCUCUAGGUAAUAAUCUCCCUUCUAAUUUAUUCACAAAAUGCACCUUUCAUCACCUCCAAUAGCGUCGACAUGAUCUUUACCCUAGAAGACUAUUCACCGACUCUCAAUUGACGUCAGAAAAUCUAAGAGUAAUUCUACUUUACCCUAAGAUUGAUAUCAACAAGACAAGGACAAUUUAGAAUUAUUACACGCCUCUUCUUAAUAGGAAAAAGAAAUAGAGAAGAAAGUCAGGCCAGGUCUAAUUUCUUUUCAAAGGCAAUACAACAUUACGAAAUCAAGCAUUCAUUCAUACAAAUAUUUCAUAGUCACCGGUUUGCUGAGUAGAAAAAUUUAGACAAAAACUUAAUAUUAUAUUGUUUAAGAGUUAACAAUUUAGAGCUUAAUCUCCUUGUACUUUGGAGUUAACAAUUUAGAGCUUAAUCUCCUUGUACUUUGGACUAAACUUGAACGUGAAAGGAAAUCCCAAAACCAUAUUGGGCAUGAAUUCACACUUAAUAUACCCAAUAAAAGAUGGCGACUGGUGAAAGGCAGUGGAGACUGGUGGAGAGAUUUGAGGAAUAGAAGCAGACGGAAAAGCAACAAAUUUUUGCCGAAAAACGGUCACUUUCAUGGUUAAUUUUGCUACUCUCCAAUUGUACUUGACCAAUUACAACAAUUUCAUGGAGUUUGAUACGUGAAAAGAAUUUUUUAUAAAUUUUAUUUUGAUCCAUAAUGUUAUCUUUACAUAUAUAAAACAUUUUACAAUUUUGAUUUUGGCGCAGCUAACUUUUGGUUAACAAAAAUGCUCAUGUUUAAAAAACCAGAAAUAAAACAAAACAAGAAACAAAAGAAAUAAGAGGGUAGCAUAGACAUUUUGGAUUUUUCCGUUAAUUUGGAUGAUUUCCACCCACGUUCUAAUUUAAUCCAAAACACAAAGGAAUUACGUAGAGGUUUUAAAUAAUGAGGGAGCUUCAUGAUCGAACCCCAAACCACAAGGCGAUUUACUAUAUUUUACUCUUAAAUUUUGGUUUCAUCUCAUAGCAUACAAGAGUUCUAUUUCACUAUCUGUAGACAAAGACUUUCUAUGGUUGAUGUACCAUAGGAAAAAAUCUGCCUAUACAACGUGAUAGCAUUUUUUCAAAAACACAAGAUGGAAAAUUGCCCCUUAAACGGGGAAAUUCAUGAUCUUUCGUCGAACAAAGAAUACUCACGCCUAUUCAAGAUGGAAAAUUGCCCCCUUAAACGUCUAUUUGUCAAUUCUUGAAAAAAGAAUACUCACGCCUAAAACACGGCCUCUUCAUCUGCAGAAUUCUAAAAAGUUAGGUAAACUCUAUAAACAAGUUGAUAGGUACAAUCGUACCCAAGAUCAAGUACAGAUAGUUGUACAUUAACUGCUGCAAUAACUAAUCUGAUGACUUAUAAACAUAUCAUGGUCAAUCGUUGAAUGGUAAUGAGUCUUUUGUUAUGCAUUAGUAUUAGUGUGUACACUCUAAUAGAUUGAUACUUAUACUCUUUAAAUUAUCAUAAUAAUACCCUUAAUUAACUUUAACUCUUAAAAAGAAUACAUGUUAAUACACGAGUGUGUGUAACCUGAAUUGUUACUUAUAAAUUAGUGUGUAAUAGAUAGGGAUGGCAAUGGGGGCGGGUGCCCGCGGGGGGCUCUCGGGGCGGGGGUUGGGGCGGGGGGGAAUUUUUUCCCCCCGUUUAGAAAUGGGGCAGGGGACGGGGGAGUAUACCCCCGCCCCAUCCCCCGCAAAAAAAAAAUUAUAUAUAAUAUGUAAUUUAAUUAGUUAUAAACUUAUGAUAAUGAUAUUAUUAGUUAGAUGUAUUAUAUAAUGUAUAUUAGUGUAUGUAAUAUAAUUAAUAUUAUCAAUUAUAUGAAUAAUUAGACAUGUCUACUAAUAGAAUUUAUGAAUUAGUUAUACUAAAUUUACUAAUACAUUUAUACUAAAUUUCUAAUUACACUUAAUAGAAUAACACUUUUUUCUAAAACAAAAAAGCACAAACACAAUAAUGAAUUAGUGAUUGUAUGAUAGGGUGUAAUUUUACUAUUUAUUUUAUUAUUAAUUUCCCCUAUCACCUGACCUGAUGUGGAUUAAUUGCUGGAUUCUGCUCACUUUUAGUACUUUGUAUUUAUUUCAGGGAGUAGAACGGAAAUUUGAUAACAGGUGCUAAUUUGGCAGAAAAAGAGUCCAGAUGAUAGAGCUUGCCCCAAGGGCAUUUUUGGAAAGGAGAACUUGUGCCCAUCUUGGUAAUUUGGGAGAAAAGGGAAACAGACAAAAUGGGUCUAACAUGGAUUGGAAGCGGCCGCACAGUAGCAGGGAAGAGGGCAGACGUAAAAGCAAUUGCAGGGGGGAAAAGGAGUUUUUUUAGUUUUUAGCUUAGCAUCUGAUUUUCCCUGGGAGACUUUUGUUAAAGAUUUCCUUUUGGCUGAUAUUACGCAUGGCAGAUGGCUUUUAACUUAUUCCUCCAUCUUUGACUUUUCUUCUUUAGCUUGUGGCAGUGGAUUGCUACUUACGAAUGUCAGCACUUAGCCAUUCGUGGCUUUUGAUCUUUUCUUCCUUAGAAAUUCUGAGUAACCUCUUUUCCUUUGUGCGCCAGACGAAGUGAAAACUAUAAACUUUUGUAGUUUUUCUAUUCAUUCAAUAUAUUGAGACGAGUUGGAUUCUACCAAAUUUCAACGGACAUGGCCGCUGGUUUCUCUUCAAUUUUAUAUGGGCUUUGUUCAUCCAACAUGAACUAAUUUCACCACUCUAGUCAAGGAGCAACGAAGGCUCUGAUUUGCCUAAAAAUUGUGAGAUCGUUUUAAUUUAAUCUUUUCCUUUUAUUUAUUGGUAUCCGCACAUUUCUUGAUUGCUAUGCUUAUGGUUAUUUAAUUAAUUGAUUGUCUUGGAUCCAGAUAAUUAAUUGAUCUGAUAGCCUAUUGUCAAUUAGGGCAUUUAAAUCCGUAAUUGUUUAAUUGUCCUGAAAUAGUGACAACUGGCACGAUUAGAUUCGUGCCAGGGGGGAUAUGCGGGCUAAUCUAAAAUAACCCUGGUAGUGUGUUAUUUGGUUAGAAUAGGGCUCCUCUAAUACUAAGGCAAUUGGGGAAUUAAAUUCUACGGGCGUACCUAGGAUUAUUUCUUAAUUAGAGCAGUGAUUAACGGGCGUACCUUGAUCACCGACACAGUAAGGAGGGGUUGACCGUCAUCGCUUGUUUGGCAGUUAUAACCUAUUUAUCAGUAAAUAAUUGGGAUUGCCUUGCAUCAAUGAUCAAUUAGGUGAACCAUUGUUGAAGUUACUUCUUGGUUAGAUCUUUAGUUAAUAUUACCUUGAUUUUGGUGAAUUGCCAUUUGAUUUUUAGUUGCCUACUUUAUUUUAUUUUUAAUUGUUUCCUUGCUUUAAUUGAGUUAGGCCUUUAAUUAUUGUUAUUCUAAGUUUAGUGAAUUGUGGUUUAAUUCCUAAUUAGUUAUUUAUUUUUACUUUCUUAUUUGAAUUUAUUUGCUUGUUAUCAUUCCUACGAAAUCACCCCCCUGUGUUACUUUGGAUUUCUUAAGAAACAAAUAUACCCAAUCCCUGUGGAUACGACCCUACUUGCUCUGUUCACGAAUUCAUAAUUAUUUGUGAAAAGAAAUAACCAUUCCACUCGGGUAUAUCGGAUCAAGCAAAUUCUUCGGGAACAGGGUGAAUCAAGUAACCCAAUGCACACCUAGAGUCCCUGCUCCAGUACUUGGAAUUGGGUUUUGGUCAUUUUAACUGGCAAUUAGGUUUAAUUUUAUUAUUGCACAGGCUGACGACCCUGUCAAUUUUUGGCGCCGUUGCCGGGGACUGGCGUUAUUAUUUGUUUCUUUUUAAAUUCAUUCUUUGUCCUAAUUUUCUGGUUUUCUUCUAGUGUAUGCCUCGAUCUUCUCGUACAGGUAAUUUGAUUUUUGACCCUGAGGUAGAGAAGACCGCAUGUAGAACGAGAAAGGAAACCAGACAGCUCAGAGAAGAGCACUCCAGUGCUACAUCUCAGAGACCCGAGUCAGAAGUUGAACUAACAGAUUCGUUUGGUAACACUUCGAGUGACUCUGACCAGGAGGAAGACACCAUGGCUAAUGCACGAACAUUAAGGGAGUUGGCUGCUCCUGAUUUAACUCAGCAGCCUUUAUGCAUUACUUUCCCCACUUUAAAUGAUAACAUUCCAUUUGAACUAAAAUCUGGUCUGAUUCAGCUUUUACCCUCUUUUCAUGGUUUACCAGGUGAAGAGCCGUAUAAGCAUCUGCAGGAGUUUGAUGUCGUGUGUAAUAGUAUGAAACCCUCGGGAAUCACAGAAGAGCAGAUAAAAAUGAGGGCAUUCCUCUUCUCCUUGAAAGAUUCUGCGAAGGACUGGCUGUACUACCUGUCACCAGGUAGCAUCACCACGUGGGACCAAUUGAAGAAAAAAUUUUUGGAUAAAUAUUUUCCUGCGUCCAGGGCUGCAAGUCUAAGGAAAGAAAUUUGUGGGAUCAAGCAGCAUCCAGGGAAGUCACUUUAUGAGUAUUGGGAACGGUAUAAGAACUUGUUGCGCAGGUGCCCCCAACACCAAAUAAGUGAGCAAUUGAUCAUACAGUAUUUUUAUGAGGGGCUCCUUUUUAGAGACAGGAGCAUCAUUGAUGCCAGGGGGGAGGGUUGGGAUGGGUGGUACGGGGGGAGGGAGUGUAAGCAAGAGGUCUCGGGUUCGAGUCCUCCCGCUUACACACAAAAAAAAAGAUGCUGCAAGUGGAGGGGCACUGGUAAACAAAACCCCUCAGGAAGCACGGGAGUUAAUAGAGGGGAUGGCAGAGAAUUCACAACAAUUCAGUACAAGAGAGGAUGUCCCAAUACGUAAGGUGAAUGAGGUAGAGACACCCUCUAUGCAGCAGCAGCUAACUGAGUUGACCGCGUUUGUUAGGCAACUGGCUGUGAGAAAUGCAUCACAAGCCAGGGUGUGCGGGAUUUGCACUGGUAUGGGUCAUUCUGCAGACAUGUGCCCAAUGAUUCAGGAAGAAACUGCAGAACAGGUGAACAUGGCUGACCACGCGCCCGCGCCAAGGAAGCAGUACGACCCUUACUCAAGCACCUACAACCCCGGGUGGAGAGAUCAUCCCAACCUCAGUUAUGGAGAAAAUAGGCAGCCCAACAUUACACCGAACAGGCAGUCUAACUUUGUGCCAAAUAGGCCACCAGGGUACCAGCAGCAAUAUCAACCCCGACCACCUCCGUCCCCAAGCUCUGGCCCAUCUUUGGAGGAGAUGAUGAAACAAAUGAUGACAACUAUGGCUCAAAAUCAGCAAAUGACGGAGGCAACCAUUAUGCAAAAUCAGCAAAGGACGGACUCCGAAAUGAAGGAUAUAAGGAAUCAGAUAAGUCAAAUGGUCACAACAAUCAACCGUUUGGAUUCCCAGAACCAAGGUAAAUUGCCAUUUCAGCCCGAAUUAAAUUCGAAGAACGUGAGCGCAAUGACCCUAAGGAGCGGGAAAGAAAUUCAGGGGUCUGAACCUGUGAUCCCUAAGGAUAAGGAUGAGGAAAAGAUCGAAAAUGAGCUUGAAAGGGAGGACAGCAAUGGUGCAGAUCUAAAGGUACUUCCUGACCCAAUAAUUACAGCUAAAACUAACCCGCCUCCUUUUCCUAGCAGGUUGGAAAAAUCGAAAAAAGAGGAUAAGGAGAAGGAGAUCUUGGAGGUUUUUCGCAAGGUUGAGAUAAAUAUCCCCCUCUUAGACGCAAUCAGACAAGUACCAAAAUAUGCCAAGUUCCUAAGGGACUUGUGUGUCAACCGAAGGCAGUUGAGGGAAGAUGAACGGGUUAUUGUUGGGGAGAAUGUGUCAGCAGUCCUGCAGAGAAAGCUCCCACCAAAGUGCGGGGACCCAGGUAUGUUUACUAUUCCCUGUAGGAUAGGUAAUACUGUGAUAGAAGGGCCAUGUUGGAUCUGGGAGCAUCAAUUAAUCUCAUACCUAAAUCUAUCUAUGCUUCUCUAAAAUUAGGUCCAUUAAAAGAAACUGGAAUAAUCAUUCAAUUAGUUGACCGAACUAAUGCAUAUCCUGAUGGGUUGGUUGAAGAUGUGUUGGUAAAAGUUAAUGAUUUGAUGUUUCCAGCUGAUUUUUAUGUACUUGAUAUGGAUGAUGAUCACUCCCCUGAUCCCUCACCUCUGUUAUUGGGUAGACCCUUUAUGAGCACAGCACAGACGAAAAUUGAUGUUAAUAAGGGUAUCUUGUUCAUGGAGUUUGAUGGGAAAAUUGUGCAUUUCAAUAUCUUUGAUACUAUGAAAUAUCCCUCAAACUCCAACUUUAGCACAGUUUUCUCUGUGAGUGCUAUUGACCCUGUAGUGCAGGAAGUGUUUGAAACUGAUGGCAGGGAUGAGUUGGAGGUGGCUUUGACCAAGCACCUCGAGUUGGAGACAACUCCUGAGGUGGAAUGGAGCGAGGACCUAAAAUGCACAAUAGGUGCAUUACACUCAUUGCAGUCCACCACGAAAAGGUAUGAAGUCUUACCUAUUUUUACUCCCGAACCUCACCAGAGGGUGUUGCCAUCUGUGGUGCAGGCACCUGUACUAGAAUUUAAACCUCUAUCAGAGCACCUGAAAUAUGCAUAUCUGGGUGAUAAUGAGACACUCCCGGUGAUUAUCUCAUCGACACUGUCAAAAAUCCAGGAGGAGAAACUGAUCCGGGUCCUUAGAGAGCAUAAAGAGGCGAUAGGUUGGACAAUCGCAGAUAUUAAGGGGAUCAGCUCGGCCAUCUGUAUGCACCGGAUUAGACUAGAAGAGGAUGCCAAACCUGUUAGGCAGGCUCAAAGGAGGCUCAACCCCCUAAUGAUGGAAGUUGUAAAGAAAGAAAUUUUAAAAUUGCUAGAUGUGGGGAUUAUUUUUGCAAUAUCAGAUAGCCCUUGGGUAAGCCCGAUCCAGGUAGUCCCAAAGAAGGCAGGGGUGACGGUGGAGGCAAACCAAACGGGUGAGCUCGUGCCAGUGCGCAAACCCACUGGAUGGAGGCAGUGUAUAGACUACCGUAGGCUAAACGCCGUCACCAAAAAGGACCAUUUCCCUCUCCCUUUCAUUGACCAAAUGGUUGAACGUUUAGCUUGUAGAGCUUAUUAUUGCUUUUUGGAUGGAUUUUCAGGAUACUUUCAGAUAGCAAUUGCUCCAGAGGAUCAAGAGAAGACAACCUUCACGUGCCCGUUCGGGACCUUUGCUUAUAGACGAAUGCCAUUUGCGUUGUGCAAUGCACCUGCAACAUUCCAGAGGUGUAUGGUAAGUAUUUUUUCUGAAUAUGUGGAGAAAAUUAUUGAAGUUUUCAUGGACGAUUUCAGUGUGUAUGGUGAUAGUUUUGAUACGUGUUUAGAUAAUCUGAAAUUGAUCCUGAUAAGGUGUAUAGAGACUAAUCUUGUGCUUAAUUGGGAAAAAUGUCAUUUUAUGGUUGAGCACGGGAUAGUCCUGGGUCAUAUUGUAUCGUCUAAGGGCAUAGAAGUUGACAAGGCUAAAAUAGAUAUUAUUUUUGCAUUACCUUACCUCGCGAGUGUGCGGAAGGUGCGUUCUUUUCUUGGACAUGCAGGUUUUUAUCGAAUGUUCAUCAAGGAUUUUUCAAAAAUUGGAGCCCCGUUAUUCCAACUCCUACAAAAGGAUGUGACCUUCGAAUUCGAUGAUAAGUGUGAGGAAGCCUUCAACAAGUUGAAAGAAUUGUUGACCUCACCCCCAAUUAUCCAGCCCCCUGAUUGGAGUCUACCAUUUGAGAUCAUGUGCGAUGCCAGUGAUCAUGCCGUAGGGGCUGUAUUGGGGCAAAGAGUAGGGAAGGCAGCUCACGUCAUCUACUAUGCAUCCCGAGCAUUGAAUGGAGCCCAAUUGAAUUACUCCACUACUGAAAAGAAGCUUCUUGCAGUUAUUUUUGCUUUAGAAAAAUUCAGGUCAUAUUUGCUAGGUGCUAAAGUAAUUGUAUUUUCUGACCAUGCAGCAUUAAGGUACCUAAUGACCAAGAAAGAUGCCAAACUGAGGCUCAUUAGGUGGAUAUUGCUACUGCAGGAAUUUGACCUGGAGAUACGGGAUAAAAGGGGCUCAGAGAAUUUAGUAGCUGACCAUCUGAGUCGUAUACCCGUUGGAGAGGAUAAUGAACCAUUGAGGGAUGCGUUCCCUGAAGAGCACUUAUUUUCUUUAAAUUCUCAGUUGCCUUUGUAUGCCGAUCUGGUCAAUUAUUUGGUAACUGGUAAUUUUCCUGCAGGUUGACCAAAAUCGAAGAGGGAUAAAUUGAAGAGCGACGCCAAGUAUUUUAUUUGGGACGACCCGUACCUAUGGAAGAGGUGUGCAGAUCAAGUGAUGCGGAGAUGUGUAAGUGAAAUGGAAUUUCAAUCGAUUUUAGCUUUUUGUCAUACUUUUGCCUGUGGAGGUCAUUUGGACCCAAGAGAACUGCUCAUAAGGUUUUAGAAAGUGGAUUUUAUUGGCCUUCAUUGUUUAAGGAUGCCUAUGUGUUUUGUAAGUCAUGUGAUCGCUGUCAAAGGGUAGGUAAUAUACCCCGUAGAGAUCAAAUGCCCCAAGUCCCGUUGAUUUUUAUUGAAAUUUUUGAUGUCUGGGGUAUAGAUUUCAUGGGGUCUUUUCCUACUUCAUUUGGUUUUUUAUAUAUUUUGCUGGCAGUUGAUUAUGUGUCUAAAUGGGUGGAGGCUAAGGCCACUCGAACUAAUGACUCGAAAGUAGUUGCAAAUUUUGUCAGGUCUAAUAUUUUUGUGCGAUUUGGAAUGCCUAGUGCUAUUGUCAGUGAUAGGGGAACGCACUUUUGCAACAAAAUCAUAGCUGCGUUGUUUCGCAAGUAUGGUGUACUCCAAUGGGUCUCAACGUCGUACCACCCUCAGACCAAUGGUCAAGCGGAGGUGUCGAAUCGAGAGAUCAAGUCUAUCUUGGAGAAAAUGGUGCGCCCCGAUAGGAAAGACUCGAGUCAAAGGCUGGAGGACGCACUUUGGGCCUAUCGGACGGCGUACAAGACUCCUAUAGGGAUGUCACCGUACAGGUUGGUAUUUGGGAAGCCGUGUCACCUUCCAGUGGAGUUUGAGCACAAAGCUUUUUGGGCGAUAAAGUAAUGCAACAUGAAUUUAGAGGAAGCCGGUGCCCAACGAAAGUUGGAUUUGCAAGAAUUAGAAGAGAUCCGGAACGAGGCUUACGAAAAUGCACUAAUUUAUAAGGAGAGAAGCCGGAUAUUUCAUGAUCAACAAAUUUCAAGAAAAUCCUUUGAAGUUGGUCAGAAGGUCCUACUAUACCAAUCCAGGCUCAAGCUAUUCCCAGGUAAACUACGUUCCCGUUGGAUUGGACCUUUUCUUGUUACUCAUGUUUUUCCAUAUGGUGCAGUUGAAAUCCGGAGCGCUAAAACAGACAACAAAUUUGUGGUGAAUGGACACCGUCUCAAGCAUUACUACGAAGGAUUUUCAGGUGAAAAGGUGGAGACAAUAAGUCUAGACGCGCCACCGUGUCCUAAUCAGUGACAUUUUACUAUGUCUAGCCAAAGACAUUAAAGACAGGCGCUCAUUGGGAGGCAACCCAAUUGUCCCUUUUAAUUAUUUGUUUGAUUUCGUGUGAUAGUUUAAAUAUGUUUUCCUUGAAUUCGACUGAUUUUGGGUUUCAGUUUUCGUUUUUGCUGAAUUGUAGGUGACCUUCAGUCUUGACGCGCCCGCGUGAUGACAUGCAGGAAGCUCACGAUCAGAAUCGUCUGAAAGCUCUCUUGCCCUUUUGACGCACCCGCGUGAUGACGUGCAGGAAGCUCACGAUCAGAAUCGUCUGAAAGCUCUCUUGCCCUCUUGACGUGCCCGCGUCACGUUCGCAGGAAAGGUACGGGUUUCAAAAAUUUAAAGAAAAAAUAAUAAUAAUAAUAAUUUAAAAUUUUGAAAUUAACUUCCGUAAAAAAAAAAAAGAAGAAAAAAAAUUUCACCGUGGCUUAAAUAGAGCCUAAAGAAGAGAAAAAAGAAACAAUUUCUUUCUUUUUUUUUUCUUUUUCUUCUUUCUUCCUUCUUUCUUUCUUUCUUCUUUCUCUUUUCCCUCUCUCUUCUCCCCUGUUUCUUCUCCCCUGUCCGUCGCCCGUGCGCCCCAUCGCUGCUCCACCUCCACACGCACGCCGACGCUGCGAGCCACCUGCGACCCCAGCGCCAGAUCUGGACCAUCGCCGAAACCCGCAGCCUCCGCCACCUCCACCUGAGCUCUGCCUCGCGCGCAACCCAGCUGCUCUGCGCCCGAAGCUCCACCGCCGCCACAGCCUCCCCACGCAGCUCCCUGCUCACGCGGCCACAAGCCCAUUGGAAACGGGACAGAGACUGCCGCCGAGCCACUUGCCCGCGUGACCGCCGCUGUUUUCCACCACCUCCCUCACGCGAGCUCUUUCCCUCUCAGCAGCAAUCCACUUCACAGCGCACCCGCUGCGCGCCGUCGCAGCCCUCGCAGCUCCAGCCCGUCUGGUCUAGUCCGCCGCGCGCACCAACCACCCACGGACGCUACCCCCAUCGCUAACCCACGCGGCCUCCACUCCAGUCUGUCCGCCGCCGCUGCUCGUGUCUCCCUUGCGCACCUCACGCCACCCGCUACUGUCCCCUUCCGUUUGGUUAGCAUCCACGGUGGAGGUAAUUGGAGGUUAUUUUCUCAAUUGUGUGACUUCCGCCUGUGAUACUGGUUGCAUUAUUUUUGCUGGGAAUUGCUACUUCUUUUGGGUUGGGUUCAACUGUGCAAUUAAUUGGCCAACUGGAGCCAUUUGUUGGGAUUUUGGGUGAGCUGAAAUACUGCAUUUGUGUGUUACAUUGGGAGGUUUAUUGGGUACAUUCUAACCGCUGUUUUCCAUUGUUACUCUCGCUGGGGUGUCUAUUAAAUUGCGAUUGAAGUAUUUUGGAUAUUGCAUGUUGAGAUUGAGGUUUCAUUGAAUUUGGCCUACGUUCUGCCCCCAGUGGUACUGGUGGGAAUAUUUUCAAUUGAAUUUGUUACCUCUAGUUGGUUGGCUACAUUAUUAUGGUCGAAUUCCUAAGUUGUCGUCAUUGCAUUUGUUGAUCUUGAUUUGGGGCAUUAACCGGCCAACUGGAGCCAUCUGUGCGUUUUUAGGCGCUAUUAUUGGUUUCUUCUCCCUUAACUUUGUCAACUAUAUUUGGUUGGGUAUUUGGUUGACUGCCACGGACUUGUAACUGUGUUUUGCUUCUAAUUGACCAGUUGCACAGCAGUUUUUUUUUAAUUGAUAGGGUGGUUAUACCUCUGGAUAUUUGUAUCCACUGGUUUGAGGACAUGGUGAGACCAAAAUCCUCCUCUAGGUCUAGGACCCCUAGAACCUCGCAAUCCCAACCCCAAGCCUCUACUCUAGUCAAUACCCCUAUAAAUCAACCUACUGCUCCCGGUGUCCGAACCUGGUUAGGUAGGGGUAGAGGUGCCCACGUGGCUUCCGCCACUCACUUGGGAGGGCAUUUGGAAUUCACUAGAGCCGCCGAUCAGCGACGCUAUGCUCAAGCUUGUGAGCGGCGUAUCAUUCCGUGCAAAUGCGCGGACCACAUUACUAUGGUUUUUCUGGGGAUCCAAGGGGAGGUUGAGCGCAUGUACACCGCCAUUGGAUGGCGCCCCUAUCUGGAUAUUUUCCAGCCAGCCUUUGUCGAGUUGACUAGAGAGUUUUACACCACUUUUAAGUUUGAAUUACCGACUAGGUAUACUGUUGCGACUCCCGAUAUCAUUCACUUCCGUCUCAUGGGCCAGGAAUUCAAUUUCUCUAUCACCCAGUUCAAUCUGGCUUUCGGUUUCAUCACUCGGGAGUAUGCAGAGACUAGGGAAUACGGUGAGAGUGCCUGCGAUUUUGUGGAACCUUUCCUUACCGCCUACCGUGAGGUGUGGGAGGACAUGUCUGUGGACAUGCAGCGUUACGAUCCCUCUCGGUCUCGGAGCUCCUUUCUAGAGGACCCGAGUGCUCGGUAUGUUCAGCGGCUUUUAGCAUAUAGCUACUCGGGCAGAAAGAACAGCUUCGGUAUUAUCUCUCGGCCGGAGCUCUUCUUCCUUUGGUGUAUGAAGAAUGGGUUCAAGGUCAAUUUGGGUUGUUGGUUGGCGGCACAGUUCAAGACCGUCAUGGCAAAGAAGAACAAGCCGUUGAUUCUUGGGUCGUAUAUCACGUACUUGGCGGUCCAGCUAGGCGUUCUGAAUCUACAGGAUCACGAUUUGCACUUGGCCUGCGACAUGGAGUAUCUCACUGCUGACCGGCUAGAGAAGAUGGGGGUUCUGGAGCUUGUCGAUGGCCACUACCGAUUUGUGCCCCCGGGACCGCCCCGCGCCCCGCCUCGCUCUUCCUCCACCCAUUCGGCCCCAGUUGGCGGUGAUCCUGGCCCGUCGACAUCCGCUCAGCUCCCUCCACCAGCAGGGGCUGAAGAUUGGCACCAAAUCAGGACGCAGAUUCAGAAUUUGGACGCCCGGAUGAUUAGCAUCGAGAGCAACGUGGCGGCUAUAUCACAGAAUCUGGCGGCAUUCCUGCAGCACUCGGGUUUCCCGCCCCCAAUCCCACCUCACCCUCCACUAUGACCCGGUUUCAGGGAAGUUUGGUUACUUUCUCCCUCACUUUUGUUGUUUUUUGACACAUUGAGGACAAUGUGUCCUAUAGGUGUGGGGGGGUCUAUAGUCUUUCUAGUUUUUAGUAGUUGUUAGUUUUUAGUUUUUUAGUAGUUUUAGUUUUAUUUCUAGUUGCGUAUUUUCUUUCUUUUCUUAGUGCUUAUUCCCCAUGUGAAAAGAAAAAGAAAACAAAAAAAAAGAGAAAAAAAUGUUGGUUUAUUGACUCUAACUCUACUUUUGCCAAGUUUUUUUUAAAUAAAAAUGUAUCGGGUUAAUGUGGUUGGAUCCAGAAUAUCUCCCUGGUGAAUAUCGGAUUGCUUGGCUCUUUUGAUUUCUGUGUUAAUUUCUCUAGGCAUAGGGAAUGACUGUUGGCAUUUUAAUGUGAACUGGUCCAAUAUUGACUCCAGUUCUCUAUGUUUGGCAAUAAUGAGGCGAGCUGUUCCUAUUUUUGGUUCUUAGUGUUGUUAUUAUGUGUUUUUGGCUUUGUUUGGCUGUGAAUAAUCUGGACUGUACUCCGCUAUGAGUUACUACUGAGUAACCGAGGAUCGGCACCUAAAAGUGUCGAUUCUCGCGUCAAAAGGUGGUACUUUAUAUGAGUACGUGGUCGUAUAGCAGUAGGAGCUGAGUAACCGGGCUCCUUCAUCUAAAAAUGUUGGAGUUCGCGUCAAAAGGCCCCGACGGCUAACGACUAAGUCUUUUUGUGUUAAUUAUUAUUGCUUUGAAAAACAAAAAAAAAAAAGAACGAAAAAAGAGAGAAUAAAUAAUAGGAAGGCUUGCCGGUUUAUGGACUUAAUAUGGAGACUUGUGUGAAUAUUUGGACCAUUAGCUAAUAAAUGUUGUGCGCCAUUCCCUUUUCUUAGAGUAGUUAACCUGGAAAUUGAAGGAAUUUGCAGUUUAGGGGCUAACCGGGGGGGAGGCUUCUUGGAUUUUAAUCACCAAUGCUCGAUAUAUGUUUUUCUCUUGAAGAUCUUGGCAAUAUAGGAGAUUGGACAAUGGCCAUCAUCGAAUUUUGGUGUUCGUUUACUAUUCUUAUGCUUGAGGACAAGCAUGGUUUAGGUGUAGGGGGAAUUGAUAGGGUGUAAUUUUACUAUUUAUUUUAUUAUUAAUUUCUCCUAUCACCUGACCUGAUGUGGAUUAAUUGCUGGAUUCUGCUCACUUUUAGUACUUUGUAUUUAUUUCAGGGAGUAGAACGGAAAUUUGAUAACAGGUGCUAAUUUGGCAGAAAAAAGUCCAGAUGAUAGAGCUUGCCCCAAGGGCAUUUUUGGAAAGGAGAACUUGUGCCCAUCUUGGUAAUUUGGGAGAAAAGGGAAACAGACAAAAUGGGUCUAACAUGGAUUGGAAGCGGCCGCACAGUAGCAGGGAAGAGGGCAGACGUAAAAGCAAUUGCAGGGGGGAAAAGGAGUUUUUUUAGUUUUUAGCUUAGCAUCUGAUUUUCCCUGGGAGACUUUUGUUAAAGAUUUCCUUUUGGCUGAUAUUACGCAUGGCAGAUGGCUUUUAACUUAUUCCUCCAUCUUUGACUUUUCUUCUUUAGCUUGUAGUAGUGGAUUGCUACUUACGAAUGUCAGCACUUAGCCAUUCGUGGCUUUUGAUCUUUUCUUCCUUAGAAAUUCUGAGUAGCCUCUUUUCCUUUGUGCGCCAGACGAAGUGAAAACUAUAAACUUUUGUAGUGUUUCUAUUCAUUCAAUAUAUUGAGACGAGUUGGAUUCUACCAAAUUUCAAUGGACAUGGCCGCUGGUUUCUCUUCAAUUUUAUAUGGGCUUUGUUCAUCGAACAUGAACUAAUUUCACCACUCUAGUCAAGGAACAACGAAGACUCUGGUUCGCCUAAAAAUUGUGAGAUCGUUUUAAUUUAAUCUUUUCCUUUUAUUUAUUGGUAUCCGCACAUUUCUUGAUUGCUAUGCUUAUGGUUAUUUAAUUAAUUGAUUGUCUUGGAUCCAGAUAAUUAAUUGAUCUGAUAGCCUAUUGUCAAUUAGGGCAUUUAAAUCCGUAAUUGUUUAAUUGUCCUGAAAUAGUGACAACUGGCACGAUUAGAUUCGUGCCAGGGGGGAUAUGCGGGCUAAUCUAAAAUAACCCUGGUAGUGUGUUAUUUGGUUAGAAUAGGGCUCCUCUAAUAUGUAAGGCAAUUGGGGAAUUAAAUUCUACGGGCGUACCUAGAAUUAUUUCUUAAUUAGAGUAGUGAUUAACGGGCGUACCUUGAUCACCGACACAGUAAGGAGGGGUUGACUGCCAUCGCUUGUUUGGCAGUUAUAACAUAUUUAUCAGUAAAUAAUUGGGAUUGCCUUGCAUCAAUGAUCAAUUAGAUGAACUAUUGCUGAAGUUACUUCUUGGCUAGAUCUUUAGUUAAUAUUACCUUGAUUUUGGUGAAUUGCCAUUUGAUUUUUAGUUGCCUACUUUAUUUUAUUUUUAAUUGUUUCCUUGCUUUAAUUGAGUUAGGCCUUUAAUUAUUGUUAUUCUAAGUUUAGUGAAUUGUGGUUUAAUUCCUAAUUAGUUAUUUAUUUUUACUUUCUUAUUUGAAUUUAUUUGCUUGUUAUCAUUCCUACGAAAUCACCCCCCUGUGUUACUUUGGAUUUCUUAAGAAACAAAUAUACCCAGUCCCUGUGGAUACGACCCUACUUGCCCUGUCCACGAAUUCAUAAUUAUUUGUGAAAAGAAAUAACCAUUCCACUCGGGUAUAUCGGAUCAAGCAAACUCUUCGGGAACAGGGUGAAUCAAGUAACCCAUUGCACACCUAAAAUCCCUGCUCCAGUACUUGGAAUUGGGUUUUGGUCAUUUUAACUGGCAAUUAAGUUUAAUUUUAUUAUUGCACAGGCUGACGACCCUGUCAUUGUAUUUGUACCAAAAGUGAAAACUUAACUAUUUUAGUUGUAUUUAUUUCAUCAUGUUGGAUUGUAUUCAAAUAAUUUUUGUUUGAUUGUUUUUAUAAGUUUCAAUUGUAAAAUUAAAAUGAAUAAUAACUUGAUGAUGUGUUGAUAUUUUAGUACUUGAUUAUUUAUUAAAAUUUAAUUAUAAUAAAAUUUUAUUAACUCAACGAGAAAAAUUUUAUUAAUCCCGUGGGGGCACCCGCGGGGAAAGCGGGGCGGGGCGAGGGGAGUGGGAGGCGGAGGACGGGGCGGGGGCGGGGGAUGGGGGAGGGGUCCCCCGCCCCAACCCCGCCAUCCCCCGUCCCGUUGUCAUCCCUAGUAAUAGACUGGCAAGCAUUGUGGUGGUCAUUGAGCAACUUAUAGGAGAAAUAGUCCUAUAAGCUGUUCAAUGACCAAUCACAACUUGCUAAUUGGAUGACUAAUAUAGCUCUAGCUGUAAUGUUUUAAUUAAAUUACAUCACUAACGUUGGGAUGACUUUUUAACCAAAAAAAAAAAGCCUUAGUUCAAGCUUUUCCCUUUAUUGUGCAUUUUUUAAAGCAUUUGAAAGGCACUGCAAAUCUGUCAUUUUGGACAUUUUAUUAUUGACUAACAAUGAAAGCCGUGGACGUCUACCCAUAACCAACACAAGAUUAAAUUAAUAUUAGAAAAAAUAAUUGAGUAAUUGGAAAAAAAAAAAAAAGAAGAGUCUAAUUUUCAUUGAAACCCACCGACAAACUAUACGUGUCCAUGGCUUUUGAAUAGUGCAUUCAACGUUUAAUUGUAUGGUCCAGUUCAUUGCAGAUUACAUGGAGUAAAGAUUGCGCUCUUUCCUUUUCACCCCUUUUGGAAUCGAUACUGUGGAGAAUUGGGUUUUUCCCUCCUUUUUUUCUUUUCUUUCCUUCUGUGGUUUGCAAAACAUACGUAAAAAUAUGAAAUCCGAAGCAUUCUUUAAUUGGUAUUAAGUAUUGUUGUUGAAAUUAAAAAGAAAAAAGAAAGAACAACAAAAUUCCCAAUCUGGGUUGAUUGUUGAGCUCUAGAUUGGUUGCAUCGUGCUUCCAUAGAAGCAAGAUUUGUAAAAUCGGAAUCCUACAUAGGAUCGAUUUUAGUUUCACAGGAUCGGAUUGUAAAAUCGUAAGAUCCUACCAAAAGCUCUCAAUUGCAAUUAAAGGUUGCAAUUCUUUAAUAAAUUACAAAUAUACCACAAAUAUUUUCAUUUACUUGCAAAAUGGAGCUUCGUAUUUCACAAAUUUACAAAAAAAUUGUAGGAUCGUACGAUCCUACCGAUCCUACGAUCCUACACGAUCCUACCGAUCCUGCUACGAUUCUAUGCGAUCCUACAAAGAUUAAUAUGAUUUGCGACUCUGCAUACGAUCCGGAUCGAUUUUGGUUAUCCGGAUCGUAGGAUCGUAUGAUCCUACGAUCCGGAUCGCGAUUUUGACAACUAUGCAUAGAAGCUCUCUUAGUGUGAUACACUGCUUUCAAUCAGUUUAACACGGGAAAAAAAAAAAGAGAUGAAAAGCAAAUUUGGUGGAGAUAAUUUCAGAAACCUCCCCUGAAGAUUUUGACUAUUCUACUGGUUUCCCUUCAGAUUUUAAAAAUUACACUAAUCUUCCUUGAAGUUAAUUAUCUUGUAACAUUUAAAUUCAAUCAAUAAUUUAAAAAAUGAUAUUAUGAGAGAGAAAAUAAUAUGAUUUUAUCAUUGCCCCCCAUCUUACUACAUUAUUUAAUUAAUUUAAUAGCAACCCACACAUUAAAGAAAAAUAUUAAAAUUUGUUGUUUAUCAUUAAAGAUCAAAUCGCUUAUAACAUCAAAUAAUAGUAUAUUAUUUAUAUUUUUCACUUAAUAUAAUAUCCAAAUUACUCUUUUCAAUUACAUACCCAUUGUUAGAGAAUCAACAACAAAUAACCAAAAAAUUUGCAACCAAAAUAUUACAAAAAAAAUAAACUUUAACAUCAUAAAUAUUCUUAUCAACAUAUUAAAGUUAGUUACUGAAAUUUUUAUGCUGUUAAACUUCACUCUUUUUGAAUACAGAUUUUUUUGAUUAUUUGUUAUUAAUUAUGUUUGAUGAUGGGUUUAUAAUUGAAAAGAACAAUUUGAAACUUACAUUAAGUAAAAUAUAUAGAGUGAUAUACUAUUUUUUAUAACAUAUGUGAUUCAAUCCUUCUUGAUAGGAUUGGUAAUAGAGGUAGAGGGGGGAGUCGGCUGCAUCCGGUCUUCUUUUCAUAGAUAGUACAAUAUUGCGAAAUCAAUCGCAUUCACACAAUAAUAUUUCGAAGUCAAUGCAUGGCUAAGUUGCAUAAAAGUACGAACACUUGUUAUUAUAUAGCUUAAGAUUCAAAACUUUCGAGCAUAACCCUCCACCCAACACAAUUGAAUAAUGAAUAUUCACGAUUGUCAAAUCUGUCAAAGCACAGUUUGAGGACAACCCAUUCCAACCUGCAAAAGAUUUUUUACUUUUCUAAAGUUGUUGAGAGCUGUAAAAAGACUUACCAUGCUUGCAUCCUCCGAGCCUUGGGAGUUAAAAAUGAAGGCACUGAGUGCUAUAAAAAGGGGAAUAGAGGCUGCCUAGAAGCAUAUCAGCCUAAAACAAGAAUUUGUAGUUAAGAUGGGAAGCAAAGCAAAAGCAAUGGGGUCUGGGCUGACUCCUCUUCUUGCCACUGUUUUAGUGGUGUUUGUUGCUCUUGGCUUGCCCUCACAAACUGCAGCUGAUGAUCACUACAAGUAUUCAUCUCCUCCUCCUCCUUACCACUAUCCCUCACCACCACCACCAGUGCAUAUACCUCCACCUCAUCCUGUUUACAAGUACAAAUCUCCACCACCCCCACCACCACACCCAGUUUACAAGUAUAAGUCACCACCACCACCUCCUCAUCCGGUAUACAAGUAUAAGUCUCCUCCGCCACCACCACACCCAGUUUACAAGUACAAGUCACCACCACCACCUCCUCAUCCGGUACCACACCCAGUUUACAAGUAUAAGUCACCUCCACCACCUCCUCAUCCGGUACCCACAGUUUACAAGUAUAAGUCACCACCACCACCUCCUCAUCCGGUAUACAAGUAUAAGUCUCCUCCGCCACCACCACACCCAGUUUACAAGUAUAAGUCACCACCACCACCUCCUCAUCCGGUGCCACACCCAGUUUACCACUACAAGUCACCACCACCACCUCCUCAUCCGGUACCACACCCAGUUUACCACUACAAGUCACCACCACCUCCUCACCCAGUUUACAAAUACGAGUCUCCACCACCACCAGUUUAUAAGUACAAGUCACCACCACCUCCUCCACCAGUUUACAAGUAUAAAUCUCCUCCACCACCACCACCAGUUUACCACUACAAGUCUCCACCACCUCCUCCCCCAGUUUACAAAUACAAGUCUCCACCACCUCCUCACCACUACUAAGCAAUUGCUUCUGAGGUAAUAACACUUGUUCAAUAUACCCACUUCUGCAUGAUAAAGCAUAUCUCUAUCAACACAAACUGUCAUGUCUAUCAUGCUAAGUGCCUUCACUUCAUCCACCAAAAUGACUGCUAGAAAAUUUUUUUUAUGUUACCAAAGAAAGGCAUCAUUUUUUCCCUCUGUUAUCAAGAACUUGUACAGUAUAUAGAUUAAAGAGUAUUUUUUUAACUAGCUUAUCAACUGAGAAAUGCAUAUAGCUGAUAGCCAGCUGAAUAUUUGCAGGCAAAGGAGAAGGAAACCAUGUUUGAGACCUUCUUGAAGAUGUAGAAGCAUAAGAAUAAAAGCCCAAUGUGAAGAUGAUGAUUUCAAGUUUUUCUACGUUACCAUUUCUUUAUCUAAAUUGGUUGUAGCGCCCAAGUUCCUUUGUUUAUGGGAUUUGUAUCGUUUUACGUACCAUGCAGUACAUGUCAUGUUUGUAAGGUUUUCUAUCCUGCCGGCAAACCGCAGGUUCCAUGUGAUAAAUGAAUACUAUUUAUGUUACGACACUUUUCUCUGUUUCUCUUAUAUUUUGUCUUUAAUAUUCUUAAUCAUAUUUUUAACAAAAAUAUUCAAACACUUAGGCAAUCUGGUCUAAUGCUAAUUGUAUGUUUUACUUUUCUUUUUCACCUGCUCCCCUUUUCAACUCAAAAGGAUGCAAUAGUUUGUGAUCACUGUUUAAGACGGAAGCAUGAUACUAAUGAAUAUCUCAUUGAAACUCAAGGAAACUAACAUUGCGAAAAGUGUAAAUCUUGAUUUGAUGCAACUAUUUAUUCGUGGAAUCUAUAGUUACAAAACUCAAAUUCUGACUGCGCCAUUGAUAAAUUAUUAAUGACGCUAUCAUCAUUAUUUAUCCCUAACUAGUUUCGACUACAACUGAACCCAAUAUUUUCCCCAUGAUAAAAGUUUUUGACUAUUUUACUGGCCUCUCUUCAAAUUUUAAAAAUUACACUAAUCUUCAUUGAGAUUAAUUAUCUUGUAACAUUUAAGUCCAAUUAAUAAUUAAAAAAUGAUAUUAUGAGAGAGAAAAUAAUAUAAUUUUAUCAUUGCCCCCCAUCUUGCUAUAUUAUUUAAUUAAUUUAAUAGCAACCCACACAUUAAAGAAAAAUACUAAAAUUUGCUGCUUUUCAUUAAAGAUCAAAUUGCAUAUGCCAUAAAACAUAGUAUAUCAUUCUAUAUGUUUCACUUAAUGUAAGAUCCCAAUUGUUCUUUUCAAUUACAAACCCAUUGUCAAACAUGAUCAAUAACAAAUAAUCAAAAAAUUUGCAACCAAAAUAUUACAAAAAAAAACUUUAACAUCAUAAAUAUUCUUACCACCUCUAGUGCAUUCACCCUCAUAAAAUAAUUCAAGACCCUACUGUCAUAAAAUGACUGAUCAACUCCUGUAAACCUAAUUUGACAACAUUUAAAUGGAGAACUUUAGCUAAAAGAAUUAUGGUCAAGCUAAAGAAAAAACCAGUUAUUUUCCAACAUAUGCAACCAUUGAUCAGGGGAAAAAAAAAAGCAAAAAGACAUCUUCAAUCAUUUAAUAGCUUACAGGGCAAAUUAACCCUUGAGUGAAAACUGGUUGCUCUAGAAUUAAAAUUUUACCUUAGUUACCCAGGCAACUUUUUUGUUGCCUUUUCUUUUUCUUUUUUGGGUAUAUAGCUCCAGUUUUGCCCCCUCUGUCAAGCUUAUAUAAUUAUUAAGAUAAUAAAAGUGCCUUUAAUAGUAUUAAUAUAUCCAUUGACUUGAGCUGUCAUCGAUCGGUUUGGGCUACUUCGAUUCCAUGAGAACAAAUGGUAAUAAAAGUACUCAGAAAAUGGGGAGUCAUGAAACCCUUUUGUUCUAUUCAUUGCUAAGAUGCUUUUCUCUAUAAAGAGACUUCCUAACGAAAAUACUUUGUAGAUUUCUUUACUCCAAGUGGUGCAUGGAAAAUUAAUAUUUUCAAUUAUCAAAUAAAAUUCCCUUUUUUCGGCGUAGAUUUCAUCCAUCCAGCUGUUAACACAUUCUAUAAAUCCGAAUUGACUAAUCUUUUCGUUUCCAUUUUCCAACUUGCGAAUACGGCAUAUAGUGUCUGCUAAACACUAUAUAUUCUCUGCCAAAUAUGAAUACAUAUCACUUUUCUGAGCAAGUGCAGAGUCAUUAUCAUUUUUAUUCCCACCUAACAAAUUAGGGAUAAAAAAGUUAAUAAUCUUUACAUGCUAUCAGGUCACAAGUUAAUAAUCUUUUAAAGAACAUGUUAAAUUAAUUUAUUGGUAUGAAUAGUAGUCAAAGAAGUAUGUUAAAGUUAGUAAUCUUUAAAAUAAUAUGUUAAAAUCAUUCGUACAAAUUAGUCAGAGAAGUAGCAUAAACACCGCGAUGCAAUUAAUACUUUCAAUCUCAAGGUCUCUAUUAUGGAAAUUUGCAUCGGUCAAUAUACACUUGGCAUAAUAUAAUCUCCCAACUCAUUUCUUUACAAAUGCACCUUUAAUCACCACCAAAAGGUGUGGACAUGAUCUUUACCCUAGAAAACUAUUCACCGACAGGCAAAUUGACGUCAGAAAUACUGAGGAAUUCUAGUUUCCUUCGGGUUCAUGCCAUGUUGUAUCCUUCAACUGUAACUCGAUUUCUAAGCUGUAAUUUGUGACAUAAUAGUCCUUAAACUAUGAAACCCUUCUUACUUAAUUACAAUGGUUAAUACAAUGCCCGUGACUAGACAAGUAUGAAGCAACCAUAACAGAAAAAAAAUCCAAAAUUAGAGAAAAGAAAGAAGUUUCGCGACCACCACCAGUUUACAAGUCACCUCCACCACCUCCUCCAGUUUACAAGUCACCUCCACCACCUUACCAUUAUUCCUCACCACCACCUCCAGUGCAUUCACCCCCACCACCACCAGUUUACAAGUCUCCGCCACCACCUUACCAUUAUUCCUCACCACCACCUCCUGUGCAUGCACCUCCACCACCAAUUUACAAGUCACCUCCUCCAGUUUACAAGUCUCCACCACCACCUUACGAUUAUUCCUCACCACCACCUCCAGUGCAUUCACCCCCACCACCACCAAUUUAUAAGUCUCCCCCACCGCCUCCCCCAGUAUAUAAGUCACCACCACCACCUCCUCCAGUAUACAAAUCACCUCCACCACCUCCUCCAGUUGACAAAUCUCCACCACCACCAAUUUAUAAAUACAAGUCUCCUCCACUACCUCCUCCAGUGUACAAGUCAUCACCACCACCUGCUUACAAGUCUCCACCUCCUCCAGUUUACAGUUCCCCACCACCACCAAUCUACAAGUCUCCACCUCCACCCUACCAUUACUACUACAAUUCUCCUCCUCCUCCUCGUCACUACUAAGCAAUUGUAUCCAAGUUUUUGAGGUAAUAACGCUUAACCAAUAAAUUAACUUUCGCAUGAUAAACCUUAUCUCUAUCAAGACAAACUGCCAUGUGUAUCAUGCCAAAUACGUACACCUAGAUCCAUGAAAAUGAAUGGUAGAAAGUUUUCUUAAGAACCAAGAACAGCAUUAGUAUUCCCUCUGCUUCCAAAAACUUGUGUAUUAAAUAGAUUAAUGAAUUGUUUAACAUGCUCAUCUACUUGAAAAUGCACAAUACCCAUAACCCACUGAAAUUUUUGCAGGAAAAGGGAAAGAGAAUCUGUGUUUGAGAGCUUCAUGAAGAUGUUGAAGAAUAAGAAUAAAAGCCCAAUGCAAGGAUGUUUUCAAGUUUUUCUAUGUUUCCACUUUAAUUUGUAAAUUGAAUUUUGCGACUCAAUUAAUUCCCUGUUUGUGAGGUACGUAUUGUUUUACGUACCAUGCCGUACAUUUUUUUUUUCCAACAAACGGUAUCAUGUUAUAGAUAUUAACACUUGACCUUACAAGGAUUAGUUACAAAAAGGGGAUACUACCCUCAACUCUGUCCUAGCUAAAUCAGUCAGCCAUAUUGGGAAAUUAGUUUCCCAUUCAAUAUCAUGUACAAGCUUCACAGCAUAUUGUGCUAAUUGAUGGCUGAUGUGAUUUUCAGUUCUAGGUAUAAACACAAAAGAACAUUUUUCAAAAGCUAGACUAAGUUCCUGCACAUCUUCUAAGAUAGUUGCAGUCGUGUAGUCAUACUCCUUGCGUUUAGUAAUCUGCUCUACCACUGAUUUGCAGUCUGUAUGGACUAUAAUUUGUGUCCAACCUGCUUGGGUAGCCAUCAGCAGAGCAUUUCUCACAGCCCGAGCUUCCACUUCACUUGCCGAUCCCUUUCCCUGUGUGACAAUUCCUUUUGCUUUCAAAAGCUGUCCUUUCCAAUUUCUUGCUAUAAUCCCUUGUCCGGUCCUGACUCGUUUAGCUGAUAUCGCUGCAUCGGUAUACAGCCUUAUCUCUUCCUUCCUUGGCCGCACUCUCCUGGUAGGUAAGGCAUCAUUCAGCUUCCCUGCGAUCUCCUUCUGGUCUGUACUCCCUACCUGUUCAAACUCAAGCCAUUCCUCCUGUGCUUUCCUUACUAUUUUUACUGGAUCCUGGUUGGCUUGUUCAAAAAAUUUUUUGUUCCUGGCUUUCCAAAUUUGCCAAAGGAUAUUGAUAGUAAGACUAACUCUCUCCUGACCUUGGUUCAGUGCCAGCGAUUGUGUGACUUGUUCCCACCAUAACCAAAAGUUAUAUUGCAUACCCAGUAAUCCAUCCCACCUGACCGGUGCUAGCUUCCACGUUUCCACAGCCUUUUCACAGAAGAAAAACAAAUGCUCAAUAGUUUCCAUAUCUUCACCACAGCAACCACAUCUGCCUUCCCCUCUAUGUAGCCUUUUCGACAUCUGUUCAUUGACUGGCAGACAAUUUUGUAAGCACUUCCACAUGAAGUGUUUUAGUUUGGCCUUCACCUUCAAAUGCCAUAGCUGCUUCCACACAUUUCGUUUUCGUAUCUCCCAACUUGUUUCUGCCUCUUGGCCUGUCCUUGUACCUGCUUUUCCUUCCCGUUGCCUUGCUAAAGCAUAACCAGAUUUCACGCUAUAAAUUCCAGCUUUGGAAUGCCCCCAUACCAACCUAUCCUUUCUUCUUCCUAUACUUGUUGGAAUUCCCUUUAUGUGCUCUGCAUCUUUUGCACAAAACCACUUGAGAAGCAAAUCAUUUUUCCAUUUCCCUUCCUCUAUCAGCUCACUUACCCAUUCCAACUUGCAUCCCACAGGUUGUGUGGUUGAUGCAAAGCCGGUAUCUGAACCAACUAUCCAUCUGUCCCGCCACAUGUUGACUGACUUGCCAUCUCCAAUUCUUUUCCAAAGACCAUCAUACAGAAAGGAGGCUGCACUAUGAAUACUCUUCCAACACCAUGAGGCUGAAGAGACUGGCUUCUUGUCCAUCCAUUUUUCAUCACUCAUAUACUUCGCCUUCAUUACCUUACUUACUAACAAAUUUGGAGCCAUUAAGAAUCUCCAAAUUUGUUUUGCCAGUAAUGCUGUGUUGAAGGCCUCCAAAUCUCUAAAGCCUAAACCUCCUCUUCCCUUAACUUCUAAGAGCUUCUUCCAGCUUGCCCAAUGUACACAGGUACCCUUUUCUCCCUUCCCCCACCAGAAACUCGCUAUUUUACCUGUGAUUUGUCUACACAAACCCCUUGGAAGUCUAAAGCAAGCCAUCACAUAUGUUGGCAUAGCCAUAAUCACUGAUUUGACCAGAAUUUCUUUCCCUCCUUGGCUCAACAGUUUUUGUUUCCAACCUUGCAACUUGUUACUAAUUUUGUUCUGGACAAAUGCAAAGACCUGUGUCUUUGAUCUUCCAAUUGCCAUUGGGAGUCCUAGGUAGGUUCCAUUCCUUGCCUCUUUAAUGUUAUCUAAUACCUCCCUCACUCCAUUCUUCCUUUGAUCAGUGGUAUUUUUGCUAUAGAAGAUAGCUGACUUUUCAAAAUUCACCACCUGUCCGGAUGCUUGACCAUAUCUUUCCAAUAUGCUUUUGACCUUCCUCGCCUCCUGCUUGGUUGCUUGGCAGCAUAGUAGAGAAUCAUCUGCAAAAAAUAGGUGAGAAACCAUCGGACUGUCCUUGCAUAUUUUGAUCCCUGUAAUUUCCUUGUUCAUCAUAGCUUUAUGGAUCAAACAUGAAAGACCUUCAGCGCAUAUAAUAAACAAGUACGGGGAUAGGGGGUCUCCUUGUCUAAGCCCUCUACUCGGUUGAACACAGCCUACCUUUUGCCCAUUUAAGUUGAAGGAGUAAGUCACAGUAGAUAGGCAAGACAUGAUCCAUUUAACAAAAAUUGGACAAAACCCCAUUUUCAUCAUAACUCUCCCCACAUAUUUCCAUUCGACUCUAUCGUAAGCUUUGGACAUGUCCAGUUUAAGAGCCAUAAAUCCUACCCUUCCCUUUCUCCUAUUUUUCAAAAAAUGCAGGAUUUCAUGUGCAACUACUACAUUAUCAAGAAUUUGACGGCCUGGGAUAAAAGCGGAUUGAGAGGGACUAAUACAAUGAUGCAAGACACCUUUCAAUCUAUUAGCUAUGAUUUUAGAAAUGAUUUUAUACAGGACAUUGCACAAGCUAAUAGGUCUAAAAUGCACCACAGAUUCAGGAGUAUCAACUUUAGGAAUCAACGAAAUAAUAGUAUCAUUCACAGCUUUGAGCAAAUGCCCAGUAUGAAAGAAACUCUUAAUAGCUGCUACCACAUCAUCCUUGAUAAUAUCCCAAUAGUGUUGAAAAAAUAGAGGAGACAUACCAUCCGUUCCUGGUGCUUUAUUAGGGUGCAUCGAGAACAAAGCUUUCCUGAUCUCACUUUCCUCCACUUGUCGUAUCAGUUGUCCAUUCAUAUGACUCGAAAUAGUGCUUGGAAUUUCAGCUAGAAUGUCCUCAAAGCAGUCCGGGUUAGUAGUGGUAAAAAGGUCUUUAUAGUACUCACAAAGUUCCUCCUCAAUCUCAUGUUCCUCCUUGCACCAUGUCCCAUCUUUUUUCUGCAAUAUAGUGAUCUUAUUUCUCCUCCUCUUUGCCAUGACCGAAGAAUGGAAAAAAGCUGUAUUCUUGUCCCCUUCUUUGAGCCACUUGUUCCUGGAUUUUUGACUCCAAAACAUCUCUUCCUCUGCAUAAGCUUUAUUCAAUUGUGCUUUUAGUUCAGCCACUUGUACUCUUUUCCCUUCAUCCUUUCUUGCUUUCACUUCAGCCAAUUUCUCCUUUAACACUUUAAUUCUAACCUUUGAGUUUCCCUGCACCUUUUUCCUCCAAUCCAGAAUAGCCAUGCGACAUUCCUUUAUUUUUGUAGCCACUCUAAACAUCCUGGACCCUGACUUCACCUUUGUCCAUGCUCCUUGAAUCACCCUUUUUGCUUCUGGAUUUAGCGUCCAUCGUUGAUCAAAGUAAAAUCUCCGUUUUCUCCUUGUGUUUUCCGGGUUUGUAUCCACAAGAAGCAUUAGAUGAUCAGAGGCUUCAGUAUCUAAAUGAGUACACUGUGCCUUUUCAAAUCUUUGCAGCCAUUCGGUGCUGCAUAAACAUCUAUCCAACCUCUCUUUCACUUCCCCAUCCCCCUCCCAACUAUUGCACCAAAUCCACGGGACCCCUUGAUAACCUAAGUCAACCAGGUUAUUGUCUUUGAUAAACCUGUUGAACUCCCUAAAACAUCUUUCAGCUCUAUCCCUUCCUCCCCACUUCUCCUCACUAGACCUCAAAUCAUUAAAAUCUCCUACAAUGAUCCAGCCAUCCCCCCAGUCCCUCAUCCUGUCCUCUAAAUAUUUCCAUUGUGCUUUUCUAAUGUUACUAUCUGUGCUUGCAUAAACACACACUAGCCCCCAGUAUCCUUUAGUAUCCUUGUCCUCAACUCUAGCACUAAUACACCAAUCAGUACUUACAAUCUGGUCUAAAAUCACCUCAUUGUUCCAGAAUAAUGCUAGACCGCCUGCUUUACCUAUUGAAUUCACAAAAAAGCUAUUGUCAUACUGAAUCUUCCUUUGAACCUUGCCCAUAAACCCUUCCUGAUUCUUAGUUUCACAAAGGAACACCACCUUAGGAGAGUGGAAGUUAGUCACUUCCUUUAGUUGGGGACUUGUCAAGGGGCCUCCUACACCUCGACAAUUCCACACCACAACCUUCAUUUACACUUUGGAGGCUUUCCGGGGCUAGCCUCCAUUUCCCCUAUUGUACUAACAUUUAUUAGAUCCAGUUUCAUAACCUUUACCUUCGGUACAUUAUCAUCAUCCUCCUCUAUCGGUUGUGUUCCCUGAAACAUACCAUCAGCCUUCCUUUUAGCACACGAAACCUGCGUUACUUGUCCAUUUGUAUCUGCCUUUAAGGAUGUUUUAGCCGGCCUCCCUCUUCUUUUAAAACUGCUUCUUUUUUCAGCUUUGUUAUCUUCUUCCCCUGGAGUAGCCUCCUUUCUUGGCAUUCUUGCAUUUGUCUCCUCCUGCUUUAUUGACCCUACCCGCAAACUUUCACAUUCCUGUUUUGAGCUGUCCGUUUCCAUAUCCUCAUAAUCUACUGGUGGGAUUACGCUGCUCCCUCCUUUACUCCCUUCCUGUACCCUACCCUCCUUUUCACCAUUUCCCUCCAUUAAGACCACAGCCAAACUUUCCACCCGUUGGUUUGCCUUUCCAUACUGCCUGCUGUCUUUUAGAAUCUCAUCCCACCUCUCUUCAUAUUGUCUCGUCAUCAUUUUCUCCUUAUCCCCCCUUUCCUUUCCCCCCAAGACUCUACCAUUUUUUCCCCCAAGAGUUAAUGUAUCUCCAGCCAUUUGUACUCCAGUUUGAACUUCACUACUAGGAGACCCUGCCCCCACCCUCCUUGCAUCAAUUUCACUUACUCCUUCCAGCCGUCCCUUUAAGGGAGAUACCAUUAUAUUUCCAGCUCUCAUCCAGGCACCAUAUUGUUCCUCUCGCUUCUCCCCCCCACCCUUCCUACCACAGUACAAGUCCUAUCACUAUGCCCAAUGAUACCACACCUAUAACAGAAAUCAGGGCAGCGUUCAUACCUGAACUCAACCCACACUGCCUGGUUCUUACAGUUGAUCUUUGUCCCUCUAACCAGUGGUUUCGUUAUAUCUACCUCAGCCAUAAUCUUCAUGUGGCGACCCUCUUUCCCACCACUUCCUGGGAGAAUCACUCCCCUCACUGAUUUAAAGAUCCCUCCUAUUUUCAAACCCACUGCUCUGCUCAACCAGUGCACCGGUAGGUUCCAUAGUUGAAUCCAAAGAAAGGAAUGCUGGAAAAAGCUGCUGUUUGUAUCAUACCCCUCUACCCACUCCUUCACUAUCAGCAACUGGUUGUCCAUGACCCAAGGCCCUCCAGAUAAGAUCUUUUUCUUUUCCCCUUCAUCUCCCAGAUGGAAAUGGAAUAAGUUAGGACCUAACUCAGUCACUUUCAUCUUUGAGGGGUAUCCCCAUGCAUGAUUUGUAAAGUUCUUUAACCCCGUAAAGUUGGCAAUUUUUUCACCAAUCAGCUUUCCUACCAGGCUUCCUUGACACUCAGAGACGCCUUCUUCCAGGUCCUCACCACUCAGAUCGACACCUCCUAACUCUGUUUCAGACAAGUCAAAAUUUUGAAAGGCUCUUUCUAAAGCAUCCGCCAUUGCUGUGACGAGAGCUCCUUGAGAAACCAAGCACUAUUUCUGAGCUAUGAGUGACCCACUGACAGACCUGUGAAGAAUUGCAAAGACAGACAAAGCUGUGUUAUCCGUACACACUAAAAACCAACCAGAAAAACAGAGAGGAACUCGACAGAAAAAGCACAGGCACAAGAAGAAACGAAAGAAAAAAGAAAAACCAACAAACCACUAUCCCACUCCCGACCACAUAACAGCAUUAAAGAAAGGGACACAAAUACGACACUCCAACUUCCGAUCACAUGCUCUGACUCAAUGGAUCAUAUCUUGCCCAAAGCGUUUACUCCUCCAACCGAUUCCAAACCACUACAGACAUUGUCUCCCAUUUUGAAGCCGGAAGAAAGGUGGCUUCUGGACAGGGAACAUGAAAGCAAAGGUUGAACUAAAGAUUUGAUUUUAGAUCUGAAAAUUACGCUGUAGGAAAAAGUGCUAUGUGUUUGUACCUCACCCACUCUCCCACACCGAGGAGGGGAACCUCUAAAGUUAGAGAGAGAAGCUCUCAAGUUAGAGAGAAGCUUUGGAAGUUAAUUACCAACGUACCAUGCCGUACAUGUUUGUAAGGAUUUCUAUCCUAUUGGCAAAAGUCGGUUCCAUACAAUUAAUCAAUUCAUUUCACUUCUAUUGGCUCUACUAUUUAUGCAUGUUACGACACUCUUUCCCUUAUAUUUUGCCUUUAAUAUUAUGAGUCAAUAGUAAUAAUGGGCCUUUUUCUUAAAAUUAUACUAUUAUACAUAGGUAGUUUGGUCUAACGCUAAAUUCAUGUUUGUCUUUCUUUUAUUCCCUUUACAUCUCAAAGUAUACUAUAGUUUGUAAUCAUUGUGGUGAUGAUAUUACCAGCUGGUACUUAUAGUUUAAGGCAGAGACAUGAUAUUAACAACUAUCUCAUUGAAACAUAAGUCAAAAUCAUGACAAGUGUGAGUCUUGGUUAAUGCACAAUUUGUUAGUGGAAUUUAUAUUUAUAAAACUCAAAAAAAAUUUUUGACAAUGCUAUUACUAAUUAAUUAAGGACUUCAUUGCUAUAAUUUAUCGCUUACUAAUUUAAACUAUAAAUGAUCUCAAUACUUUUCUCCAUGAUGUCGAUUUCUUUAGACUACGAAAGGGAAAAAUUAGUGACAUAUCCCUUACUGAUUACAACAUCAGCAAAAAUUAGUUAUAAACUUUUCCGGUGGUUUUAAAUCCCUCGGGCACUAAGGUUUUUUGCACAUCGAGUGAAUUAAGGAACAUAGGCAAUUCGUUCUGCAUACCAAGUCCUUGUUUAAGAUGCACGUACUAAAAUGCAUCCACUUCAUUAAUUUGGAAAAUUGCCAUAGUUUUUUUUAAGCAUUUUGAUUUUUUACAUGAUUCAAAAUUUUCUUAUUGGAUACAAUCACUUUGUGUCAAGAACACAUUUUCAAUCAUCUUUUUUAUCUUCUCAAUAAGAAAAUAAAAAUUUAUUCAUGCUUUUCUAACAUAUCCAAUCAUUGAUCUGAAAAAUAAAGAAUUAAAAAAAAAAGACAUUUUCAAUCAUUGCUUACGGGGCAACUUCCCCAUGUGAACCUCAUCAAACAAAGCCAAUAAUAUGAAGGAACAUCUAAAUACACUUUUGCCCUAAAGGCUGGUUGCCUUGGGGUCAAAAUUUAACCUUCGGGAGUAUAAUUACCCGCCAAAUUUAUUAUUUUUUUUAUGGGUAUAUAGUUCCAAUUUUGCCUCCUGUUAAGCUUAUAAAUAUAUUACGACCCAGAAAAUAAAGGAAUCUUGAAUAGUAACAUGUCCAUUGACUUGAGUUGUUAUCAAUUUGGCUACUUCGAUUCCAUGAGGCCAAUCCAAUUCACACUAGCUAGAGAAAAUGGUGAUAAAGGCACUUAGAAAUUUAUAUGUAAUAUUGAUUGGUAGUAACUGAUAAGUAUAUAUUUUACGUGUUUUAAAUAUGUUUUAUUAGUUAGUUUUGGUGUGUUUUAACUACUUUUAUAACUAAUUAACUAGGAAUCUAGUGAAAAUAUGCAUUUUGUGGUUUGAAGUGUAAAAAUUGUAUUUCUAUGGAUUUUAAUGGUGAAAACUUCAUGUUUUUGUAGGUUUAAUGAUUCAAUCAUCAAAUGACAUGAUUUGAGAAGAUAAUUAGAUGAUUGAUGAUGUUUUGAAGUGAUAAAAAGAGAAUACAAAGUGCAAGAGAGGAAAUGCAAUCAAGAAUAAAAGAAGAAAAUUUUUGUAGCUUUGACAUAUUGUCGUAUUUCGGCAAUAUAUUGAGCUACAAUGAUCGGAUUAAGGUGAUUCUUAAACCAUUUGAAGCUAAAAUAUAGAUCUACAUUUGGCAUGAAGGCAUCGAAACCCAUGUCAGUCAUUUUCCUUGUCAAAAUGUUGAAAUACAGAAGUGCAACUCUGUUCUCGAAAGCUAAAACAGAGCUCUGGCUAGUCGAGGGUAUUUUCAUCAUUUCUUAGUCCACAGAGCUCCAAAUGAGAUGAUUCUUAAGGCAUUAGAACCCUAACUCAAAGAGCUACAACUUUCAUAUUUUGUACAAGAGUUAGUUCGGCCUCUAUCAUUAAGAAAAUAGUAGUUGAAGUGGUGCCAAAUGCAUAGAAGUGAAAACGCGAGCUAUCAAUACUCGACCUGAAGUCGCGUAUUCCUGAGGUCAUGCAUUCUCUUCUAUUUUCUGCAACUUGCCCUGCUUUCACAUAACUUUUUCAUCUCAAUUCCAACUAUCAAUUUCGGCUAUAUCUGAUCAAGAAAAGUGUGGAAAGUUUGAAAGACAACUCAUAGGAGUUUCAAGAGUCAAAAAUUACAAUUAGAAACAACUCAUUUGGCUCUUGAAUCCUCUAUAAAUAGAGGCCUUUGAAGAACAUUUUCACAACUUUGGAAGGUUAGAGAAACUCCACAAAAACAUAGUCUUCACUAGAAUUUCCUUAGUUCAUUAGUUAGGGUAGUAUAGUAUAGUUAGUGUAGCUUUUCCUUCUUGUAUUUAUAGUUAGGUUUGAAUGAAGAUUCAGGAGCAAAGAUAGAGAGGUUGAUCUCAUGUGACAAGGGUGAUAUCUCUUCUACUACUUUCUCUUUUGUAUUUGAUUUCAUAUUUAACUAUACUACAAAUUUGGCUUUGUUUUUUUUUUUUUAUCAUGUUUAGUUAAAGUUUAUGCCUAGAGUAUGGAUGACCUUUUUAUAUCUUGUUUGUGAUAUUUAACUGGUUAUUUGAUGAUGUUAUUUUUGAGCAAGUUAUUUAUCACUUUUGCUUUUCUAAUCAUGAUUAACUGGCCAUUAGUUGUGAUUAUCUAAAAGUGUUAAGUUUGUAAUGAGAAUUGGAGUUUAACACUAGUUCAAGGAAGUGAUAAAUUUAGGGAGUUCACUCAUGAGAGUAGAGGAACACCUUUGUGACCUAAGUGACUUGUUUCAUAUAAUUUCAUAGAAAAAAUGAACUUGUAAUUAAUUUCAUAACCACGAGAGUAAGUAUGGUUUAGCUAUAUGUAUAGUUGAUUCACUACGAGAGUAGGUUUCACAUACAUUAGAAAAUUACAUCAUAACUAGUCAAGAUAAUAUCAUUCAUUUAAUCAGUAAUCUCAUUUGCAUGAGUAGUAAGGCAUUCCAUAUCUCUAGGAGGUUUUUAGUAUUAUUUUCAUUACUUUUAUGUUUAUGGUAGUCUAGAUAAUAAUGGAGUUCGAAAACUACUAGUAAUUGAAAAUUUUCCCUGUGGGAUCGACCUUUAAUACCCUAUACUCGCUCUCGACUCGUAUACUUGAGAAAAAUCACGUGUGCGGUAUUUAGAAUUUAUAAAUGUAAAACUUGACUGUAGAUGAACUAAUUGAUAUAUGUAUACCCCGCACUCGUCAGUAACCAGCUUGUAUUGAUCCCACUAUUGUGGAUAAUUGUGCUCUUAUGAAAAAAAAUUAUAAAAAAAUUAGCAAAAUUUAUGAUAACAAAUUAAAUUUAUUCAUACAAAUCAGUGAAAGAAGUAGAAUUUUAAAGUCCAUGAUGAAAUUAAUACUUUCAAGGGCUCUAUUAGGAAGACUUCACUUGUUGGUGAAACUACACUAGCACAGUUAUAUGCACAUUUACUGUUUUGGUAUCUAAUUUCCUUGCCUUAAGUUGGGUGCAGAUGUUUAUAUUACAAAUAGAUGGUAUCAUAAAAUUGUUGUAUUCACGUUUGUUCUUUUUUUUCUUCCUUAAGUUUUUUUCUUUAUUCUCGUGACUUCAAAAAUACGAACUCAAGAAAUUGGCUGCUUAAUCAAUAUGUCAUACAGGCUUCGCUAGUGAGGUAUAACUUCACAACUAGAGUCAAUAGAAAUUAUCAAAUGAUUUUUUAACAUCCAAAUUAAGCAAUAAAUUUUGUUUUCAUUUUAUGACAUAUAAUAGUACUACUUCAUGAGAGAUUUUAUAGUUUCUUUUAGGUAUCAUACCUACAAGUGAUAUUUGUCAUUGGAUAGUGACAGAAGUGUUAAUGAUUGUAAGAUUAAAUAUUGUUAAAUAUUGAAAUUUAAACUAUUUAUCUUUAUUGAAAGAUACAAGUUAAAGAAUCGUUCAAGGGGGCAAUUUUCCAUCUUGUCUUUUUGAAAAAACGCUAUCACAUUGUAUAGGCAUGAUAGGUUCAAAUUUGUCAUUAAAUUUAUGAUUGAUUUUCCUUUUAUUCAAGCCAAAUAUUGUUUUAAUUAUCAAAUUCUACUUAUAUUUGGUUAAUUGUACUAAUUGUAGGGCGGUAGAGCAAAAGUUGCUAAAAAUAGGCGAUUUUCUGCAAAUUGGUUGUCAAGGCUGAAGGAUUUGGGAUUCGCAUGUUCAAGGCCUGUUUCCAAGUUUGAUUCAAACUCUGGACAGUUUUAGAGGAAGAUUUGGAAGAUUUGAAAUUUCAUUAUUAGUUUUAUGGUUGAAUUAGGAAUCUUGGAAUAAUUUCUUUUGUGAUUUAUUUUUCUAUUUAGGAGACUAGUUGUUAUUUAGUAGUAGACUUCAAUUAGAAAACAAAGAGAAAAAGAAGGCCGGAAUCCCGCUUGAUUAAUACCUUGGCCAGGGAACAAUCUCGGUGGGGAGGACGGCCACUUAGCCUCUCAAUUCAUCUUGCUUUUCGUUAGUUUGAGAGGAAAACCAAUUGCAACUAGAUUCAAUGGAGUCUGGCAGAAUUUCUUCUAGGAUGCGUAGCUAAAUCCUCAAUUUUUAGUCGAAGGUCAAUUUGAAAAUUCGGUUCCAAAUAUCUGUGAAAUCGAAUUAUUUUACUUAUUUCUUUUAUUUAUUGGUAUUCGCACGUUUUCUGAUUUAACUUUUUAUGAUUGUUUUGUUAUUUGAAUGUCAAGGGUCCGAUAUUCGAAUUAACUUAAUAAUCUACUGCCAAAUUAACCGGUUAAAUCCGUAAUUGUUUGAUUGAUUAAUAUCAGUGGCGACUAGCGUGAUUGGUCCCAUGUUAGGAAAACGUCUGAUCUAAUUUAAACAAACCGUCGUAGCGUGUUUGUUGAUUAGGGUUGGGCUUUUCUAAUUCUUAAUUCAAUUGAGAAAUUAAAUCCCCCGGUCGUACCUAGGAUUAUUUUUUUGUUAGCGAAAUAGUUAAUGGUCGUACCUUGACUAUCGAAAAAGUAAGGAAGAGUUGAUUGUUUAUCGCGUGUACGACAACUAUAAUCAAUCUAUUAAUGAGUAAUUGAAUUAUCUUUGCAUCAGUAAUCAGUUGAAUGGACCGUGUCUGAAAAGUUGUACCUUUGGCUAGAGUCUUAUCUGUUGUUGAUUCAUUCAUAUCUAUCUUCAUGCGUUGUUUUAAUUUAGUUAAUUAGUUAUUUUUAUAAAAACCCCUCAUCUCUGGACUCUAAAAGAAAUAAAUUAUUUCUAGUUCCUGUGGAUUCGAUCCUACUCACCAUACAAUCCAACCUGCAAUUGUAUGAACCCCAAUCUCGCUUCCUAGUCCACCAUUUUUCUCUAGGUAAUAAUCUCCCUUCUAAUUUCUUCACAAAAUGCACCUUUCAUCACCUCCAAUAGCGUCGACAUGAUCUUUACCCCAGAAGACUAUUCACCGACUCUCAAUUGACGUUAGAAAAUCUAAGAGUAAUUCUACUUUACCCUAAGAUUGAUAUCAACAAGACAAGGACAAUUUAGAAUUAUUACACGCCUCUUCUUAAUAGGAAAAAGAAAUAGAGAAGAAAGUCAGGCCAGGUCUAAUUUCUUUUCAAAGGCAAUACAACAUUACGAAAUCAAGCAUUCAUUCAUACAAAUAUUUCAUAGUCACCGGUUUGCUGAGUAGAAAAAUUUAGACAAAAACUUAAUAUUAUAUUGUUUAAGAGUUAACAAUUUAGAGCUUAAUCUCCUUGUACUUUGGAGUUAACAAUUUAGAGCUUAAUCUCCUUGUACUUUGGACUAAACUUGAACGUGAAAGGAAAUCCCAAAACCAUAUUGGGCAUGAAUUCACACUUAAUAUACCCAAUAAAAGAUGGCGACUGGUGAAAGGCAGUGGAGACUGGUGGAGAGAUUUGAGGAAUAGAAGCAGACGGAAAAGCAACAAAUUUUUGCCGAAAAACGGUCACUUUCAUGGUUAAUUUUGCUACUCUCCAAUUGUACUUGACCAAUUACAACAAUUUCAUGGAGUUUGAUACGUGAAAAGAAUUUUUUAUAAAUUUUAUUUUGAUCCAUAAUGUUAUCUUUACAUAUAUAAAACAUUUUACAAUUUUGAUUUUGGCGCAGUUAACUUUUGGUAAACAAAAAUGCUCAUGUUUAAAAAACCGGAAAUAAAACAAAACAAGAAACAAAAGAAAUAAGAGGGUAGCAUAGACAUUUUGGAUUUUUCCGUUAAUUUGGAUGAUUUCCACCCACGUUCUAAUUUAAUCCAAAACACAAAGGAAUUACGUAGAGGUUUUAAAUAAUGAGGGAGCUUCAUGAUCGAACCCCAAACCACAAGGCGAUUUACUAUAUUUUACUCUUAAAUUUUGGUUUCAUCUCAUAGCAUACAAGAGUUCUAUUUCACUAUCUGUAGACAAAGACUUUCUAUGGUUGAUGUACCAUAGGAAAAAAUCUGCCUAUACAACGUGAUAGCAUUUUUUCAAAAACACAAGAUGGAAAAUUGCCCCCUUAAACGGGGAAAUUCAUGAUCUUUCCUCGAACAAAGAAUACUCACGCCUAUUCAAGAUGGAAAAUUGCCCCCUUAAACGUCUAUUUGUCAAUUCUUGAAAAAAGAAUACUCACGCCUAAAACACGGCCUCUUCAUCUGCAGAAUUCUAAAAAGUUAGGUAAACUCUAUAAACAAGUUGAUAGGUACAAUCGUACCCAAGAUCAAGUACAGAUAGUUGUACAUUCACUGCUGCAAUAACUAAUCUGAUGACUUACAAACAUAUCAUGGUCAAUCGUUGAAUGGUAAUGAGUCUUUUGUUAUGCAUUAGUAUUAGUGUGUACACUCUAAUAGAUUGAUACUUAUACUCUUUAAAUUAUCAUAAUAAUACCCUUAAUUAACUUUAACUCUUAAAAAGAAUACGUGUUAAUACACGAGAGUGUGUAACCUGAAUUGUUACUUAUACAUUAGUGUGUAAUAGAUAGGGAUGGCAAUGGGGGCGGGUGCCCGCAGGCAACCGCCCCGCGGGGGGCUCUCGGGGCGGGGAGGGGGGAAUUUUUUCCCCCCGUUUAGAAACGGGGCAGGGGACGGGGGAGUAUACCCCCGCCCCAUCCCCCGCAAAAAAAAUUAUAUAUAUAUAAUUAUAUAUAAUAUGUAAUUUAAUUAGUUAUAAACUUAUGAUAAUGAUAUUAUUAGUUAGAUGUAUUAUAUAAUGUAUAUUAGUGUAUGUAAUAUAAUUAAUAUUAUCAAUUAUACGAAUAAUUAGACAUGUCUACUAAUAGAAUUUAUUAAUUAGUUAUACUAAAUUUACUAAUACAUUUAUACUAAAUUUCUAAUUACAUUUAAUAGAAUAACACUUUUUUCUAAAAAAAAAAGCACAAACACAAUAAUGAAUUAGUGAUUGUAUUUUUACCAAAAAUGAAAACUUAACUAUUUUAGUUGCAUUUAUUUCAUCAUGUUGGAUUGUAUUCAAAUAAUUUUUGUUUGAUUGUUUUUAUGAGUUUCAAUUGUAAAAUUAAAAUGAAUAAUAACUUGAUGAAUAAUAAUGUCAAUCGUUGAAUGGUGUGUACACUCUAAUAUUAUGCAUUAGUAUUAGUGUGUACACUCUAAUAGAUUGAUACUUAUACUCUUUAAAUUAUCAUAAUAAUACCCUUAAUUAACUUUAACUCUUAAAAAGAAUACGUGUUAAUAACUCUUAACCUGAAUUGUUACUUAUACAUUAGUGUGAAAUAGAACGGCAAGCAUUGAGCAACUUAUAGGAGAAAUAGUCCUAUAAGCUGUUGGAUGACUAAUAUAGCUCUAGCUGUAAUGUUUUAAUUAAAUUACAUCACUAACGUUGGGAUGACUAAUGGUUUAAAAAUAAUUGAGUAAUUGGAAAAAAAAAAAGAGACUAAUUUUCAUUGAAACCCACCGACAAACUAAACGUGUCCAUGGCUUUUGAAUAGUGCAUUCAACGUUUAAUUGUAUAGUCCAGUUCAUUGCAGAUUACAUGGAGUAAAGAUUGUGCUCUUUCCUUUUUCACCCCUUUUGGAAUCGAUACUGUGGAGAAUUGGGUUUUUCCCUUCUUUUUUUCUUUUCUUUCUUUCUGUGCUUUGCAAAACAUAGGUAAAAUUAUGAAAUCCGAAGCAUUCUUUAAUUGGGAUUAAGUAUUGUUCUUGAAAUUAAAAAGAAGAAAGAAAGAACAACAAAAUUCCCUGAUUGGUUGCAUCGUGCUUCCAUAGAAGCUCUCUUAGUGUGAUACACUGCUUUCAAUCAGUUUAACAUGGAAAAAAGAAAGAGAUGAAAAGCAAAUUUGGUGGGGAUAAUUUCAGAAACCUCCCCUGAAGAUUUUGACUAUUCUACUGGUCUCCCUUCAGAUUUUAAAAAUUACACUAAUCUUCCUUGAAGUUAUAACAUUUAAAUUCAAUCAAUAAUUUAAAAAAUGAUAUUAUGAAAGAGAAAAUAAUAUGAUUUUAUCAUUGCCCCCCAUCUUACUACAUUAUUUAAUUAAUUUAAUAGCAACCCACACAUUAAAGAAAAAUAUAAAAUUUGUUAUUUAUCAUUAAAGAUCAAAUCGCUUAUAACAUCAAAUAAUAGUAUAUUAUUUAUAUUUUUCACUUAACAUAAUAUCCAAAUUACUCUUUUCAAUUACAUACUCAUUGUUAGACAAUCAACAACAAAUAACCAAAAAAUUUGCAACCAAAAUAUUACAAAAAAAAAUAAACUUUAACAUCAUAAAUAUUCUUAUCAACAUAUUAAAGUUAGUUACUGAAAUUUUUAUGGUGUUAAACUUCACUCUUUGUAAUAUUUUGGUUACAGAUUUUUUUUGAUUAUUUUUUAUUAAUUAUGUUUGAUGAUGGGUUUGUAAUUGAAAAGAAUAAUUUAAAACUUACAUUAAGUGAAAUAUAUAGAGUGAUAUACUAUUUUUUAUAACAUAUGUGAUUCAAUCCUUCUUGAUAGGAUUGGUAAUAGAGGUAGAGGGGGGAGUCGGCUGCAUCCGGUCUUCUUUUCAUAGAUAGUACAAUAUUGCGAAAUCAAUCGCAUUCACACAAUAAUAUUUCGAAGUCAAUGCAUGGCUAAGUUGCAUAAAAGUACGAACACUUGUUAUUAUAUAGCUUAAGAUUCAAAACUUUAGAGCAUAACCCUCCACCUAACACAAUUGAAUAAUGAAUAUUCACGUUUGUCAAAUCUGUCAAAGCACAGUUUGAGGACAACCCAUUCCAACCUGCAAAAGAUUUUUUACUUUUCUAAAGUUGUUGAGAGCUGUAAAAAGACCUACCAUGCUUACAUCCUCCGAGCCUUGGGAGUUAAAAAUGAAGGCACUGAGUGCUAUAAAAAGGGGGCUAGAGGCUGCCUAGAAGCAUAUCAGCCUAAAACAAGAAUUUGUUGUUAUGAUGGGAAGCAAAGCAAAAGCAAUGGGGUCUGGGCUGACUCCUCUUCUUGCCACUGUUUUAGUGGUAUUUGUUGCUCUUGGCUUGCCCUCAGAAACAGCAGCUGAUGAUCACUACAAGUAUUCAUCUCCUCCUCCUCCUUACCACUAUCCCUCACCACCGCCUCCAGUGCAUUUACCUCCACCAGUGUACAAAUACAAGUCCCCACCACCACCUCAUCAUGUUUACAAGUACAAAUCUCCACCACCCCCACCACCACACCCAGUUUACAAGUAUAAGUCACCACCACCACCUCCUCAUCCGGUACCACACCCAGUUUACAAGUAUAAGUCACCACCACCACCUCCUCAUCCGGUAUACAAGUAUAAGUCUCCUCCGCCACCACCACACCCAGUUUACAAGUAUAAGUCACCACCACCACCUCCUCAUCCGGUACCACACCCAGUUUACAAGUAUAAGUCUCCUCCGCCACCAGUUUACAAAUAUAAGUCUCCUCCACCACCACCUCCAGUGUACAAGUACAAGUCUCCACCACCACCAGUUUACAAGUACAAAUCACCACCACCUCCUCCCCCAGUUUACAAAUACAAGUCUCCACCACCACCAGUUUACCACUACAAGUCACCACCACCUCCUCACCCAGUUUACAAGUACAAAUCUCCUCCACCACCAAUUUACCACUACAAGUCACCACCACCUCCUCCCCCAGUUUACAAAUACAAGUCUCCACCUCCUCCUCACCACUACUAAGCAAUUGCUUCUGAGGUAAUAACACUUGUUCAAUAACACUUGAUAGCCAGCUGAAUAUUUGCAGGCAAAGGAGAAGGAAACCAGUGUUUGAGACCUUCUUGAAGAUGUAGAAGCAUAAGAAUUAAAGCCCAAUGUGAAGAUGAUGAUUUCAAGUUUUUCUACGUUACCAUUUCAAUAUCUAAAUUGGUUGUAGCGCCUUAGUUCCUUUGUUUAUGGGAUUUGUAUCGUUUUACGUACCAUGCAGUACAUGUCAUGUUUGUAAGGUUUUCUAUCCUGCCGGCAAACCGCAGGUUCCAUGUAAUAAAUCAAUACUAUUUAUAUUACGACACUUUUCUCUGUUUCUCUUAUAUUUUGUCUUUAAUAUUCUUAAUCAUAUUUUUAACAAAAAUAUUCAAACACUUCAGCAAUGGUUCACCUAGUUGAUCAUCGAAGCAGAGGCAAUUCCAAUUAUUUAUCAAUAAAUAGGAUAUAACUACCAAACAAGCGAUGGCAGUUAACCCCUCCUUACUGUGUCGGUGAUCAAGGUACGCCCGUUAAUCACUGCUCUAAUUGAGAAAUAAUCCUAAGUACGCCCGUAGAAUUUAAUUCCCCAAUUGCCUUACAUAUUAGAGGAGCCCUAUUCUAACCAAAUAACGCACUAUCAGGGUUAUUUUAGAUUAGCCCGCGUAUUCCCCUGACAUAAAUCUAAUCAUGCCAGUUGUCAUUAUUUUGAGGUAAUUAAACAAUUACGGAUUUAACACCUCAAUUGACAAUAGAUUAUUAAAUUAAUUAAUUAUUCGGAUCCAAGACAAUCAAUUAAUUAAACAACCAUAAGCACUACAAUCAGAGAAUAUGCAAAUACCAAUAAAUAAAUAAAAAAUAAAAUUAAAUCGAUCUCACAAUUUUUAGGCGAAUCAGAGCAUCCGUUGUCCCUUGACUAGAGCAAGGAAAUUAGUUCAUAUUUGAUGAACUAAACCCAUACAAAAGGGAAGCGAGAAAUGCAGCCAUUAUCCUUUGAAAUCUGGAAAAUUCAACUUGUCCGAAUAUCGAAUAGAUAGUAAUACUACAAAAGGUAAUUCAUAGCUUCCCUUUCGUCUGACACACAAGAAGAAAAAAAAGGGCUGCUAAUAACUAAAGGAGGAAAAGUCAAAGUCCUAAGCUAUGCUACAAGACGAAAAACUAAAGAAGACAAAAAGGCAGUGCUCAUUCCCUGCAAUCUCAAUUCCUAUUCUAUCUAAGUGCUCUCCAAUGUGCGGCGGCUCCCCUUCCGGAGAGGACGAAGUGGCACCCUUUUUUCCUGCGCAAUUUUCCUAUAUAAAGUAGUGCUCCUUGCAGCGGCUCCUGUGCGAAAAAAUGAAGACUUCGGCCCAAUUUGCCUAACAAGGGCUCACGUUUUGUUGUUCUAAAAAUGUCCCUAGGACAAACUCUAUCAUCUGAACUCUUUUCUUGCCAAAUUAGUACCUGUUAUUAUAUUUUCGUUCUACUCCCUGAAAUAAAUGCAAAAUAUCAAAAGUGAGUAGAAUCUAGCAAUUAAUCCACAUUAGGUCAGGUAAUAGGGAAAAUUAAUAAUAAAAUAAAUGAUAAAAUUGCAAUCUAUCACGGGACCACUGUGGUAAGGUGUGUUUCGCCUAUUAUAAGGAGUUCGGAGAGUUAGACGUGUUGGAGGCGGAGGCGCGGUCACUCCUGCACGCCCUCCAGCUGUGUGCAGAUCGCGAGGUACGGGCGUUGACUGUAGAAUCUGAUUCAAAGGUGCUUGUUCAACUAGUUUGCUCGGAUAUGAGGUCGAAGUGGCCGGUGUGUAUCGUAUUGCGGGAAAUAAGACAUUUGAUCCGGCGGAUGGGUGCAUCCCUUCAUCAUAUAUUCCGUGAGGCCAAUUCGGUGGCGGACGCAUUGGCUUCUCUGCAAUUGGGAGGGCAGCAGUACUACACCUCAGGCGUGGCGCUGCCUUUCAGGCCCAGAGGAGAGGCUCUGCUGGAUCGUCAAGGAGUACCUCGCAUCCGUGAGGCGCUCACUAAGGUUUGAUAGGCUAUGUCCUCCUUUCAAAAAACUUAUUUCAUCUACUCCUUGUAAUCAUUUUUCUUAUCAAUAAAUUGAGGCUUUUUAUUUAAAAAAAAACAUAUAAUUUAAGGCAAAAAUAUGAUCCUAGCGAGUAUCGCACUGAGACAUUAGGAAACAUCAUUAAAAGAGUAUUUCUUGAGUUAGUGCAACUAUUUCUUAGGGGAAUUUAUAGUUACAAAAUUCAAAAAUUUGAGAUUCUAUUACUGAUUAAUUAAGGGCGUUAUCACUAUUUUUCUUAUUAUCACCAUUAUUUACCCCACAUACUAUAAGUUUUUUUAGGGCACAGGAAAAGAGGUGGGCCGAUGUUUAGUUAUGUACAAAAGUUCAAAAUUUGUAGAUAACUUAUCAUGUGCCCUUAGAGCGUAGAAUACAGAAAAAAUAUCUUAAACUAUAACUAAUCCUAAUAUUUUUCUCUAUGAUAAACUAGCUCUUAUCCAUUUCUUUAGAUGAUGAAAGGAAAUAGUUAGUCACCUGUCCUCUAGUGAUUACAACAGCAUCAAAACAAAUUAGCACUCUUUUCCCGUAGUUUAAAAAUCCCUCAGCCACUAAGAUUUUGCAUGUCGAACGAAUUAAGGAACAUAGAAGGUUCGUGCUGCACCACAGUGUCCUUGUUGACGAUGCAAAGACAGAAAUGCAUCCGCGUAUACUUCCUUAAGCAUUUUGAUUACUUUAUGAUUCGAACUUUUCUUGUCUGACAGCUGGACUUAAUUGAAAAACACAAGUAACAAUAUUUCAAAGUUGAUUCGUCAAAGUUUACCCAAUUGGUGAAACUUUCUUCAUAGAGCUGACUUUGUAUUAGGUGACAAUGAUAUGGAAUUGAUGUCCUUCCCUUUUUCCUUUUUUUGUGUUGAAGACGCACAACGUUUUCAAUGGCAAAUUUAUAUGGGCUUUUCACGACAAAAUGUGUUCUGAAAAGUUCAUUCCAGAGGUUAAAAUUUUGUGUGUUAAAAAUUUGCUUCUCAGGACUUUGAUGGGAAAGUCUUGGUGUUUCCAAAAAGUUUAAGCAGGAUGCUUCUGGCUUUCUCUCCAUGUAUUUGUGAGUUAGAUCUAAAAUUAUCAGGGCUCCAGAGAUCUCUUGAAAUCGCAGCAUAUAUUGAAGUCUUUCCAGAAGGAGUCUUUUUUUUUUUUUUUAUGAAUUAUGAUAGAUAAUUAAUCUGACGGUGCAUAUAUAUAUAUAUGUGAUUUGCAGUAGGGUGUUUGACGAAAUGGUUAGGCUUCCUAAGUAAUGAUAGGAAUGCCAUUUGCAAAGAAGGACAGGGGGCUGGUGCUGUCAUAUUUUAUGCGAUUUGAUCCGUUGUUGUAUAAGUUUAAACUUUUGACGUGCAAUUGUGCUAUAAUAUUAUACUAAAUAUAUGUGUGAAAUAUUUUGUCUAUAUACAUCACUUUUAUCAUGAAUACAACAGCUGAGUAUAAUAAUAUAGUAUAAUGUAAUUGUACACCAAAUAAUGUAGCAAAUAUAACAAUUGAUCCGAAUUACACGGAACCAUAACAACAAGAUCACCGCCUCCCAAAUUUUACAAAAUUAGGUUUUUUUUUUUUCUCUUAGAUUAUUGAAAAUUUUCAAAAAUAAUCUACAUAAUUUAAGCUUUUGUCCUACAAAAAUUUGAAGAGAUUUUACAUUACAAGCUUAAGCUUAGAUAUAUUAAACUUUGCCCCCAAGAUUAAUUUUCCGUUUUUAUCUAUGAACCGAUCCAUAUAGCUAGUUAGACUGUAGUCCUCACAUUUGUGGGAUUUAACACCCAAGAUUCUCCUUCUUGGAAUGUAAAAUGUAGAUCUUCUAUGUUAAUAAUUCAAGACCCUACUGUCAUAAACGAAAUGACUGAUCAACUCCUGUAAACCUAAUUUGACAACAUUUAAAUGGAGAACUUUAGCUAAAAGAAUUAUGGUCAAGCUAAAGAAAAAGCCAGUUAUUUUCCAACAUAUGCAAUCAUUGAUCAGGAAAAAAAAAAAAAAGCAAAAAGACAUCUUCAAUCAUUUAAUAGCUCACAGUGCAAAUUAACCCCUAAGCGAAAACUGGUUGCUCUAGAAUCAAAAUUUUACCUUAGUUACCCAGGCAACUUUUUUGUUGCUUUUUUUUUUUUCUUUUCCUUUUUGGGUAUAUAUAUAGCUCCAGUUUUGCCCCCUCUGUCAAGCUUAUAUAAUUAUUAAGAUAAUAAAAGUGCCUUGAAUAGUAUUAAUAUAUCCAUUGACUUGAGCUGUCAUCGAUCGGUUUGGGCUACUUCGAUUCCAUGAGAACAAAUGGUAAUAAAAGUACUCAGAAAAUAGGGAGCCAUGAAACCCUUUUGUUCUAUUCAUUGCUAAGAUGCUUUUCUCUAUAAAGAGACUUCCUAACGAAAGUACUUUGUAGAUUUCUUUACUCCAAGUGGUGCAUGGAAAAUUAAAAUAUUCAAUUAUCAAAUAAAAUUCCCUUUUUUCGGUGUAGAUUUCAUCCAUCCAGCUGUUAACACAUUUUAUGUAUCCGAAUUAUAUAUUCUCUACCAAAUAUUGUAACUUUUCUGAGCAUCUUUACAUUUUUAUUCCCACCUAACAAAUUAGUUGUUGAGCAUCUUUACAUGCUAUCGGAUCACAAGUUAAUAAUCUUUUAAAGAACAUGUUAAAUUAAUUUAUUGGUAUGAAUAGUCAAAGAAGUAUAUUAAAGUUAGUAAUCUUUAAACACCACGAUGCAAUUAAUACUUUCAAGCUCAAGGUCUUUUUUUUUUUUUUUUUUGGUACUGUACUUCCUUGCUUUAUAGUAUGCACGUUUAUUUCUGUGGAUUGCUUAAGCUUAUAUUGUUAAUAAUUGGGCAUUUAACCAUAAAUUAUAAUGAUUAUGAAGUCAUAUAUAUAUAUAUAUAUAUAAGAAAAUUACCACAAUUAUUCAAUUUUUUUUGCAAAUUCAAAUUUUAUUAAUAAGAAAUAGGCAGUAAGCUUUUACAAACGGAAAAAAAAAAUCCUACAACAACUCUAGGACCUUUGAAAGAAAGAAAAAAAAAAGAAAAGAAAAGCUUAAGGACUCUACCUCAUAGAAGCUAAACAAUCCUACAAAUAAACUGCAAAAUAAAUCACAAUAACGCAAAAUUUUUGUCUUUCUUCCGUAUGAAAUGAAACUACGAAGUCAAGAAUUGACUCCUUUAACCGCUAUUGCCAGCGGGCUCCGUCAGCAAGAUACAACUUUGCAAUUUGAUUCAAUAGAAAUCCUCAAAUAGCUAUUUUGACAGGCAAAUUAAGCAUUAAUUUUGGUAUCCCUUCAUAAAAUACAAGAGUACUUUUGAUUAUAUCUAUAGAUCAACUUUCUAGGCUAUUUUGAUGUAUUAUAAGAAAAUCUGCCUCAACAAUUUUGAUAGCAUUUUUCCAAAAGCAGAAGAUGGAAAAUUGCCCAUUUGUACUGGGGAGUUCGUGAUCUUUUCCUCCUUCUAGUCUACUUACAAUUCUUGGAAAAAGGAAUACUCACAUCUCAAACAACUGCCUGUUCAUCUGCAAUGUCCUGCCGAAUUCUAGAAAGUUAGGUGGCAAUGCUAAUUACAUUUCAAAAUUGACUGCUGCGAUGACUAAUUCGAUGGCUUACUACAUGGUCAACGUUUGGAUCCCUUCCUGUCCUUUUUGGAUGCACAUUUUUUUUCUCUAGGCAAUAUAUAAUCUCCCAACUCAUUUCUUUACAAAUGCACCUUUAAUCACCACCAAAAGGUGUGGACAUGAUCUUUACCCUAGAAAACUAAUCACCGACAGGCAAAUUGACGUCAGAAAUACUAAGAGGAAUUCUAGUUUCCUUCGGGUUAAUGCCAUUUUGUACCCUUCAACUGUAACUCGAUUUCUAAACUAUAAUUUGUGACAUUAUAGUCCUUAAACUAUGAAACCCCUCUUACUUAAGUACAAUGGUUAAUACAAUACCCGUGACUAGACAAGCAACCAUAACAAAAAAAAAUCCAAAAUUAGAGAAAAGAAAGAAGUUUCGCGACCAAAGUAUGUAUCAAGGCAUAGUAUAGAAAUAAAAGUGUCCAAAUUAAGAGUUUAGGGAUAAAAGAGAUCAAGAUAUAGUUUAGGGAUUGAUUUGUCUCAAUUAGAGUUUUGAUGUCAACUAAGAAGAGAGAUAUAGUUGAAGGGUAGAAUAUAGAUAUAACAGUUCAAUGAUUGAUAUCAACGAGACAAUGACAACUUUGGAUUAUUACCAACCUCUUCUUGAUGGGAAAAGGAAAUAGAGAAGAAAGUCGGGCCUGGUCUAAGCCUGCUUCGGAGGCAAAACAACAUUAUGAAAUCACCGGCAUUCACACAAAUAUGUCAAAGUCACCGGCAUGCUAAGUUGCAUAAUUUAUACAAACACUGAAUAAUAUAUUGUUCUUAAAAUUUUUGUUUAAGAUUUAACAAUUAGAGCACGGUACACGAAUUAGCAAUAUUAAAUAAUGAAUGUUCACGAUUGAUAAAGUUAUCAAAGUACAGUUUGAGGACAACCCAUUCCAACGUGUACAAGAUGUUUAGCCUUUGAAAAGUUAAUUAGAGAAGGUGACGAGAUUUUACUAGGCUUAAAUCUUCUAGGCCUCGGAAGUAAAAAAUGAAGGCCUUUGAGUGCUAUAAAAAGGGGGCUAGAUGUUGCCUAGAAGCAUAUCAGCCUCAGACCACAUUUUGUAGCAAUGGGGAGCAAAGCAAAAGCAAUGGGGUCUAGGCUGACUCCUCUUCUUACCACCGUUUUAGUGGUAUUUGUUGCUCUUGGCUUGCCUUCAGAAACUGUGGCUGAUUACUACAAGUAUUCAUCUCCUCCUCCUCCUUACCAUUAUUCCUCACCACCACCUCCUGUGCAUUCACCUCCACCACCGCCAAUUUAUAAGUCACCCCCACCACCUUACCACUACUCCUCACCGCCACCUCCAGUGUAUUCAUCUCCACCACCACCUUCGCCAGUUUACAAGUCUCCGCCACCACCUUACCAUUAUUCGUCACCACCGCCUCCGGUGCAUUCACCUCCACCACCACCUGUUUACAAGUCACCUCCACCACCUUCGCCAGUUUACAAGUCUCCGCCACCACCUUACUAUUAUUCGUCACCACCGCCUCCGGUGCAUUCACCUCCACCACCACCGAUUUACGAGUCACCUCCACCACCUCCUCCAGUUUACAAGUCUCCGCCACCACCUUACCAUUAUUCCUCACCACCACCUCCAACGCAUUCACUCCCACCACCAGUUUACAAAUCACCGCCACCACCUCCUCCUAUGUAUAAGUCCCCUCCACCACCUUAUCAUUAUUCCUCACCACCACCUCCAGUGCAUUCACCCCCACUGCCACCAAUUUACAAGUCUCCGCCACCUCCAAUCUACAAGUAUAAGUCACCACCACCUCCUCCCCCAAUUUACAAGUCACCACCACCACCUCCUCCAGUAUAUAAGUCCCUACCCCCACCAGUGUAUAAGUACAAGUCUCCACCACCACCUCCUCCAGUAUACAAAUCACCUCCACCACCUCCUCCAGUUUACAAAUCUCUACCACCACCAAUUUAUAAAUACAAGUCUCCUCCACCACCUCCUCCGGUUUACAAUUCCCCACCACCACCAAUCUACAAGUCUCCACCUCCACCCUCCCAUUACUACUACAAUUCUCCUCCUCCUCCUCCUCAUCACUACUAAGCAAUUGUAUCCAAGUUUUUGAGGUAAUAAUGCUAAACCAAUAUAUUAACUUUCGCAUGAUAAACUUUAUCUCUAUCAAGACAAACUGCCAUGUGCAUCAAGCCAAAUACGUACACUUCGAUCCAUGAAAAUGACAAGUAGAAGGUUUUCUUAAGAACCAAGGAACAGCAUUAGUAUUCCCUCUGUUUCCAAAACUUGUGUAUUAAAUAGAUUAAUGAAUUGUUUAACAUGCUUAUCUACUUGAAAAUGCACAAUACCCAUAACCCACUGAAAUUUUUGCAGGUAAAGGGGAAGAGAAUCUGUGUUUGAGAGCUUCAUGAAGAUGUUGAAGAAUAAGAAUAAAAGCCCAAUGCGAGGAUGUUUUCAAGUUUUUCUAUGUUUCCACUUUAAUUUGUAAAUUGAAUUUUUCGACUUAAUUAAUUCCCUGUUUGUGGGGUACGUAUUGUUUUACGUACCAUGCCGUACAUGUUUGUAAGGAUUUCUAUCCUAUUGGCAAAAGUCGGUUCCAUACAAUUAAUCAAUUCAUUUCACUUCUAUUGGCUCUACUAUUUAUGCACGUUACGACAUUUUUUCUCUCUUUCCCUUAUAUUUUGUCUUUAAUAUUAUUGAGUCAAUAGUAAUACUGGGCCAUUUUUUUUAAAACUUAUACUAGUAUACAUAGGUAGUUUGGUCUAACGCCAAAUUCAUGUUUGUCUUUCUUUUAUUCCCUUUACAUUUCAAAGUAUACUAUAGUUUGUGAUCAUUGUGGUGAUGAUAUUACCAGCUGGUACUUAUAGUUUAAGGCAGAGACAUGAUAUUAACAACUAUCUCAUUGAAACAUAAGGAAAAAUCAUGACAAGUGUGAGUCUUGGUUAAUGCACAAUUUGUUAGUGGAAUUUAUAUUUAUAAAACUCAAAAAAAAAAUUUUGACAAUGCUAUUACUAAUUAAUUAAGGACUUUAUUGCUAUAAUUUAUCGCUUGCUAGUUUAAACUAUAAAUGAUCUCAAUACUUUUCUCCAUGAUGUCGAUUUCUUUAGAUACGAAAGGGAAAAAUUAGUGACAUAUCCCUUACUGAUUACAACAUCAGCAAAAAUUAGUUAUAAACUUUUCCGGUGGUUUUAAAUCCCCGGGCCCUAAGAUUUUUUGCUCAUCGAGUGAAUUAAGGAACAUAGGCAAUUCAUUUUGCAUACCAAGUCCUUGUUUAAGAUGCAAGUACUAAAAUGCAUCCACUUCAUUAAUUUGGGAAAUUGCCAUAGUUUUUUUAAGCAUUUUGAUUUUUUACAUGAUUUAAAAUUUUCUUAUUGGAUACAAUCACUUUGUAUCAAGAACACAUUUUCAAUCACCUUUUUUUAUCUUCUCAAUGAGAAAAUAAAAAUUUAUUCAUGCUUUUCUAACAUAUUCAAUCAUUGAUCUGAAAAUUAAAACAUUAAGAAAAGGACAUUUUCAAACAUUAAGAAGUAGUAUUUUAAAGACCAUGAUGAAAUUAAUACUUUCAAGGUCUCUAUUAGGAAGACUUCCUUUAUUAAUACUCUACUAGGCAGAGUUAUAUGCACGUUUACUGUUUUGGCCUUAAGUUGGGUGCAGAUGCUUAUAUUACAAAUAGAUGGUAUCAAAAAAUUGUUGUAUUCACGUCUGUUCUUUUUUUCUUCCUUAAGUUUUUUUCUUUAUUCUCGUGACUUCGCUAGUGAGGUAUAACUUCACAACUAGAGUCAAUAGAAAUCGUCAAAUGAUUUUUUGACAUCCAAAUUAAGCAAUAAAUUUUGUUUUCAUUUCAUAACAUAUAAUAGUACUACUUCAUGGGAGAUUUUAUAGUUUCUUUAGGGUAUCAUACCUACAAUUGAUAUUUAUCAUUGGAUAGUGAAAGAAGUGUUAAUGUCUCUAAGAUUAAAUAUUGUUAAAUAUUGAAAAUUUGAACUAUUUAUCUCUAUUGAGAGAUACAACUUAAAGAAUCCUACCCAAAAGAGACUAGAAUUUUCUCUGUUUUUCAUCAUCUGUAGACAUAAACUUUCCACGGUUGAUAGCAUUUUUCAUCAUCUAUAAGGAAAUUUUGCCUAUACAAUGUGAUAGCAUUUUUCAAAAAGACAAGAUGGAAAAUUGCCCCCCUUGAACGGAAAAUUGCCCCCUUGUCAAUUCUUUAAAAAAGAAUACCGUCCCGCAGAAUUCUAGAAAGUUAGGCAAAACUAGACAAGUUGACAGGUAUAAUCAGACCCAAGAUCAGGAACAAGCAGUUGCACAUUUCAAAAUUCGCUGCUGCAACAACUAAUUUGAUGACUUACAACACUAAAUGGUCAAACUUUGAAUGGCAAUGAAUCUUUUGUUGUACAUCAUGAUGUAAUUUUCAUGUUACAUAAUAGAUUGAUAUCUAUGUUCUUUAAAUUAUCAUAAUAAUUAAAUUUAACUGAAAAAAAGAACACAUAUCAAUACACAAAAGUGUGCAACGUGAAUGUUAUUUUAGUGUAUUGCAGAAGACCUAUAGUCUCUUCAUAUCUCUUCCUGCACGUAUCAAUUCGUUUCCUCUAGAUAAUAAUCUCCCAACUCAUUUAUUUACAAAUGCACCUUUUAUGUUUUAUUACCUCCAAAAGCCUAAAAAUCAAUUCACCGACUCGCAUUUGGUAUCAGAAAUUCUUAUUACGAAUUCUACUUUACUCAAAGAUUGACUGUUAAUAAUGAGACAACGACCAUUUUGUAUUAUUACACCGUCCUUCUUGAUAGGCAAAAGAAAUAGAGAGGAAAGCGGGUCCGUAUAUGGUCUUUUAUUCAUAGAUAAUACAACAUUACGCCAUCGAGCAUUCACACAAUAUUUCAAAGUCAUUGCAUGCCUAAGGCCUGCUUGAUAAUCUAAUUCCGUACUUAAAUUUAAUAAAUUCAAAUCUUAACACAUUCAAAUCGUUUGAUAACAAAAAAUUGAACAUCUAAAUUAAUUAAGUAACACUGAAUUUUCUAGGCAAAACUUGCUCCCAAAAUUAAGUGAUAAGUUAUUCACUUAUCACUGAAUAUGAUAUGUAUUCAAAUGUAUUAGAUUUAAUACUUAAUAAUUUAAUGAAUUCAAAUUUCAUAUUUCAUAUUUCAGUUUUAUCAAACACACCUUAAGUUGCAAAAUAAUACCAAAACUUGUUAUUACAUAGCUUGAGAUUCAAAAAUUUAGAGCAUAAUUCUCAACCAAACACAAUUGAAUAAUGAAUAUUCACGAGUGUCAAAUCUAUCAAAGUACAAUUUGAGGACAACCCAUUCAAACGCGUACACGAUUUUUAACUUUUCUAAAGUUGUUGAGAGCUGUUGAAAGAGAUUUACCAUGUUUACAUCUUCCAAGUCUUGGGAGUAAAAAAUGAAGCCACUGAGUGCUAUAAAAAGGGGGGUAGAGGCCACUUGAGAUCCUCGGUGACAUGUUUUCUAUGCCAAUCCAAUGCCACCAAUAGUGUUGCGCCAAGUGUCAUGUUAUUAUUUACACUUGUGUUAAACUAAGCCAAGUUGAAUUAUUAGAAAAUUAAAGUGUAAAUAAUAACAUGACACUUGGCGCAAUACUAUUGGUGACAUUGGGUUGGCAUAGAAAAUAUGUCACCGAGGAUCCCAAGUGGAUAGAUGCUGCCUAGAAGCAUAUCAGCCUAAAACAAGAAUUUGUAGUAACAAUGGGGAGCAAAGCAAAAGCAACGGGGUCUAGGCUGACUCCUCUUCUUACCACUGUUUUAGUGGUAUUUGUUGCCCUUGGCUUGCCCUUGGAAACUGCAGCUGAUUAUUACAAGUAUUCAUCUCCUCCUCCUCCUCCUUACCAGUAUUCCUCACCACCACCUCCAGUGUAUUCACCUCCACCAACCCCUGUUUAUAAGUUACCCCCACCAUCUCCUCUAGUUUACAAGUCCUCACCACCACCUUACCACUACUCACCACCUCCUGUGUAUUCACCUCCACCAUCACCAAUUUACAAGUCACUGCCACCACCCCCUCCAGUAUACAACUCCCCGCCUCCACCAGUGUACAAAUACAAGUCCCCACCACCACCUUCUCCAAUUUACAAAUCUCCACCGCCACCAGUUUACAAGUACAAGUCACCCCCACCACCUCCUCCGGUAUACAAGUCUCCUCCGCCACCUGUUUACGAGUACAAGUCUCCUCCACCACCUCCUCCAGUGUACAAGUCCCCACCACCUCCAGUUUACAAGUACAAGUCACCACCACCUCCUCCCCCGGUUUACCAAUCUCCUCCACCACCAGUUUACAAAUACAAGUCACCACCACCUCCUCCCCCAGUUUACCAGUCUCCACCUCCACCCUAUCAUCACUACUACGGUUCUCCUCCUCCUCACCACUACUAAGCAAGUGCAUCUAAGUUUUGAGGUAAUAAUACCGAUCCAAAACUUUAUCAACGCAAACUGCCAUGUAUAUCAUGCUAAGGACGUACACUUGAUCCAUGAAAAUGGCUAGUAGAAGAUUUUUUUUAAGAACCAGAGAAAUACAUUAUUUUUUCGCUCUGUUUUCAAGAAUUUGAGCAGUAUACAGAUUAAAGAGUGUUUUUUUUAAACUUGCUUAUCAACUUAGAAAUGCACAUAGCUGAAAGCCAACUGAAUAUUUGCAGGCAAAGGAGAAGGCAAUCGGUGUUUGAGACCUUCAUGAAGAUGUAGAAGAAUAAGAAUAAAAGCCCAAUGCGAGGAUGAUUUCAAGUUUCUACGUUACCAUUUCUACAUCUAAAUUGACUUUAGCUCCUGAGUUCCAUGUCUAUGGGGUUUGUACUGUUUUACGUACCAUGCAGUACAUGCUUGUAAGGUUUUCUGUCCUGUUGGCAAGCCGCAGGUCCAUAUAAUAAAUGAAUACUAUUUAUAUUACGACACUUUUCUCUCUUUCUCUUAUAUUUUGUCUUUAAUAUUGUUGAUCAUUUUUUUUUUUUAUCAAAAGUAUCAAAUGCUUAGGCAAUUUGGUCUAAUGCUAAUUGUUUUACAUUUAUUUUUCACCUACAUCCCUUUUCAACUCAAAGGAUGCUACAGUUUGUGAUCAUUGUUUAAGACCGAAGCAUGGUACUAAUAAAUAUCUCAUUGAAAGUCAAGGAAACUAACAUUAUGAAAAGUGUAAAUCUUGAUUUGUGAAACUAUUUAUUCGUGGAAUUUAGAGAUACAAAACUCAAAUUGUGACGGUGUUGUUGCUAAAUUAUUUUUUUUUUAUAAUAAAACACAGUUCAUUCAAGGAUUACUGGAAAUCGUCCAGCACAAUUGAGAUACAUUGUUGCCCAGGUGGCAGAUAAAUAUGCACUAAAAUUAUAGAUAUGCAAUUUAACAAAUACAUAAGAUUUGAGAAAUUAAGGACAAAUCUAAAAAGGACCAUAAAUUUGAAAAACAUUUCAUCCUAGAAUAAGUCGCUGCAACUCUCUUUGUGCAUGCUGUAAUCGUCAGAUCUACUAAUCAACAGUUGUAAGGUCCAGUAAAGAUGGUGAGAUCUGCCGAGAUUGAUCCAAAUCUGAAAUAUUCCCUCAGAUCUGCUAUCCAAUUGGUUCAAACUCAAUACUGAAAGUGAAAUCUGAUGAGAAGACUGAAAAAAUUGUAGAUCUAACAUAUAGAUCUAAAAAAACUCCAAGAUUUGAAAAAGUAAAGAAACAAAACUAAAUAAAACUCUCAUUAAGAUAGUUUAGGAGAGACUAAAACUCUCAAUAGGACACCCUAGGAGAGAAGAAAACUCUCACUAGGAUAACCUAUGAGAGACUUUAUUGAAUGAAAGGAAAAGCAAAGGACAAAGGAAGAAGAAGGGAGACCUUGGCUUAAGGCCAAGGUCUCCCUCCUAUGGAGGAGGAAGGGUAGAGGAGGAAGCCUAGAGAGAAGGAAGAGAAUCCCUCCGCUAGAGGGAAGGAAGAGCCUCUGAGAGGGUACCCGUGUUGUUGCUAAAUUAUUAAGGACAUUAUCACCAUUACUUUUCCCUUACUAGUUUCAACUGCAAUGAUCUCAAUCUUUUUGUGACUAAUUCUUUUCUUAAUAAUUUAUAAAUACAAAACUCACAAAGAAUAUGUGACUUAUUCUUUCCUUUCGUCUUCUAAAGAAAAUGCCAACUGUUAGUUUAUCAAGGGAAAAAGGAUCGACAUCAGUUGUUAUUGAAACUAGUAAGGAAUAAAUAAUGGUGAUAAUGUCCUUAAUAAUUUAACAACAGCACCAUCAGAAUUUGAGCUUUGUAUCUAUAAAUUCCACGAAUAAAUAGUUUCAUCAAAUCAAGAUUUACACUUUUCAUAAUGUUAAGUUUCCUUGACUUUCAAUGAGAUAUUUAUUAGUAUCAUGCUUCGGUCGUAAACAACGAUCACAAACGAUAGCAUCCUUUGAGUUGAAAAGGGUAGUGAAAAAGAGAAGUAAAAAAUACAAUUAGCAUUCCCUCAAAUUGUAGAAAGUUAGGUAGCAUUAUAGACAAGUUGAUAGCCGUAAUUAUACUAAAAAUCAGGCAAAAGCCAGCAAUUUUACAUUUCAAAAUUCACCUAUUCAAUAACUAAUUCGAUGGCUUGCUACAUGGUCAAAAUUCACCACAUAUCCCUUUCCUCAAUCAGGGGCUUCUACAAUUACCAGUUCCAAUUGUAUGGUAUAGUGUAAAUAUCAACAAAUUAGAUGUAGACACUAAUAUAAUAAAUAUGGAUGCUAAGGCAACAACAUACAAAAACAUAAUAAAUUUUGGCAUUCCUUAAAAAAUUACGUCCCCAAAUCAAUCUCAUACACCCAAUUUCUAAUUUAUUUAACUCAUUCCGUCUAUUAACUGCACCAUACAAUCCAACCUGCAAUUGCAUGAACCCCAAUCUCGCUUCCUAGUCCACCAUUUUUCUCUAGGUAAUAAUCUCCCUUCUAAUUUCUUCACAAAAUGCACCUUUCAUCACCUCCAAUAGCGUCGACAUGAUCUUUACCCUAGAAGACUAUUCACCGACUCCCAAUUGACGUCAGAAAAUCUAAGAGUAAUUCUACUUUACCCUAAGAUUGAUAUCAACUAGACAAUGACAAUUUAGAAUUAUUACACGCCUCUUCUUAAUAGGAAAAAGAAAUAGAGAAGAAAGUCAGGCCAGGUCUAAUUUCUUUUCGAAGGCAAUACAACAUUACGAAAUCAAGCAUUCAUUCAUACAAAUAUUUCAUAGUCACCGGUUUGCUGAGUAGAAAAGUUUAUACAAAAACUUAAUAUUAUAUUGUUUAAGAGUUAACAAUUUAGAGCUUAAUCUCCUUGUACUUUGGACUAAACUCGAACGUGAAAGGAAAUCCCAAAACCAUAUUGGGCAUGAAUUCACACUUAAAUAGACCCAAAAAAAGAUGGCGACUGGUGAAAGGCAGUGGAGACUGGUGGUGAGAUUUGAGGAAUAGAAGCAGACGGAAAAGCCACAAAUUUUUGCCGAAAGAGGGUCACUUUCAUGGUUAAUUUUGCUACUCUCUACUUGUACUUGACCAAUGACAGGUUGUCAGUCUGUGCAAUAAUAAAAACCUGUUCAAACUAAAAGUAAUUUCUGUAGAUAGUGGUAAGCAGGGUCGAAUCCACAGGGAUUAGGUGUAACUGUUUCUUUUCAAAUUCACAAUAACAAAGGGGGUGUUUUUAUGCAGAAUGUGACAAUCAAAGAAAUUCAAUUAAAAGUAAAAUAAUAAAAAUAAAAUAGCCAACUAGAAAUUAAAUAACAAUUUACUAAAAUCAAAUGAGUGAUAAUUAAGGAUCUAGCCAAGGAAUAACUUCAGCAGUGGUUCACCUAAUUGAUCAUUGGAACAAAGGCAAUUCCAAUUAUUUACUAAUAAAUAGGUUAUAACUGCCAAACAAGCGAUGACAGUCAAUCACUCCUUACUGUGUCGGUGAUUAAGGUACGCCCGUUAAUCACUGCCCUAAUUGAGAAAUAAUCUUAGGUACGCCCGUAAGAUUUAAUUUUCCAAUUGCCUUACAUAUUAGAGGAGUGUCAGGAACAAGGAAAUAGAAUGGGACGUCGUUUAAUGCAAAGGGUUGUGCGUUUAAGGCCUUAGAAGCAAUACUACGUCGUUCUAAUAACAUAGGCGGUGCUGGUGUGAUAGGCCAAGUUAGUUGAGGGUCAAUUACAUAAAUAGCCUUCUGUAACAGAUUUUUGGUUAUGUUUUUGAAUGAAAAGUAUCUCGCUGCUUUCUCUCUCUUGUCUGUUAUUUCCCUCCCUUUUCUUCUUUCUCUCUUCCCUCUUCUUAAUCUUGUUUCUUUCUUCUGAUUCUUCCCCCAAAUUCAAUACAAUUCCAGAAAUUAACCUGCAAGUCUGACAUUUGGUAUCAGAGCGGUCGAUUCUUGGCCGCGAAGGUAUCAGAAAUGGCUGAGAGCACGCGAUUCAGGACACUGGAGGAGCAACUCAAGAAGCAGGAGAAUCGGUUGCAAGAACUGGCGGAAUCCAUGGCUGCACUGCAGAGUACGAGUUCCGAGGAGUUGCGGCAUAAGCUACAGGCGGAAAUGGAGCAGAACAAUGCAAAAUUGGACGCGGUGGUGGGAAGUCUGGACCAGAAGUUCAAUAAAAUGGAACAGAGACUCAGUACAGUGUUGAAGCUGCUGAUGAAGGAGAAAGGUCUCCCUGAUGUCGAAGGAGGAAUUUCUGAUCCAAUCUUGCCGACUCCUCCAUCUCAUCUGAGGUUAGCAUCCUCAGUCGAAGGGAUUGGGCACCAACAAGAGUACAGAGGUAGGCAAUUCACUCCUAAUGUACCUCGAUUAGAACUGCCAAUGUUUAACUCUGGAAACCCUAGGGAAUGGACCAGGAAAUGCCAGAAAUAUUUUUUGAACUAUCAGAUAGCAGAGAGUCAAAAGGUAGAGGUAGCAGAGAUGUUUUUGGAAGGUAGAGCUGACAAUUGGUUUCAAGGAGUGAAAUUGGUGAGGCCAGGGUUGUCUUGGGGGGAAUUUAGUGAACUUUUGUGUGAAAGAUUUUCUGGAAGUAGUUCUCGUGACAUUGUGGAGGAAUUUAACAAGUUACAGCAGAAAGGAACUGUUGAGGAAUAUGAGGAGAAAUUUGAAGAACUAAAAGCUCUAAUGCUGAUGAAAACCCCCAGGUUGGAUGAACUUUACUUUGUUUCCAGUUUUAUUAGUGGCCUCAGGGAAGAAAUUAGACCUAUGGUGAAGAUGUUUAAGCCUCAAACACUGAUGAAGGCCUUUGAAGUUGCGGAGUUGCAGGAGUGUUCCCUGGAAAUCCAAUCGAAACAAAACAGAACUUCAAGGAGGACAGCAAUGGAACCCAAGUUUGGAAUGUAUAAGGGCACUACGAGUGAUUAGGGUCGCCAAAAUUCAUAUAAGUUGCCUGGAGUCACUCCUGUCUCCAGGAGGACUAAUGCAGUACACAAGGAAUUUAGUAAGAUAUCAGCGGAGGAAAUGCAGUAUAAGCGUAAGCACAGCCUGUGCUAUAGGUGUGGAGAGAAGUUUGGAAUAGGUCAUCAGUGUAAGAAAGGAAGUCUGAACUGUGUGAGCACUGAGGAAGAGGAGGACACUGAAUUUGAGGAUGCGGAAGGGGAACAGGAUGAGUUAACAGGAAGGGUCGGGGAACUUGCAGAAGUCUCUUUGAAUGCUUUAUCUGGUGCCAUAAGGAGGAAAUCCAUCCUGUUGAUAGGGAACUUAGGGGGGCUUCCAGUCAAAAUUUUGGUGGACACAGGCAGUUCUAACAGCUUCAUUCACCACAGGAUUGUCAACCUACUGCAUCUACCAUAUCAGGCAGUCAGUCCAUUUACUGUGACUCUAGCAGAUGGAACUGACAUUACCAGUGGAGCCAUCAGUCCCAGCGUGUCUUGGUUAAUUCAGGACUAUCAAUUCCAAUUUGACUUAAAAGUAAUGGAAUUAGGGGGAUGGGAUAUAAUUCUGGGGGUGGACUGGAUGUGCCAGUAUAGUCCCAUUACAUUUGAUUUCCACUCUCUUAGCAUUGCCCUUAGUGAUAGGGGUUCUUUACUACACCUCCAAGGACUUGUGAAGCAACCUACUAUGGAACUGGUGAGGGGCAGGGAUCUCAGCUCGUUUAUACAGGAGAAGCAAAGAAACUGUGCAGCCAUGCAUGCUGAUAGGGCCAGGGAAACAGGAGAGCAGCUUCCAAAAGCUAUAGAAAGGAUCCUGGAACAGCACUCUCAGGUUUUCUCCACCCCAACAGGAUUACCCCCAGAGAGGGAAUUGGACCAUCAGAUCAACCUCAAACCAGGAGCUGAACCCUUCAAGCUCAAACCUUACAGGUACCCCCACUCACAUAAAGCAGAAAUUGAAAAAAAAGUUGCUGAGAUGCUCACUAAUGGAAUUGUUAUACAUAGCACAAGCCCCUAUGCCUCCCCUGUAUUGUUAGUAAAGAAAAAGGAUAACUCCUGGAGAUUAUGCAUAGAUUACAGGAAGCUGAACGAGCUGACUAUAAAGGAUAAGUUCCCUAUUCCCAACAUAGAUGAACUAUUGGAUGAAUUACAUGGAACCAGAUACAUGUCCAAACUGGAUCUCAGAGCUGGUUACCAUCAGUUGAGGGUGAAAGCUGUUGAUACCCCUAAGACUGCCUUCCAGACACACCAUGGCCACUUUGAAUUCUUAGUGAUGCCUUUUGGACUCACAAACGCGCCAGCUACAUUUCAGUCCUUGAUGAACAGAAUAUUUCAGCCAUAUCUCAGAAAGUUUGUCCUAGUCUUCUUUGACUACAUAUUAGUGUACAGCCCCACACUAGAGAUGCAUGCACAGCAUCUACAGAUUGUGCUCAAUAUUUUAGAAGAAAAUCAGCUGUAUUACAAGAGGUCAAAGUGCUCUUUUGCCCAGUCCUCAAUUGAAUACUUGGGGCACGUGAUCUCAGAGGCAGGAGUGAGUAUGGAUGUGGCUAAGGUGGAGUGUAUCAAGUCCUGGUCUGUUCCUAGUACAGUCAAGGAGCUGAGAGGGUUUUUGGGAUUAAUUGGUUACUACAGGAGAUUCAUUAAAGGCUAUGGAGUGAUUAGCAAACCCUUGACUGUAUUGUUGAAAAAGGAAGGUUUUGCAUGGAACCAUGAAGCUCAAAUGGCCUUUGAAGAUUUGAAAAAGGUUAUGACCACAGCCCCAGUGCUGAGCAUGCCUAAUUUCGAACUUCCUUUUGUCAUAGAGACUGAUGCCUGUGGAAUAGGUAUUGGAGCAGUGUUGAUGCAGCAAGGACAUCCUAUUGCUUUCCUUAGCAAGGCAUUAUCAGUUCAGAAUUUGGGGUUAUCAGUCUAUGAAAAAGAGCUUUUUGCCUUAGUGCUAGCUGUAACUAAGUGGAGGCAUUACCUGGUGGGUCAUCACUUCAUUAUCAGGACAGAUCACCAAGCUCUCAAACAUUUGAUAGAGCAAAGGCUUACUCAUCCACUCCAGCACAAGUGGCUAACUAAGCUACUUGGUUUGGACUAUGAAAUACAGUAUAAAAAGGGUGCAGACAAUGGGGUGGCAGACGCCCUCUCCAGGAGAAGGAUUGAGGGAAACACUGUUGACUGUGGAGAGACUGGGCAUCAGACCUGCGCCAUAACCUCAGCUCAGCCUAGUUGGAUGCAGGAAAUGCUAGAAAGCUACAUUGGAGAUGCAGAGGCUCAACAGAAGUUAUCUGAGCUAUUGCUGGAUCCCAAUGCAGAUCCAGAUUAUCAGUUAAAGAAUGGGAUGCUCAAGUUUAAAGGGCGGCUGUACAUAGGAUCUGCUAACAACAUUAGGACCAAGGUGGUCAGAGCAUUGCAUGACUCAGCCCUUGGGGGGCACUCAGGUCCUGGAAUCCGUAAGGAUGUCCUUCAAUAUGUGAGAUCUUGUGAUGUGUGUCAAAGGAACAAACAUGAAAAUGUUCCUUAUCCUGGGUUGCUGCAACCAAUUCCUGUACCUCAGCAGGCUUGGUCACACCUCACCAUGGAUUUUAUUGAGCAACUACCCCCAUCCCAUGGAUUUGAUACCAUUUUGGUGGUGGUGGAUAGGUUAACCAAGUUCAGCCACUUCAUUCGACUCACUCACCCUUUUUCUGCACAGCAGGUAGCACAGCUUUUCCUUGACAACAUAUACAAGCUGCAUGGACUUCCUGAGACCAUUAUAACUGACAGGGACAUAAUCUUUCUUAGUAAGUUUUGGCAAGAGUUAUUUGGUAUGGUAGGGGUAAAGCUGCACUACAGUUCAUCGUAUCACCCUCAAUCAGAUGGUCAAAGUGAAAGGGUCAAUCAGUGUUUGGAAAACUAUCUCAGGUGUAUGUGCAGUGAGCAUCCUUCUCACUGGAGCAGUUGGCUUCCUACAGCUGAGUUAUGGUACAACACUAACUUCCAUACUAGCUUGCAGGUGACACCAUUCGAAGCACUAUACGGGUAUAAACCAAAUCACCUUCCCUUAGGACCUUUUCAUGAUAGCCUGGUACCUGCUGCUGGUAACAUGGUGCAGACUAGGCUCCAAAUUCUAUCCCUCAUCAAAGAGAAUCUAGCCACCGCCCAGAAUCGAAUGAAAAUGUUUACUGAUAAGCACAGGACUGAACGUGUCUUCCAAGUGGGGGAUUGGGUAUUUCUCAAGCUGCAACCUUACAGGCAACAAUCAGUGGCCUUACGGAAGAAUUUGAAGUUGGCUGCCAAAUACUUUGGACCUUUCCAGAUCCUUGCGAGAGUAGGGGAAGUCGCCUACAGACUUAAGUUGCCAGAGGGAGCUCGAGUUCAUUCCGUGUUCCAUGUGUCCUUACUUAAAAGGAAAGUGGGAGUUACACAGCAGGUAAAGCCCAGCUUGCCAGAAGUAGACGCAUCAGACCAAUGUUUGCUGAAGCCAGAGAAGAUUCUCCAGAGGCGUGUUAUCAUACGAGCUGCCAAACCAAUCAUCCAGUACCUGGUGAAGUGGAACAACUUACCAGAAUCCGAAGCAUCAUGGGAGGAUAAAAGCUUCAUUGACAGACAAUUUCCGGAAUUUCAAGCUUGAGGACAAGCUUUGCUUAAGGGGAAGAGAUUGUCAGGAACAAGGAAAUAGAAUGGGACGUCGUUUAAUGCAAAGGGUUGUGCGUUUAAGGCCUUAGAAGCAAUACUACGUCAUUCUAAUAACAUAGGCGGUGCUGGUGUGAUAGGCCAAGUUAGUUGAGGGUCAAUUACAUAAAUAGCCUUCUGUAACAGAUUUUUGGUUAUGUUUUUGAAUGAAAAGUAUCUCGCUGCUUUCUCUCUCUUGUCUGUUAUUUCCCUCCCUUUUCUUCUUUCUCUCUUCCCUCUUCUUAAUCUUGUUUCUUUCUUCUGAUUCUUCCCCCAAAUUCAAUACAAUUCCAGAAAUUAACCUGCAGAUCUGACAAGGAGCCCUAUUCUAACCAAAUAACACACUACCAGGGUUAUUUUAGGUUAGCCCGCGUAUUCCCCUGACAUGAAUCCAAUCAUGCCAGUUAUCACUAUUUUGAAACAAUUAAACAAUUACGGAUUUAACGUCCCAAUUGACAAUAGAUUAUCAAAUUAACUAAUUAUCCGGAUCCAAAACAAUCAAUUAAUUAAAUAAUCAUAAGCACUGUAAUCAGGGAAUAUUUGAAUACCAAUAAAUAAAAAGAAAGGACAAAAUUAAAUCGAUUUCACAAUUUUUAAACGAACCACAACCUCAGUUGUUCCUCGGCUAGAUUGAGAAAAUUAGCUCAUGUUCGAUGCGAAAAAUCCACAAGAAAUUGUUAAGAGAGCCGCGGCCAUUGUCCCUUGAAAUUGGGGAAAUUCAAUUCGGUUGAACUACGAAAGAAAAGUAAGCUACAGAGAGUUGCCGAUUGGGUUUUGCUUGUCCCUAACAUGCGAGGGAGCAAAGCCACGAAAGGACGACAAAGGUCAAAAAGAAAGGCUACAGAGCAUGUUCCAGGUCUUUUUGUGCUCUCCACAUCCGAGCCAACGAAAAGAAAUAAAAAACUACCAGGAGCUAAAGGAAAACCGCAAGAAAAGUCAAAGGCUAAAAAAACUUCCUAGUGCUUGUUCUCUGCUUAUCUCUUUAUCUAAUUCUAAGUCCCCGAUUUUUUGCUCCGUGCGGCGGCUCCCCCGGAGAGAAAGGAUUGCAUCCGCUGCCCUCUUCCACCAAUUACCAAAAUGGGCACACCGCUUCUUUUUCAAAAAUGCUCCUGGAUAAACUCUAUCAUCUGGACUUUUUUUCUGUCAAAUUGACAUUUAUUAUUAUAUUUUCGUUCUACUCCCUGAAAUAAAUGUAAAAUAUUAAAAAUGAGUAGAAUCCGACAAUUAAUUCACAUCAGGUCAGAUAAUAAAGAAAAUUAAUAAUAAAAUAAAUAAAUAAAUUGCAACCUAUCAACCAAAUACAACAAUUUCAUGGAGUUUGAUACACAAGCCCAAAUACACGAGAGUGUGUAACCUGAAUUGUUACUUAUACAUUAGUGUGUAAUAGAACGGCAAGCAUUAUGGUGGUCAUUGAGCAACUUGUAGGAGAAAUAGUCCUAUAAGCUGUUCAAUGACCAAUCACAACUUGCUAAUUGGAUGACUAAUAUAGCUCUAGCUGUAAUGUUUUAAUUAAAUUCCAUCACUAACGUUGGGAUGACUUUUUAAUCAAAAAAAAAAAAGCCUUAGUUCAAGCUUUUCCCCUUAUUGUGCAUUUUUUAAAACAUUUGAUAGGCACUGCAAAUCUGUCAUUUUGGACAUUUUAUUAUUAACUAACAAUGAAAGCCGUGGACAUCAACCCAUAUCCAACAAAAUAUUAAAUUAAUAUUAGAAAAAAUUAUUAAGUAAUUGGAAAAAAAAAGAAGAGGCUAAUUUUCAUUGAAACCCACCGACAAACUAUACGCUGCUUUCAAUCAGUUUUAACACGGGAAAAAGAAAAGGCAUGAAAAGCAAAAUUUGUGGGGAUAAUUUCGGAAACCUCCCAUGAAGUUUUUGACUAUUUUACUGGCCUCCCUUCAGAUUUUAAAAAUUGGACUAAUCUUCCUUAAAGUUAAUUAUCUUGUAACAUUUAGAUCCGAUCAAUAAUUUAAAAAAUAAUAUUAUGAGAGAGAAAAUAAUAUGAUUUUAUUAUUGCCCCCAUCUCACCACAUUAUUUAAUUAAUUUAAUAGCAACCCACACAUUAAAGAAAAUGACAGGUCGUCAACCUGUGCAAUAAUAAAAUUAAACCUAAUUGCCAGUUAAAAUGACCAAAACCCAAUUCCAAGUACUGGAGCAGGGACUCUAGGUGUGCAAUGGGUUACUUGAUUCACCCUGUUCCCGAAGAGUUUGCUUGAUCCGAUAUACCCGAAUGGAAUGGUUAUUCCUUUUCACAAAUGAUUAGGAAUUUGUAGACAGGGCAAGUAGGGUCGUAUCCACAGAGACUGGGUAUAUUUGUUUCUUAAGAAAUCCAAAGUAACACAGGGGGUGAUUUUGUAGGAACGACGAUAAUUAAAUAAAUUCAAAUGAGAAAGUAAAAAUAAAUAAUUAACUAGAAAUUAAACCACAAUUUACUGAACUCAGGAUAACAAUAGUUAAAGGCCUCAAUUAAUUAAAAUAAGGAAACAAUCAAAAAUAAAAUAAAGUAGGUAAUUAAAAGUCAAAUGGCAAUCCACUACAAUCAAGGAAAUAUUAACUAAAGAUCUAGCCAAGAAAUAACUUCAGCAAUGGUUCACCUAAUCGAUCAUUGAUGCAAAGCAAUCCCAAUUAUUUACUAAUAAAUAGGUUAUAACUACCAAACAAGCGAUGGCAGUCAACCCCUCCUUACUGUGUCGGUGAUCAAGGUACGCCCGUUAAUCACUGCUCUAAUUGAGAAAUAAUCCUAGGUACGCCCGUAGAAUUUAAUUCCCCAACUGCCUUACGUAUUAGAGGAGCCCUAUUCUACCCAAAUAACACACUACCAGGGUUAUUUUAGAUUAGCCCGCGUAUCCCCCUGACACGAAUCUAAUCGUGCCAGUUGUCACUAAUUUGAGGUAAUUAAACAAUUACGGAUUCAAUACCCCAAUUGACAAUAGAUUAUCAAACCAAUGAAUUAUCCGGAUCCAAGACAAUCAACUAAUUAAAUAAUCAUAAGCACUGCAACCAAGGAAUAUGCGAAUACCAAUAAAUAAAGGAAAAGAUAAAAUUAAAUCGAUCUCACAAUUUACAGGUGACCCAAAGCAUCAGUCGUUUCUUGACUAGAACGAGGGGGUUAGCUCAUAUUGGAUGAACUAAGCCCGCGGGAAAUUCCAGCAAAAGUCACGGCCGUUGUAUGCAUUUCAAGAGCCGCAAUUCGUCAAACACUUGGAAAGCGAAUGUAAGGCACGGGUAACAAUUGAAACUUUCUAAUUGUUCCUAGCAUUCGUAAAGCAAAUUCACUCCAGAAGUACAGUGAGGAAAAGUCAAAGAAAGUGGGCUUCAAUUCCUUGCUCCUGACAUGCGUGGAGACAAGCCAAUGCAAGACUACAAUAAACUAACAAGGAAAAGUCAAGAAUUGGAGCUAAGCUCCCCUGCCAUGCGCAGGAAUCCCAAAAGUAAAAAGUAAAGCUUCAAAGAAAAGUCAACAAUUCUUCCUAAGCUACAGACGGAAGAUCCAGCACAAAAGCCAGCUCCCUUUUUGAUCCCUUUUUCCCCCUUCUUAUUGCGGCGGCUCACCAGGAGAGGAGAGCCCUCCGUCCGUCCUUUCUUCCGGAAAUUACCAAAAUGGGCAUGACAUCUUCUCUUCCAAAAGUGCCCCUGGGACAAGCUUUCUCAUCUGAAUUCUUUUUUUUUCCAAUUUGGCACCUGUUAUCAUAUUUAUAUUCUACUCCCUGAAAUAAACGUCAAAUACUAAAAGUGAGUAGAAUCCAGCAAAUAAAUCCACAUCAAGUCAGGUAAUAGGAGGAAUUAAUAAUAAAAUAAAUGAAUAAAUUGCACCCUAUCAAUUCCCUCCACACCUAAACCAUGCUUGUCCUCAAGCAUAAGAAAAGUAAACGAACACCAAAAUUCGACGAUAGCCAUUGCCCAAUCUCCUAUAUUGCCAAGACAUUCAAGAGAAAAACACAUAUCGAGCAUUGGUGAUUAGAAUCCCAGAAGCAUCCCCCCGGUUAGCCUCUAACCCCCAGAUUCCUUCAAUUUCCAACUUAACUACUCUAAGAAAGAGGAAUGGCACACAACAUUUAUCAGCUAGUGGUCCGAAUAUUCACACAAGUCUUCAUAUCCAAUCCAUAAACCGGCAAGCUUCCCUAUUAUUUAGUCUCUCUUUUUUUCCGUUUUUUUUCAUUUUCAUUCUUCCCCUCUUUUUUUUUUUUUUUUAAAGCAGUAGCAAUCAACACAAAAGACUUAGUCGUUAGCCGUCAGGGCCUUUUGAUGCGAACUCCAACAUUUUUAGAAGGAGGAGCCCGGUUACUCAGCUCCUACCGCUAUACGACCACGCACUCAUAUAAAAUACCACCUUUUGACGCGAGAAUCGACACUUUUAGGUGCCGAUCCCCGGUUACUCAGUAGUAACUUAAUAGCGGAGCACAGUCAAGCUUAUUCUCAGCCAAACAAUGCACAAACGCAAAAUAACAGCACUAACAAUCAAACAUAGGAGCAGCUCGCCUCAUUAUUGUCAAACAUGGAGAACUGGAGUCAAUAUUGGACCAGUUCACAUUAAAAGGCCAUAUUCAUUCCCUACGCCUAGAAAAGUUAACAAAGAAAUCGAAAGAGUCAAACAGUUAAAUAUUCACCAAGGGGAUAUUCAGGACCCAACCACACUAACCCGAUACAUUUUGUAUUUUAAAAACUUGGCAAAAGUAGAUUUGGAGUCAAUGAGUCCACAUCUCAAUUUUAGCCUUCACAUGAAAGGCAAUCACCAAGAAGAAAGAACGGAAAAAUAAGCAACUAGAAAUGAGACUACGAAAAACUACUAAAACUAAAAACUCACUUUUUUUCUUUUUCUCUUUUUUUUUCUUUUUGAAUUUUUUUUUCAUUUUUAUUUUUUUUUAUUUUUUUUAUUUUUUAAACAUUAACUAUAAACAUUAACUACUAAAAACUAAAAACUAAAACUACUAAAAACUAAAAACACUAAAAACUGCUAAAAUGAAAAGCUGAAAACUGAAAACUACUAAAAACGGAGCACACUAGCAUAACUUUAGAUCCCCCCCACACCUAUAGGACACAUUGUCCUCAAUGUGACAAAUAAGAACCAAAAGUGAAGCACAAGUGAGAGGGGAAUCAGCCAAACUUCCCUGAAAUCGGGUCACAGCGGAGGGCGAGGUGGAAAUGGAGGUGCAAAGCCUGUAUGCAUCAGGAACUGUGCCAAAUUCUGUGCUAUGCCGGCGACAUUGGCGUCGACGUUGGUCAUCCGGGCCUGCAAAUCCUGAACCAGCUCCCUGAGAUGCUGCCAAUCAUCGGUCCCAGGUGGUGGAGGUGGCGCAGAAGUAGAGGUAGACGGCCCAGCAGUGUCCGCGGCCGACCCAGGGAAUGAAGAUGGCCCUGCCCGGGCCGAAUGGUGUGCACCCGGGGCUCGAGGUGGUCCCGGACGGGUAAACUGGUGAAAACCAUCUGGCAGACGCUCGACGACCCCCAUUUUCUCUAAGCAAACUACGUCCAAGUGCUCCAUCUCAAAUGCCAAAUGGAGGUCGUGGUCAUCCAGGUUAAGAACUCCCAACUGGGUCGCCAAGUGAGUGAUGUAGGACCCAAGGAUCAGUGGUUUGUUCUUCUUGGUCAAGACCGUCUUGAACUGUGCGGCCAACCAACAUCCCAAGUUCACCUUGAUAUUGUUCUUCAUACUCCAGAGAAAGAAGAAUUCGGGCCGAGAGAGUAUACCGGAGCUGUCCUUGCGCCCCGAGUAGCUAUAAGCUAAGAAUCGCUGAACAUAGCGGGCGCUAGGGUCCUUAAGAAAGGAGCUCCUGGACCGGGAAGGAUCGUAGCGUUGCCUAUCGACGGACAUGUCCUCCCAUACAUCAUGGUAGUGGGAGAGGAAAGGCUCUACGUAGUCACAGGCACUCUCCGCAUACUCCCUAGUCUCAGCAUACUCUCUAGUGAUAAACCCAAAUGCCAGAUUGAAUUGAGUAAUGGAGAAAUUGAAUUCUCGACCCAUGAGCCGGAAAUGAAUGACAUUCGGUGUUUCACCCGUGUAUCUCGUAGGUAAUUCGAACUCAAAGGUGGAGUAAAACUCCCGGAUCAGCUCAACAAAAGCGGGACAAGAAAUAUGGAAAUAUGGGCGCCACCCAAUGGCUGUGAACAUUUGCUCAACCUCCUCCCGUAUACCCAGGGCAGUUAGAGAGAGUCUAUGACAAGACUUACAGGAUAUUAUACGCCUCUCGCAGACCUUAGCGUACCUCUGCCGAUCGGCGGGUCUGGUAAAUGUUAAGUGCCCCCCAAAAUGAACAGGUGCAUCUACCUGAGCACCCCUAUCCCUACCCAAACGGGUUCGAACACUAGAAGAGGAGGGUAGGUUGGUAGGUGAGUUGACAGGAAUAGAGGCUUGUGGAGGGGGUUGAGACUGAGAGGUCCUAGACCUAGAGGAGGAUUUCGGUCUCACCAUUCCCCCCAAAGUAAGUUCAAGGCAACAGAAAAUCCGACAAGUAUAGAAACCAGCAAUUGACAAAGCAAAAAUCUCCCAGUAGUAACCCAGCCAAUAGCAAACAAAAGAGUUCCAGCAAGUAAUCAACAAGCAAUUCAGAAAUAUCUCAACUAAAAUCUCAAGAGAAACCCCAGCGAGUUAUCCAGCAAUUCAAGCAAUAUCCCCAAGCAAUGUGGUGGUCAAAAUGUCAUCUCCAAAUUGAACAAAUAAUCAGAGCAUUGCAACACAUUGAAAAUCUCAAUAAACGGCUCCAGUUGGCCAAGAAAAAUUGCUAACUCAUACUCAGCAAUAGUAGUGCAGCAAAGGGACAGUAACCACGCAAUAAAAACACUUAGCUUGCACUCAAAUGGUCACCCCAAAUAACAACCCAGUAUGAAACCCGCAGGCAGAGUAUUCCUCAAACCGUUAGCCUAAACCCAGUCAACAACCACGGCCAGAAAUAACCCCAUAAAUAGUGCAAUGAGUAAUCCCCAGCAACAUAAUCAGGUGUAAUCAACUGGAGCAAGCAAUUUACAUGGCAUAGAAACCUCCCAAUCAAACAAGUGCAUUAUUCUAGCGCACCCCAAAAUUCCAAGAAAUGGCUCCAGUUGGCCAAUUAAUUUCACAAUGUCACCCAACUCAGGAGAAAUAGCAAUUCCACACAAAAAUAGUCAAACCAGUACCACUGGCGAAAAAUCUUUCAAAUAUGCACAAUUUGCUACCAAAUAUCACCGGCUAACACUGAAAAAUUGAGGGCAAGUGUCAAAUACCUCCACAGGGACUACCCCAGGCGGCAGACAGAGAAGCGGCGUUGAAGCUGGUGGUCGAGCGGGGCGGCGCUCGCGUCGGCGUGCGCAGCGGCGACGGCGCGCGAGGAUGGAGUUUCGGGAGGUUGCGUGCGGGCUUGGCUGAAGACGCGGCGCGCGCUAGGGCUUCGCUGCGGCAGGCGUGCAGCAGGGGAGAAGAAAGAAAAGAGAAAGAAAGAAAGAAAAAGAAAGGAAAGAAAGAACAGAAAAGAAGGAAAAGAAAAAGGAAUUUUUCUUUUUUUUCUUUUUCUUUAGGCUACGGUUUAGAGGACAAAUUUUUCUUCUUCUUGUUUUCUACUUUUUUAUUUUUUUAUUUUUUAGUUUUUAAUUUAUUACUAUUAUUAUCAUAUUUAAUUGAGGAAAAAAAAUGUUUUUUUUUAAAUCCCUACCUUUCCCACGAACGUGACGCGGGCACGUCAAGAGGGCAAGAGAGCUCCCAGAAGUUUCAGAAUUUUCUGAUCGUAAGCGUCCUGCACAUCACCACGCGGGCACGUCAUGAGGACAGGAGAGCUCCCAGAAGUUCAGAAUUUUCUGAUCGUGAGCGCCCUGCACGUCACCACGCGGGCACGUCAUGAGGCCAGGAGAGCUCCCAGAAGUUUGAAGUUUCUGAUUCCUGCCCGUCAUCACGCGGGCGCGUCAUGACUGAAGGUCACCUACAAAUCAGCAAAAACGAAAACUAACACCCAAAAUCAGUCAAAUUCAGGGAAAGCAGAUUUAAACUAUGCUACAAAACCAACAAACAAUUAAAAGAAAUAAUUAGGUUGCCUCCCAAUGAGCGCCUUUCUUUAAUGUCUUUGGCUAGACAUGGUAAAGUGUCACUGAUUAGGACACGGUGGUGCGUCAAGCCUUAUUGUCUCCACCUCUCUACCUGAAAAUCCUUCGUAAUAAUAUUUGAGACGGUGUCCAUUCACCACAAAUUUGUUGUCUGUCUUAGCACUCUGGAUCUCAACUGCACCAUAGGGAAAAACAUGAGUAACAAUGAAAGGUCCAAUCCAACGGGAACGUAGCUUACCUGGGAAUAGCUUGAGCCUGGAUUGGUACAGGAGGACCUUCUGACCAACUUCAAAUGUUUUUCUUGAAAUUUGUUGGUCAUGAAAUGCCCGGCUUUUCUCCUUAUAUAUCAAGGCGUUUUCGUAUGCUUCGUUCCGGAUCUCCUCCAAUUCUUGCAAAUCCAACUUCCGUUGAGCACCGGCCUCCUCUAAAUUCAUAUUGCAGUGCUUUAUCGCCCAAAAAGCCUUGUGCUCGAACUCCACUGGAAGGUGACACGGCUUCCCAAAUACCAACCUGUACGGUGACAUCCCAAUAGGAGUCUUGUACGCCGUCCGAUAGGCCCAGAGUGCGUCUUCCAACCUUUGGCUCCAGUCUUUUCUAUCAGGGCGCACCAUUUUCUCUAAAAUGGACUUAAUCUCCCGAUUCGACACCUCCGCUUGACCAUUGGUCUGAGGGUGGUAUGACGUUGAGACCCUGUGGAGUACACCAUACUUGCGAAACAACGCAGCUAUGGUUUUGUUGCAAAAGUACGUUCCCCUAUCACUGACAAUAGCUCUAGGCAUUCCAAACCGCACAAAGAUAUUAGACCUGAUAAAAUCUGCAACUACUCUCGAAUCAUUAGUUCGAGUGGCCUUAGCCUCCACCCAUUUAGACACAUAAUCAACUGCCAGCAAAAUAUAUAAAAAACCAAAUGAAGUAGGAAAAGGCCCCAUGAAAUCUAUACCCCAGACAUCAAAAAUUUCAACAAAAAUCAACGGGACCUGGGGCAUUUGAUCUCUACGGGCUAUAUUACCUACCAUUUGACAGCGAUCACAUGACUUACAAAACACAUAGGCAUCUCUAAACAAUGAAGGCCAAUAAAAUCCACUUUCUAAAACCUUAUGAGCAGUUCUCUUAGGUCCAAAAUGACCUCCACAGGCAAAAGUAUGACAAAAAGCUAAAAUUGAUUGAAAUUCCAUUUCACUUACACAUCUCCUCAUCACUUGAUCGGCACACCUCUUCCAUAGGUACGGGUCAUCCCAGAUAAAAUACUUGGCAUCGCUCUUCAAUUUAUCCCUCUUCGAUUUCGGCCAACCUGCAGGAAAAUUACCAGUUACCAAAUAAUUGACCAAAUCAGCAUACCAAGGCAACUGAGAAUUUAAGAAAAAUAGGUAUUCUUCGGGGAAUGCAUCCUUCAAUGGCUCGCUAUCCUCUUCAACUAGUAUGCGACUCAAAUGGUCCGCUACUAGAUUUUCUGAGCCUUUUUUGUCCCUUAUCUCCAAGUCAAAUUCCUGUAGGAGCAGUAUCCACCGUAUGAGCCUCGGUUUUGCAUCUUUCUUGGUCAUCAGGUACCUCAAUGCUGCAUGAUCAGAAAAUACAAUCACUUUAGCACCUAACAAGUAUGACCUAAAUUUUUCCAAAGCAAAAAUAACUGCCAGAAGCUCCUUCUCAGUGGUGGAAUAAUUCAACUGGGCUCCAUUCAAGGCCCGGGAUGCGUAAUAGAUGACAUGAGCCGCCUUGCCUAUUCUUUGCCCCAGUACAGCCCCAACAGCGUGAUCACUGGCAUCGCACAUGAUCUCAAAUGGCAAAUUCCAAUCGGGGGGUUGGAUGAUUGGGGGUGAAGUCAGCAAUUCCUUCAGCUUGUUAAAGGCUCUCUCACACUUAUCAUCAAAUUCGAAGGCUACAUCUUUUUGUAGGAGUUGGAACAACGGGGCUCCAAUCUUUGAAAAAUCCUUGAUGAACCUUCGAUAAAAACCUGCAUGUCCAAGAAAAGAGCGCACCUCCCGCACACUCGCGGGGUAAGGUAAUGCAGAAAUAAUGUCUAUUUUAGCCUUGUCAACUUCUAUGCCCUUAGACGAUACAAUAUGACCCAGGACUAUUCCGUGCUCAACCAUAAAAUGACAUUUUUCCCAAUUAAGCACAAGAUUAGUCUCUAUACACCUGAUCAGGAUUAAUUUCAGGUUAUCUAGACAAGUAUCAAAACUAUCACCAUACACACUGAAAUCAUCCAUGAAAACUUCUAUUAUUUUCUCAACAUACUCGGAAAAGAUGCUUACCAUACAUCUUUGGAAAGUCGCAGGUGCAUUGCACAACCCAAAUGGCAUUCGUCUGUAGGCAAAGGUCCCGAACGGGCACGUGAAGGUUGUCUUCUCUUGAUCCUCCGGGGCAAUUGCUAUCUGAAAGUAUCCUGAAAAUCCAUCCAAAAAGCAAUAAUAAGCCCUACCAGCUAAACGUUCAACCAUUUGGUCAAUGAAAGGGAGAGGGAAAUGGUCCUUUUUGGUGACGGCGUUUAGCCUACGGUAAUCUAUACAUUGCCUCCAUCCAGUGGGUUUGCGCACUGGCACGAGCUCACCAGUUUGGUUGGCCUCUACCGUCACUCCUGCAUUCUUUGGGACUACCUGGACCGGACUCACCCAAGGGCUAUCAGAUAUUGCAAAAAUGAUGCCCACAUCUAGCAAUUUUAGAAUCUCUUUCUUUACGACUUCCAUCAUGAGGGGAUUGAGCCUUCUUUGAGCCUGCCUAACAGGUUUGGCAUCGUCUUCCAGCCUAAUCCGGUGCAUACAAAUGGCCGGGCUGAUCCCCUUAAUGUCUGCGAUUGUCCAGCCUAUUGCCUCUUUAUGCUCCCGAAGGACCCGGAUCAAUUUCUCUUCCUGGGUCUUUGACAGUGCCGAUGAGAUAAUCACUGGGAGUGUCUCAUUAUCACCUAGGUAUGCGUAUUUCAGGUGCUCUGGUAGAGGUUUCAACUCCAGUACAGGUGCCUGCACCACAGAUGGCAAUACCCUCUGGUGAGCCUUGGGAGUAAAAAUAGGUAAGACUUCAUACCUUUUCGUGGUGGUCUGCAACGAGUGUAAUGCACCUAUUGUGCAUUUUAAAUCCUCGCUCCACUCCACCUCAGGAGUUGUCUCCAACUCGAGGUGCUUGGUUAAAGCCACCUCCAGCUCAUCCCUGCCAUCAGUUUCAAACACUUCCUGCACUACAGGGUCAAUAGCACUCACAGAAAAAACUGAGCUAAAGUUGGAGUUAGAGGGGUACUUCAUAGUAUCAAAAAUAUUAAAAUGCACAAUUUACCCAUCAAACUCCAUGGACAAGGUACCCUUAUUAACAUCAAUUUUCGUCUGCGCAGUGCUCAUAAAAGGUCUACCCAAUAACAAAGGUGAGGGAUCAGGGGAGUGAUCAUCAUCCAUAUCUAGUACAUAAAAAUCAGCUGGAAACACCAAAUCAUUAACCUUUACCAACACAUCUUCAAUCAACCCAUCAGGAUAUGCAUUAGUUCGGUCAGCUAAUUGAAUAAUUAUUCCAGUUUCUUUUAAUGGACCUAGUUUCAAAGAAGCAUAGAUAGAUUUAGGCAUGACAUUAAUUGAUGCUCCCAGAUCCAGCAUGGCCCUUCUGAUCACAGUAUUACCUAUCUUACAGGGAAUAGUAAACAUACCUGGGUCCCCGCACUUUGGUGGGAGCUUUCUCUGCAGGACCGCAGACACAUUUUCUCCAACUAUGACCCGUUCAUCUCCCCUCAACCGCCUUCGGUUGACACACAAGUCCCUUAGGAACUUGGCAUAUUUUGGUACUUGUUUGAUGGCGUCUAAGAGGGGGAUAUUUAUCUCAACCUUGCGAAAAACCUCCAAGAUCUCCUUCUCCUUAUCCUGCUUCUUCGAUUUUUCCAACCUGCUAGGAAAAGGAGGCGGGUUAGUUUUAACUGUAAUUAUUGGGUCAGGAAGUACCUCUGGAUCUGCACCAUUGCUGUCCUCCCUUUCGAGCUCAUUUUCGAUCUUCUCUUCAUCCUUGUCCUUGGGAAUCACAGGUUCAGGCCCCUGAAUUUCUUUCCCACUCCUUAGGAUCAUUGCGCUCACGUUCUUCGGAUUCAACUCCGGUUGAGAUGGCAGCUUCCCUUGGUUCUGGGACUCCCAACGGUUCAUUCUGGUGGCCAAUUGACCUAUCUGAUUCCUUAUGUCCUGCAUUUCGGAGUCCGUCUUUUGCUGAUUUUGCAUAAUAGCUGCCUCCGUCCUUUGCUGAUUCUGCGCCAUGGUUGUCAUCAUUUGUUUCAGCAUCUCAUCCGUAGAUGAACCAGAUUGAGGGAGCGGAGGUGGUCGGGGUUGGUAUUGCUGCUGGUACCCUGGUGGCUUAUUUGGCACAAAGUUAGACUGCCUGUUUGGCGUGAAGUUGGAUUGCCUAUUUCCACCAUAACUGAGGUUGGGAUGAUCUCUCCACCCGGGGUUGUAGGUGCUUGAGUAAGGGUCGUACUGCUUCCUUGGCGCGGGCGCGUGGUCAGCCAUGUUCACCUGUUCCGCAGUUUCUUCCUGAAUCAUUGGGCACAUGUCUGCAGAGUGACCUAUACCAGUGCAAAUCCCGCAUACCCUGGCUUGUGAUGCAUUUCUCACAGCCUAUUGCCUAACGAACGCAGUCAACUCAUUUAGCUGCUGCUGCACAGAGGGUGUCUCUAUCUCAUUCACCCUACGUAUUGGGACAUCCUAUCUUGUACUGAAUUGCUGUGAAUUCUCUGCCAUCCCCUCUAUUAACUCCCGUGCUUCCUGAGGGGUUUUGUUCACCAGUGCCCCUCCACUUGCAGCAUCAAUGAUGCUCCUGUCUCUAAAAAUGAGCCCCUCAUAGAAAUAUUGUAUGAUCAACUGCUCACUUAUUUGGUGAUGGGGGCACCUGCGCAACAAGCUCUUAUACCGUUCCCAAUACUCGUAAAGUGACUCCUCGGGAUGCUGCUUGAUCCCACAAAUUUCUUUCCUUAGACUCGCAGCCCUGGACGCAGGAAAAUAUUUAUCCAGAAAUUUUUUCUUCAAUUGGUCCCACGUGGUGAUGCUACCUGGUGACAGGUAGUACAGCCAGUCCUUCGCAGAAUCUUUCAAGGAGAAGGGGAAUGCCCUCAUUUUUAUCUGCUCUUCUGUGAUUCCCGGGGGUUUCAUACUGUUGCAAACGACAUCAAACUCCUGCAGAUGCUUAUACGGCUCUUCACCUGGUAAACCAUGAAAAGAGAGUAAAAGCUGAAUCAGACCAGAUUUUAGUUCAAAUGGAAUGUUGUCAUUUAAAGCUGGGAAAGUAAUGCAUAACGGCUGCUGAGUUAAAUCAGGAGCAGCCAACUCCCUUAAUGUUUAUGCAUUAGCCAUGGUGCCUUCCUGCUGGUCAGAGUCACUCGAAGUGUUACCAAACGAAUCUGUUGGUUCAACUUCUGACUCGGGUCUUUGAGAUGUAGCACUAGAGUGCUCUUCUCUGAGCUGUCUGGUUUCCUUUCUCGUUCUACGCGCGGUCUUCUCUACCUCAGGAUCAAAAACCAAAUCACCUGUGCGACAAGAUCGAGGCAUACACUAGAAGAAAACCAGAAAAUUAGGACAAAAUUGAAUUUAAGAAGAAACAAAUAAUAACGCCAGUCCCCGGCAACGGCGCCAAAAAUUGACAGGUCGUCAACCUGUGCAAUAAUAAAAUUAAACCUAAUUGCCAGUUAAAAUGACCAAAACCCAAUUCCAAGUACUGGAGCAGGGACUCUAGGUGUGCAAUGGGUUACUUGAUUCACCCUGUUCCCGAAGAGUUUGCUUGAUCCGAUAUACCCGAAUGGAAUGGUUAUUCCUUUUCACAAAUGAUUAGGAAUUUGUAGACAGGGCAAGUAGGGUCGUAUCCACAGAGACUGGGUAUAUUUGUUUCUUAAGAAAUCCAAAGUAACACAGGGGGUGAUUUUGUAGGAACGACGAUAAUUAAAUAAAUUCAAAUGAGAAAGUAAAAAUAAAUAAUUAACUAGAAAUUAAACCACAAUUUACUGAACUCAGGAUAACAAUAGUUAAAGGCCUCAAUUAAUUAAAAUAAGGAAACAAUCAAAAAUAAAAUAAAGUAGGUAAUUAAAAGUCAAAUGGCAAUCCACUACAAUCAAGGAAAUAUUAACUAAAGAUCUAGCCAAGAAAUAACUUCAGCAAUGGUUCACCUAAUCGAUCAUUGAUGCAAAGCAAUCCCAAUUAUUUACUAAUAAAUAGGUUAUAACUACCAAACAAGCGAUGGCAGUCAACCCCUCCUUACUGUGUCGGUGAUCAAGGUACGCCCGUUAAUCACUGCUCUAAUUGAGAAAUAAUCCUAGGUACGCCCGUAGAAUUUAAUUCCCCAACUGCCUUACGUAUUAGAGGAGCCCUAUUCUACCCAAAUAACACACUACCAGGGUUAUUUUAGAUUAGCCCGCGUAUCCCCCUGACACGAAUCUAAUCGUGCCAGUUGUCACUAAUUUGAGGUAAUUAAACAAUUACGGAUUCAAUACCCCAAUUGACAAUAGAUUAUCAAACCAAUGAAUUAUCCGGAUCCAAGACAAUCAACUAAUUAAAUAAUCAUAAGCACUGCAACCAAGGAAUAUGCGAAUACCAAUAAAUAAAGGAAAAGAUAAAAUUAAAUCGAUCUCACAAUUUACAGGUGAUCCAAAGCAUCAGUCGUUUCUUGACUAGAACGAGGGGGUUAGCUCAUAUUGGAUGAACUAAGCCCGCGGGAAAUUCCAGCAAAAGUCACGGCCGUUGUAUGCAUUUCAAGAGCCGCAAUUCGUCAAACACUUGGAAAGCGAAUGUAAGGCACGGGUAACAAUUGAAGCUUUCUAAUUGUUCCUAGCAUUCGUAAAGCAAAUUCACUCCAGAAGUACAGUGAGGAAAAGUCAAAGAAAGUGGGCUUCAAUUCCUUGCUCCUGACAUGCGUGGAGACAAGCCAAUGCAAGACUACAAUAAACUAACAAGGAAAAGUCAAGAAUUGGAGCUAAGCUCCCCUGCCAUGCGCAGGAAUCCGAAAAGUAAAAAGUAAAGCUUCAAAGAAAAGUCAACAAUUCUUCCUAAGCUACAGACGGAAGAUCCAGCACAAAAGCCAGCUCCCUUUUUUAUCCCUUUUUCCCCCUUCUUAUUGCGGCGGCUCACCAGGAGAGGAGAGCCCUCCGUCCGUCCUUUCUUCCGAAAAUUACCAAAAUGGGCAUGACAUCUUCUCUUCCAAAAGUGCCCCUGGGACAAGCUUUCUCAUCUGAAUUCUUUUUUUUUCCAAUUUGGCACCUGUUAUCAUAUUUAUAUUCUACUCCCUGAAAUAAACGUCAAAUACUAAAAGUGAGUAGAAUCCAGCAAAUAAAUCCACAUCAAGUCAGGUAAUAGGAGGAAUUAAUAAUAAAAUAAAUGAAUAAAUUGCACCCUAUCAGAAAAAUGCAAAAAUUUGUUAUUUAUCAUUAAGGAUCAUAUCGCAUAUAACAUCAAAAAAUAGUAUAUUAUUUAUAUCUUUCACUUAAUAUAAUAUCCAAAUUACUCUUUUCAGUUACAUACCCAUUGUUAGACAAAAUCAACAACAAAUAACCAAAAAAUUUGCAACCAAAAUAUUACCAAAAAAAUAAACUUUAACAUCAUAAAUAUUUUUAUCAACAUAUUAAAGUUAGUUAUUGAAAUUUUUAUGGUGUUAAACUUCACUCUUAGCAAUAUUUUGGUUACAGAUUUUUUUGAUUAUUUAUUGUUGAUCGUGUUUGACAAUGGAUUUGUAACUGAAAAGAAUAAUUUGAAUCUUACAUUAAGUGAAAUAUAUAAAAUAUUAUACUAUUUUUUAUGGCAUAUGUGAUUCUUUUUUUUUUUUUUAUCAGAACGGCAACAUUGUAUUAAUAGUAAACCAAUUACAGUAUAGGUGGGCAACCGCCCUCACAAUCUGCCUGGACUUGUUCCAGCAGCCAAACUGGGAAGUUUUCCUUCCAUUCAGUAUUUUGUUCCAAAGUAAUAGCUACUUUAGCUAGUUUAUGGCUAACAAAGUUGUUCACCCUAUUUGCAAAGGUAAAACAACAUUCAUCAAAUUUUAUUCAUGUACAAUUGUUGCUAUCACCACGUCCUCCUCCUCCUCCUCACUGCACACUACUUGACUACCACCCUUCGCCAACCUUGCUGUUGCAUGUGCAACUAUCAUGGCCUCUCUUAGCGCCUUUGCUUCUUCGACCUUUGGACUGGCACAGCUAAAAUUUGGAACAGCCCAGGCCCACCCGCAAUCUUCCCAACCAAUCCCUGGCCACCCUUUUCCCACCCAGCUUCUAUGGCAUGUGUGAUUCAAUCCUUCUUGAUAGGAUUGGUAAUAGAGGCAGAGGGGGGAGCCGGCUGCAUCCGGUCUACUUUUCAUAGAUAGUACAAUAUUGCGAAAUCGAUCGCAUUCACACAAGAAUAUUUCGAAGUCAUUGCAUCGCUAAGUUGCAAAAAAGUACAAACACUUGUUAUUAUAUAGCUUAAGAUUCAAAACUUUAGAGCACAACCCUCCACCUAACACAAUUGAAUAAUGAAUAUUCACGAUUGUCAAAUCUGUCAAAGCACAGUUUGAGGACAACCCAUUCCAACCUGCAAAAGAUUUUUGACUUUUUUAAAGUUGUUGAGAGCUGUAAAAAGACUUACCAUGCUUACAUCUUCCGAGCCUUGGGAGUUAAAAAUGAAGGCACUGAGUGCUAUAAAAAGGGGGCUAGAGGCUGCCUAGAAGCAUAUCAGCCUAAAACAAGAAUUUGUAGUUAUGAUGGGAAGCAAAGCAAAAGCAAUGGGGUCUGGGCUGACUCCUCUUCUUACCACUGUUUUAGUGGUAUUUGUUGCUCUUGGCUUGCCCUCAGAAACUGCAGCUGAUGAUCACUACAAGUAUUCAUCUCCUCCUCCUCCUUACCACUAUCCCUCACCACCACCUCCAGUGCAUUUACCUCCACCAGUGUACAAAUACAAGUCCCCACCACCACCUCAUCAUGUUUACAAGUACAAAUCUCCACCACCCCCACCACCACACCCAGUUUACAAGUAUAAGUCGCCACCACCACCUCCUCAUCCGGUAUACAAGUACAAGUCUCCUCCGCCACCUCCUCAUCCGGUACCACACCCAGUUUACAAGUAUAAGUCACCACCACCACCUCCUCAUCCGGUACCACACCCAGUUUACAAGUAUAAGUCUCCUCCGCCACCAGUUUACAAAUAUAAGUCUCCUCCACCACCACCUCCAGUGUACAAAUACAAGUCUCCACCACCACCAGUUUACCACUACAAGUCUCCACCACCUCCUCCCCCAGUUUACAAAUACAAGUCUCCACCACCACCACCACCAGUUUACCACUACAAGUCACCACCACCUCCUCCCCCAGUUUACAAAUACAAGUCUCCACCACCUCCUCACCACUACUAAGCAAUUGCUUCUGAGGUAAUAACACUUGUUCAAUAUACCCACUUCUGCAUGAUAAAGCAUAUCUCUAUCAACACAAACUGUCAUGUCUAUCAUGCUAAGUGCCUUCACUUCAUCCACCAAAAUGACUGCUAGAAAAUUUUUUUUAUGUUACCAAAGAAAGGCAUCAUUUUUUCCCUCUGUUAUCAAGAACUUGUACAGUAUAUAGAUUAAAGAGUAUUUUUUUAACUAGCUUAUCAACUGAGAAAUGCAUAUAGCUGAUAGCCAGCUGAAUAUUUGCAGGCAAAGGAGAAGGAAACCAGUGUUUGAGACCUUCUUGAAGAUGUAGAAGCAUAAGAAUUAAAGCCCAAUGUGAAGAUGAUGAUUUCAAGUUUUUCUACGUUACCAUUUCUUUAUCUAAAUUGGUUGUAGCGCCUUAGUUCCUUUGUUUAUGGGAUUUGUAUCGUUUUACGUACCAUGCAGUACAUGUCAUGUUUGUAAGGUUUUCUAUCCUGCCGGCAAACCGCAGGUUCCAUGUAAUAAAUCAAUACUAUUUAUAUUACGACACUUUUCUCUGUUUCUCUUAUAUUUUGUCGUCUUUAAUAUUCUUAAUCAUAUUUUUAACAAAAAUAUUCAAACACUUAGGCAAUCUGGUCUAAUGCUAAUUGUAUGUUUUACUUUUCUUUUUCACCUGCUCCCCUUUUCAACUCAAAAGGAUGCAAUAGUUUGUGAUCACUGUUGAAGACGGAAGCAUGAUACUAAUGAAUAUAUCAUUGAAACUCAAGGAAACUAACAUUAUGAAAAGUGUAAAUCUUGAUUUGAUGCAACUAUUUAUUCGUGGAAUCUAUAGUUACAAAACUCAAACUCUGACUGCGCCAUUGAUAAAUUAUUAAUGACGCUAUCAUCAUUAUUUAUCCCCAACUAGUUUCGACUACAACUGAACCCAAUAUUUUCCCCAUGAUAAAAGUUUUUUACUAUUUUACUGGCCUCUCUUCAAAUUUUAAAAAUUACACUAAUCUUCAUUGAGAUUAAUUAUCUUGUAGCAUUUAAGUCCAAUUAAUAAUUAAAAAAUAAUAUUAUGAGAGAGAAAAUAAUAUAAUUUUAUCAUUGCCCCCCAUCUUGCUAUAUUAUUUAAUUAAUUUAAUAGCAACCCACACAUUAAAGAAAAAUACUAAAAUUUGCUGCUUUUCAUUAAAGAUCAAAUUGCAUAUGCCAUAAAACAUAGUAUAUCAUUCUAUAUGUUUCACUUAAUGUAAGAUCCCAAUUGUUCUUUUCAAUUACAAACCCAUUGUCAAACAUGAUCAAUAACAAAUAACCAAAAAAUUUGCAACCAAAAUAUUACAAAAAAAAACUUUAACAUCAUAAAUAUUCUUACCACCUCUAGUGCAUUCACCCUCAUAAAAUAAUUCAAGACCCUACUGUCAUAAAAUGACUGAUCAACUCCUGUAAACCUAAUUUGACAACAUUUAAAUGGAGAACUUUAGCUAAAAGAAUUAUGGUCAAGCUAAAGAAAAAACCAGUUAUUUUCCAACAUAUGCAAUCAUUGAUCAGGGAAAAAAAAAAGAAGCAAAAAGACAUCUUCAAUCAUUUAAUAGCUUACAGGGCAAAUUAACCCCUAAGCGAAAACUGGUUGCUCUAGAAUCAAAAUUUUACUUUAGUUACCCAGGCAACUUUUUUUGUUGCCUUUUCUUUUUCUUUUUUGGGUAUAUAUAUAGCUCCAGUUUUGCCCCCUCUGUCAAGCUUAUAUAAUUAUUAAGAUAAUAAAAGUGCCUUUAAUAGUAUUAAUAUAUCCAUUGACUUGAGCUGUCAUCGAUCGGUUUGGGCUACUUCGAUUCCAUGAGAACAAAUGGUAAUAAAAGUACUCAGAAAAUGGGGAGUCAUGAAACCCUUUUGUUCUAUUCAUUGCUAAGAUGCUUUUCUCUAUAAAGACACUUCCUAACGAAAAUACUUUGUAGAUUUCUUUACUCCAAGUGGUGCAUGGAAAAUUAAUAUUUUCAAUUAUCAAAUAAAAUUCCCUUUUUUCGGUGUAGAUUUCAUCCAUUCAGCUGUUAACACUCCGAAUUGACUAAUCUUUUCGUUUCCAUUUUCCAACUUGCGAAUACGGCAUCUUACAUAUUGUCUGCUGAAUAUGAAUACAUAUCCCUUUUCUGAGCAGGUGCAGAGUCAUUAUCAUUUUUAUUCCCACCUAACAAAUUAGUUAAUAAUCUUUUAAAGAACAUGUUAAAUUAAUUUAUUGGUAUGAAUAGUAGUCAAAGAAGUAUGUUAAAGUUAGUAAUCUUUAAAAUAAUAUGUUAAAAUUAUUCGUACAAAUUAGCCAGAGAAGUAGCAUAAACACCGCGAUGCAAUUAAUACUUUCAAUCUCAAGGUCUCUAUUAUGGAAAUUUGCAUCGGUCAACAUACACAAAGCAUUAUUGUAUGCACGUCUCUCUAUUAUGGAAAUUUGCAUAGGUCAAUAUACACUUGGCAUAGUUGCAUGCACGUCCAAUUUUUUUUUAUUUUUAUUUUUGGUAUUUUACUUCCUGCCUUAAGUUGCCUGCAGAUGUUUGUAUUACAAAUAUAUGGUAUACUAAAUAUAUAGUAUGCACAUUAAUUUCUUUGGGUUGCUUAAGGGUAUAUUGUUAAUAAUAGGGGGUUUAACCAUAAAUUAUAACAAUGAUGAAGUAAUAUAUAUUAGAAAAUUAACACAAUUAUGAUUUUUUUUUUUGUAAAAUUCAAAUUUUAUUAAUAAGAAAUGAAAUAGGCAGUAAGCAUUUACAAACCGAAAACAAAAUCCUACAACAACUCUAGGACUCUACACCUUAUUAAAAAAAAACAUUUUGAUAGCGUUUUUCCAAAAGCAGAAGAUGGAAAAUUGCCCAUUUGUACUGGGGAGUUCGUGAUCUUUUCCUCAUUCUAGUCUACUUACAAUUCUUGGAAAAAGGAAUACUCACAUCUCAAACAACAGCCUGUUCAUCUGCAGUGUCCUGCCGAAUUCUAGAAAGUUUGGUGGCAAUGUUAAUUACAUUUCAAAAUUGACUGCUGCGAUAACUAAUUCGAUGGCUUACUACAUGGUCAACGUUUGGAUCUCUUCCUGUCCUUUUUGGAUGCACAUUUUUUUUCUCUAGGUAAUAUAUAAUCUCCCAACUCAUUUCUUUACAAAUGCACCUUUAAUCACCACCAAAAGGUGUGGACAUGAUCUUUACCCUAGAAAACUAUUCACCGACAGGCAAAUUGACGUCAGAAAUACUAAGAGGAAUUCUAGUUUCCUUCGGGUUAAUGCCAUUUUGUACCCUUCAACUGUAACUCAAUUUCUAAGCUGUAAUUUGUGACAUUAUAGUCCUUAAACUAUGAAACCCUUUCUUAUUUAAUUACAAUGGUUAAUACAAUGCCCGUGACUAGACAAGUAUGAAGCAACCAUAACAAAAAAAAAAUCCAAAAUUAGAGAAAAGAAAGAAGUUGCGACCAAAGUAUGUAUCAAGGCAUAGUAUAGAAAUAAAAGUGUCAAAAUUAAGAGUUUAGGGAUAAAAAAGAAUCAAAAUAUAGUUUAGGAAUUGAUUUGUCUCAAUUAGAGUUUAGAUGUCAACUAAGAAGAGAGAUAUAGUUGAAGGGUAGAAUAUAGAUAUAACAGUUCAAUGAUUGAUAUCAACGAGACAAUGACAACUUUGGAUUAUUACCAACCUCUUCUUGAUGGAAAAGGAAAUAGAGAAGAAAGUCGGGCCUGGUCUAAGCCUGUUUCGGAGGCAAAACAACAUUAUGAAAUCACCGGCAUUCACACAAAUAUGUCAAAGUCACCGGCAUGCUAAGUUGCAAAAUUUAUACAAACACUGAAUAUUAUAUUCUUCUCAAAAUUUUUGUUUAAGAUUUAACAAUUAGAGCACGGUACACGAAUUAGCAAUAUUAAAUAAUGAAUGUUCACGAUUGAUAAAGUUAUCAAAGUACAGUUUGAGGACAACCCAUUCCAACGUGUACAAGAUGUUUAGCCUUUGAAAAGUUAAUUAGAGAAGGUGACGAGAUUUUACUAGGCUUACAACUUCUAGGCCUUGGGAGUAAAAAGUGAAGACACUGAGUGCUAUAAAAAGGGGGCUAGAUGUUGCCUAGAAGCAUAUCAGCCUCGGACCACAUUUUGUAGCAAUGGGGAGCAAAGCAAAAGCAAUGGGGUCUAGGCUGACUCCUCUUUUUACCACCGUUUUAGUGGUAUUUGUUGCACUUGGCUUGCCUUCAGAAACUGCAGCUGAUUACGACAAGUAUUCACCUCCUCCUCCUCCUUACCAUUAUUACUCACCACCACCUCUUGUGCAUUCACCUCCACCACCGCCAGUUUAUAAGUCACCCCCACCACCUUAUCACUACUUCUCACCACCACCUCCAGUGUAUCCAUCUCCACCACCAUCUGUUUACAAGUCACCUCCACCACCUUCGCCAGUAUACAAGUCCCCACCACCACCUUAUCAAUAUUCCUCACCACCACCUCCAGUGCAUUCACCUCCACCACCACCGAUUUAUAAGUCACCUCCACCACCUCCUCCAGUUUACAAGUCCCCGCCACCACCUUACCAUUAUUCCGCACCAUCACCUCCAGUGCAUUCACCUCCACCACCACCGAUUUACAAGUCACCUCCACCACCUCCUCCAGUUUACAAGUCUCCAUCACCACCUUACCAUUAUUCCUCACCACCACCUCCAGUGCAUUCACCCCUACCACCACCGGUUUACAAGUCUCUGCCACCACCUUACCAUUAUUCCUCACCACCACCUCCUAUGCAUGCACCUCCACCACCAAUAUACAAGUCACCUCCACCACCUCCUCCAGUUUACAAGUCUCCACCACCACCUUACCAUUAUUCCUCACCACCACCUCCAGUGCAUUCACCCCUACCACCACCAGUUUACAAGUCUCCGCCACCACCUUACCAUUAUUCCUCACCACCACCUCCUGUGCAUGCACUGCCACCACCAAUUUACAAGUCACCUCCACCACCUCCUCCAGUUUACAAGUCCCCACCACCACCUUACCAUUAUUCCUCACCACUACCUCCAGUGCAUUCACCUCCACCACCACCGAUUUACAAGUCACCUUCACCACCUCCUCCAGUUUACAAGUCUUCACCACCACCUUACCAUUAUUCCUCACCACCACCACUCUUCAAUUUGGAUGUAAUUCAAUUUUCCUUGUAAUCGGUGGCCCUCCUUCGGAAUCCAAAUAGUCAUUGAGUGCAGCCUUCUUUCUUUAUUUUUUACUCAUUUUCACCUCAUAAAUUGCUUUCAUCCCCUAAAACUUGUUCGCUGGAAUUUUGAAUUUACCCAUACAACUAAACUCAGAAAAUUCUUACACAAAGGGAUUAGUAGCAUGAAUAGCAAACACAGAAUAAGAGAUAACAGUAUGUUUUAUUGUAUUAAAAAUAUUAAAGUGGAUUAUUUCUCCAUCGAAUUCCAUUGUGAGAGUAUCGUUACUAACAUCAAUCUUAGUUUGAGCAGUACUCAAGAAUGACCUUCCUAAUAUAAUGGGUGAUGGAUUUGGGACACUUUCAUCAUCCAUAUAAAACACAUAAAAAUCAACAGAAAAAAUUAAUCCAUCUACUUGAACUAAAAACAUCCUCAACUACCCCAUUUAGAUAAGCAAAUAUACGAUCAGCCAAUUGAAUUAUUAUCCCUAUUUCUUUUAAAUGUUCUAAAUUUAGGGAAUCAUAAAUUGAUUUAGACAUCACAUUAAUAGAAAUCUUUAAAUCUAUCAUGGCAUUUUUUAUAUUAGAAUGUCCAAUCUUACAUGAGAUAGUAAACAUACCUAGAUUCUCGCAUUUAGGUGGUAGUUUCCUUUGUAAAAUUGCUGAAACGUUCUCAUCUACCACAAUAUGCUUGUCCUCCUCAAUUUCUUCUUGUUGACACACAAGUUUUUCAAGCAUUUAACGUAUUUUGGAACUUAUUUGAUUUGCGUCCAACAAAGGGAUAUUGAUUGCCACCUUGCGAAAAUCUCUAAAAUCUCCUUUUCUUUAUCUUGUUUCUUUGAUUUCUCUAACCUGCUUGGAAAAGGUGGUGAGUUAGUUCCAACUCUAAUUAUAGAAUCAACAAUUACCUUUGGAUUCACAUUUCUCAUUCCUUCCUCCUCAAGCUCUUUGUCGAUUCGAUCUUCAUUUUUAUCCUUUGGAAUCACAACUUCGGAUCCCUGAAUUUUCUUCUCGCUCCUUAAGGUCAUUACACUUACAUUCUUCAGGUUCAGUUCAGGUUGAGACGACAAUUUUUCAUAGAUUUGGGAUUCCAGGCGGUUGAUUGCUAUUACCAUCUGACUCAUCUGACUCUGCAGUGCUUGCACCUGUCCCAAUUGAUUCCUCAUACUUUGCAAGUCAAAAUCCAUCUUUUGUUGAUUAGCAAUUAAUUGCUUCAUUAUCUCUUCUAUAGAUGGACUUGAGUUUGAAAGAGGUGGUGGCGGGCGAGACUGAUACUGUUAUUGAUACCCUUGCUAUCUAUUUGGUGCAAAAUCUGGCUACCUAUUUCCUCCAUAGCUGAGGUUGGGAUGAUCUCUCCAACCAAUAUUGUACGUAUUCGUGUACGAGUCGUAUGGUUUUCUUGGCACGGCGCGUGACCAGCCAUGUUCACUUGCUCCGUACUUUUCUCUUGAAUCAUUGAGCACAUCUCUGUAGAAUGACCCAUAGCAGUGCAGAUCCCACACAUCUUGACUCGUGAUGCAUUUCCUAUAGCUAAUUGCCUAACAAAGGAUGUUAAUUCGGUCAACUGCUGUUGGAUAGAAUAUGUUUCUACCUCAUUUACUUUGCGUGUUGGGGCAUCCUCCCUCGUACCAAACUGUUGCGAAUUUUCCGCCAUUCCUUCAACUAGCUCCCACGCUUCUCGAGAAGUCUUGUUCACCAAUGCCCUUCUACUUGCAGCAUCAAUUAUACUCCUGUCUCUAAAACGCAGCCCCUCGCAAAAAUAUUGGAUGAGCAAUUGCUCACUUAUUUGGUGUUGAGGGAACUUGAUGCAUAACUUCUUGAAUCGCUCCCAAUAAUCAUAAAGCGACUCUCCUGGAUGCUACUUGAUACCGUAUAUCUCCUUCCUUAGACUUGCAGCUCGAGAUGCAAGAAAAUAUUUGUCCAAGAACUUUUUCUUCAGCUGAUCCCACGUGGUGAUGCUACCUGGUGGUAGAUAGCACAGCCAGUCUUUUGCGGAGUCCUUCAAGGAGAAGGGAAAUGCCCUCAUUUUUAUCUAUUUUUCUGUAAUUCUCGGAGGUUUUAUGCUGUUGCAAACGACAUCAAACUCUUGCAAGUGCUUAUACGGUUCCUCACCUGGUAAACCAUAGAAAGAUGGCAAGAGAUGAAUUAGACCAGAUUUUAACUCAAAUGAAGUGUUAUCAUUUAAAAAUAGAAAAGUAACUGAGAUGCAGCACUGGAAUGUUCUUCUCGAAAUUGUCUGGUCUCUUUCUUUGUUCUACGCGUAGUCUUCUCUACCUUAGGAUCAAAAAUUAAUUUACCUGUACGAGAAGAACGAGGCAUACACUAGAAAAACACUAGAAAAUUAGAACAAAAAUGAACAUAAAAAGAAACAAAUAAACCAACGUCAGUCCCCAGCAACGGCGCUAAAAAUUGACAAGUUGUCGAUGCCUGUGCAAUAAUAAAAAUAAACCUAGUUACCAAUUAAAAUAAUCAGAGCCUAAUUCUGAGUACUAGAGCAGGGACUAUAGGUGUGCAAUGGGUUACUUGAUUCACCCUAUUCCUGAAGUUUGCUUAACCCGAUAUACCAGAAUGAGAUUGCUUAUUCAAAAGGAAUUAUUGAUUUGUAAACAGGGCAAGUAGGGUCGUAUCAUCAGGGAUUGAAAAAAUUUGUUUCUUUUCAAAUCCACAGUAACAAGGGGAUGUUUUUGUAUAAAUGAUAACAAUCUAAGGAGUGCAAAUAGAAAUAAAUAGAUAACUAGAAAUUAAAUGACAAUUCACUAAAAUUAGAGUAAUAAUAAUUAAAGGUCUAGCUAAGAAAUAACUUCAGCAAUGGUUCACCUAAUUGAUCAUCGACGCAAAGGCAAUUCCAAUUAUUUACUAAUAAAUAGGUUAUAACUGCAAAACAAGCAAUGACAGUCAACCCCUCCUUACUGUCGGUCGGUGAUUAAGGUACGCCCAAUCACUGCUCUAGUUGAGAAAUAAUUUUAGGGACGCUCGUAAGAUUUAAUUUUCCAAUUGCCUUACGUAUUAGAGGAGCCAUAAUCUAACCAAAUAACGCUACCAGGAUUAUUUUAAAUUAACCCGUGUAUUCCCUUGAUACAAAUUCAAUCAUGUCAGUUGUCACUAUUUCAAGGUAAUGAAACAAUUACGGAUUUAAUAUCCUAAUUGACAAUAGGUUACUAAAUCAAUUCACUAUUUCGAUCCAAGAUAAUCAAUCAAUUUAACAACUAAUAGCACUGCAAUCGGAGAAUAUGUAAAUACCAAUAAAUAAGAGGAAAAGAUAAAAUUAAAUCGAUCUCACAAUUUUUAAACAAAUCAAAGUAUCCGUUGUUUCUUGACUAGAAAAGAAAAUUUAGUUCAUUCCUAAUGUGAAAGACCCACGUGAGAAUUCAAAAAUAAUAUUCACGGAUAUUGUCUUGAUUCAAUAGAUUCAAUUGCGUUGGAAUAAGGAUAAAAAGCCAAACUAUAGAGAGUGAUUCAAUGUUUUGUUUCGUUUGCAUUUUUUCUACACAUAUGGAAGAAGAAAAACAACUAAAGGACGAAAAAAAAAAGUCAAAGAAAGGCACCCAAAGUAGUGCUUGGUCUCUACCAUCCUAUUUCCUAUCUAAUUACUACUUCCCUUCUGCGGCUGCCUAGAGGAAGAAAGAGAAAGCAGACUUCAGGUCUUGUUCCAUCUCCUCCCUUUUCGGCAAUUCCCCAAAAGUAGAAAAGUUCCUCCGUUUACCAAAAUGCCCCUGGAAUGAGGACUGCUACUUGAACUCAUUUUCUUGAUAACUGUCAAAUUAGCACUUGUUAUGGUAUUUGCGUCUACUUCCUGUAAUAAAUGUAAAUUGCCAAAAGUGAGUAAACUGAUAAUUAAUUUACAUCAGGUCAGGUAAUAGGAAAAAUUAAUUAUAAAAUAAAUGAUAAAAUUGCAACCUAUCACUUAGAAUAACCAGAAAUAAAACAAAACAAGAAAUGAAAGAAAUAAGAGGGUAGCAUAGACAUUUUGGAUUUUUCUGUUAAUUUGGAUGAUUUCCACCUACGGUCUAAUUUAAUCCAAAACACAAAUGGAUUAUGUGGAGAUUUUUAAACAAUGAGGGAGUAUCGUGACCGAAUCCCAAACCACAAAGGGGAUUUACUAUAUUUUACUCUUAAAUUUUGGUUUCAUCUCAUAGCAUACAAGAGUACUAUUUCACUGUCUGUCGACCAGGGAGGAGGGUUGGGUUGGGUGGUACGGGGGAGGGAGUCUAAGUAAGAGGUCUCAGGUUCGAAUCCUCCUGUUUAUACUAAAAAAAAAAAUUUACUAUCUGUCGACAAAGAUUUUCUAUGGUUGAUGUACCAUAGGAAAAAUCUGCCUAUACAAUUAUUUGGAAAAAUUAUCCAUCCAAACAUAGUCACGAUAGCAUUUUUUCAAAAACACUAGAUGCAAAAUUGUCCCCUUAAACGUGGAAAUUCAUGAUCUUUCCUCGACUAGUCUACUUGUCAAUUUUUGAAAAAAGAAUACUCACGCCAAAAACACGGCCUCUUCAUCUGCAGAAUUCUAAAAAGUUACGUAAACUCUAUAAACAAGUUGAUAGGUACAAUCGUACCCAAGAUCAAGUACAGAUAGUUGUACAUUCACUGCUGCAAUAACUAAUCUGAUGACUUACAAACACAUCAUGGUCAAUCGUUGAAUGGUAAUGAGUCUUUUGUUAUGCAUUAGUAUUAGUGUGUACACUCUAAUAGAUUGAUACUUAUACUCUUUAAAUUAUCAUAAUAAUACCCUUAAUUAACUUUAACCCUUAAAAAGAAUACGUGUUAAUACACGAGAGUGUGUAACCUGAAUUGUUACUUAUACAUUAGUGUGUAAUAGAACGGCAAGCAUUAUGGUGGUCAUUGAGCAACUUAUAGGAGAAAUAGUCCUAUAAGCUGUUCAAUGACCAAUCACAACUUGCUAAUUGGAUGACUAAUAUAGCUCUAGCUGUAAUGUUUUAAUUAAAUUCCACACUAACGUUGGGAUGACUUUUUAAUCAAAAAAAAAAAAGCCUUAGUUCAAGCUUUUCCCCUUAUUGUGCAUUUUUUAAAACAUUUGAUAGGCACUGCAAAUCUGUCAUUUUGGACAUUUUAUUAUUAACUAACAAUGAAAGCCGUGGACAUCAACCCAUAUCCAACAAAAUAUUAAAUUAAUAUUAGAAAAAUUAUUAAGUAAUUGGAAAAAAAAAAGAAGAGGCUAAUUUUCAUUGAAACCCACCGACAAACUAUCCGUGUCCAUAGCUUUUGAAUAGUGCAUUCAACGUUUAAUUGUAUGGUCCAGUUCAUUGCCGAUUACAUGGAGUAAAGAUUGUGCUCUUUCCUUUUUCACCCCUUUUGGAAUCGAUACUGUGGAGAAUUGGGUUUUUCCCUCCUUUUUUUCUUUUCUUUCCUUCUGUGCUUUGCAAAACAUACGUAAAAAUAUGAAAUCCGAAGCAUUCUUUAAUUGGGAUUAAGUAUUGUUGUUGAAAUUAAAAAGAAGAAAGAAAGAACAACAAAAAUCCCAAUCUGGGUUGAUUGUUGAGCUCUAGAUUGGCUGCAUCGUGCUUCCAUAGAAGUUCUCUUAGUGUGAUACGCUGCUUUCAAUCAGUUUUAAUAUUUAAGUAGAGUGCAAAAUAACUUUACUAUUUAAUGGGUUAUAAUGCACCAUUUGGUACCUCUCACCCACCUAUGAUUUGAUUUACUACUGGCAUGGUAAUGGACAGAGUUGGGGGAGCAGGAGGAGGGAGAUGGCGGUACCAGUCCGUCAACCACAGCACACCCUCCCUCGGACUUUGCGUGGUAGCGAAGUGGAGGCAGAUCGAGCACACAUGCACUAACGCCUUAAGUAUGUACAAUAUAUGUAUGCCAAAAGCAUAGCCAAGCCUACCAGCGCAUUUCAAUAAUAUAACCCGGAAAUUAAGGGCAUUGAAUUAAGUACGAUGAAUCAUAUUGGUGCACAAUUACAGUUUGAAGCUACCGAUUCGAGUAAAUUUAAGCGUAAGCACAAUCAAUCGCCAGUCAAAUGCUGAAAUAUGCAUAUGCAUGGAUGAAUGUAUGGGUUUCUUAGUUCCAGACCAAAGGCCAACAAUAAGGGAAGGAAGGACAGUUCUCAUUUUUAGCACGGACAAGGAGAUGAAGAAAAGUGUAUGUAGCUUGAGACAGAACAAUGGCAUGUGACCGCUCCUGAGACCACAUAACGUGGGGUGGGGAUGGGACGGCCAAGAAUGAAGAUGCCUGUCGGUCUCUCCGUGCUGCUACCAUAUGAAUCCCCCGUUAACCAAUUCAAGAUAAGCCUGAAGUUCUUUUCAUCCCCAAACCCUGUCCCAUCUGUGUAAAUCCAACAUCAUCAUUUACGACCUGCAACUCAGGUUAAGCAUGUUCUAUUGAGAUUCAGACACCACCCUUCAAAAGAUAUACUACUGUGAAACCAGCAGCUUAAUAUCAUUGUAUAAAAAAAAAAAAAAAAGAAAGAAGAAAAGACAUGAAAAGCAAAUUUUGUGGGGAUAAUUUCAAAAUCUCUCCUAAAGUUUUUUACUAUUUUACUGGCCUCCUUUCAAAUUUUAAAAAUUACACCAGUCUUCCUUGAGAUUAUUUAUCUUGUAACAUUGAGGUCCAAUCAAUAAUUAAAAAAUGAUAUUAUGAGAGAGAAAAAAAAUAAACUUUAACAUCAUAAAUAUUCUUAUCAACAUAUUAAAGUUAGUUACUGAAAUUUUUAUGGUGUUAAACUUCACUCUUUGUAAUAUUUUAGUUACAGAUUUUUUGAUUACUUGUUGUUGAUUUUUUUUUUUUUAGUGUAAACAGGAGGACUCGAACCUAAGACCUCUCACUUACACUCCCUCCCCCCGUACCACCCCAACCCAACCCAACCCUCCCCUCGUUGUUGAUCAUGUUUGACAAUGGAUUUGUAAUUGAAAAGAACAAUUUGGAUCUUACAUUGAGUGAAAUAUAUAGAAUGAUAUACUAUUUUUUAUGGCAUAUGUGAUUCAAUCCUUGAUGAUAAAAGCAAAUUCAAGUGUUUUCUUUAAUGUUUGUGCUGAUAUUAGAUUAAUUAAAUAAUUUAGUAGAUGAAGGAAAAUGGUGAAAUCAUAUUAUCUUCUCUUUCCUAAUAUCACUAUUUAAUUAUUGAUUGAACUUAGAUAUUACAAAUAAUAAAUCUCAAGGGAGAUUAGUAUAAUUUUCAAAUUUUGGAGAGAAGCUAAUGAAAUAGUCAAAAACCUUAAGGGAGGUUUACAAAAUUAUCCCAAAUUUGUGGGAAUUAGAAUAAUUGUACUGGACGGCACUGCCGCAACAGAGGGAAAGAGGAGGAGGUGCAGUUAACUUUUUGUUGUUUGAAAUCCUUGGUGAAAUAUUACAGAAAGACAGAUAAAACAGUUAGUACAUAGAUGUAUAUGACAGGGAAAAUGGUACGUCUGUUAAUCACAUUUGAAACACUUUCAUUGGUGAAUGACGAAAACUAUCAGGCUUGCCCAAUAGUUGAUCAUUGACCAAGACAAAUCUUGCCAUGCUAGAGGUACCAUCUUUUCGUACCUCUUUAGUGCACAGGACAUUCCUUUGUUUCAUCUAGCUAAUAAUCUACCAACUCAUUUCUUUGCAAAUGCACCUUUUAUGGUCACGUCUACGAAAGCUUUACAGGAUCUUUACCCAAAAAAUCAAUUCACCGACUCGCAUUUGAUGUCAAAAUUUCUUUACUUUACUCCAAGAUUGACUGUUAAUAAUAAUGCCACUUUGAAUUAUCACACCAUCCUUCUUGAUAGGAUUUGUGCUAGAGGUAGGGAGGGAGUCGCUGCAGCCGGUCUUCUCUUCAUAGACAGUACAAUAUUGCGAAAUCGAUCGCAUUCACGCAAUAUUAUAUUUCCAAGUCGUUGCAUGGGUAAGCUGCCAAAAAGUACGAACACAUGUUAUUAUAUAGCUUAAGAUUCAAAACUUUCGAGCAUAACCCUCCACCUAACACAAUUGAAUAAUGGAUAUUCACGAUUGUCAAAUCUGUCAAAGUACAGUUUGAGGACAACCCAUUCCAACCUGCAAAAGGUUUUUUUACUUUUCUAAAGUUGUUGAGAGCUGUUAAAAGAUUUACCAUGCUUACAUCUUCCGAGCCUUGGGAGUUAAAAAUGAAGGCACUGAGUGCUAUAAAAAGGGAAUAGAGGCUGCCUAGAAGCAUACCAGCCUAAAACAAGGAUUUGUAGUUAUGAUGGGAAGCAAAGCAAAAGCAAUGGGGUCUGGGCUGACUCCUCUUCUUGCCACUGUUUUAGUGGUGUUUGUUGCUCUUGGCUUGCCCUCAGAAACUGCAGCUGAUGAUCACUACAAGUAUUCAUCUCCUCCUCCUCCUUACACUAUCCCUCACCACCACCUCCAGUGCAUAUACCUCCACCUCAUCCUGUUUACAAGUACAAAUCUCCACCACCCCCACCACCACACCCAGUUUACAAGUAUAAGUCACCACCACCACCUCCUCAUCCGGUACCACACCCAGUUCCUCAUCCGGUGCCACACCCAGUUCCUCAUCCGGUGCCACACCCAGUUUACAAGUAUAAGUCACCACCACCACCUCCUCAUCCGGUACCACACCCAGUUCCUCAUCCGGUACCCACACCCAGUUUACAAGUAUAAGUCACACCACCACCUCCUCAUCCGGUACCACACCCAGUUUACAAGUAUAAGUCACCACCACCACCUCCUCAUCCGGUAUACAAGUAUAAGUCUCUCCGCCACCAACACCCAGUUUACAAGUAUAAGUCACCACCACCACCUCCUCAUCCGGUGCCACACCCAGUUUACCACUACAAGUCACCACCACCACCUCCUCAUCCGGUACCACACCAGUUUACCAUACAAGUCACCACCAAUCCUCACCCAGUUUACAAAUACGAGUCUCCACCACCUCCAGUUUAUAAGUACAAGUCACCACCACCUCCUCCACCAGUUUACAAGUAUAAAUCUCCUCCACCACCACCACCAGUUUACCACUACAAGUCUCCACCACCUCCUCCCCCAGUUUACAAAUACAAGUCUCCACCACCUCCUCACCACUACUAAGCAAUUGCUUCUGAGGUAAUAACACUUGUUCAAUAUACCCACUUCUGCAUGAUAAAGCAUAUCUCUAUCAACACAAACUGUCAUGUCUAUCAUGCUAAGUGCCUUCACUUCAUCCACCAAAAUGACUGCUAGAAAAUUUUUUUUAUGUUACCAAAGAAAGGCAUCAUUUUUUCCCUCUGUUAUCAAGAACUUGUACAGUAUAUAGAUUAAAGAGUUUUUAUUUUAACUAGCUUAUCAACUUAGAAAUGCAUAUAGCUGAUAACCAGCUGAAUAUUUGCAGGCAAAGGAGAAGGAAACCAUGUUUGAGACCUUCUUGAAGAUGUAGAAGCAUAAGAAUAAAAGCCCAAUGUGAAGAUGAUGAUUUCAAGUUUUUCUACGUUACCAUUUCUUUAUCUAAAUUGGUUGUAGCGCCCAAGUUCCUUUGUUUAUGGGAUUUGUAUCGUUUUACGUACCAUGCAGUACAUGUCAUGUUUGUAAGGUUUUCUAUCCUGCCGGCAAACCGCAGGUUCCAUGUGAUAAAUGAAUACUAUUUAUGUUACGACA